AAUAACAAAUCUCCUUGGAAACGAUCAAACAUACACAGAGAUCUACUCACUUAAUCUGGCUUACAGACUGAGGCCAGAUGGUACACUCAAGCUCAAACAUCUUGUCCCACAUGAUGCCUCUUCACAUUUACAUCUUGUGUGACCAUGUAGUUUUACCUAAAGAAACCAAUAAAAGGAACACCAAUCUCCCCCUUUGGAAAAUUUUGGCUAAAAUAACUUUUUAAAAAAACUAUAAGAUGUGUAAGAGUAAAGCUUCAAAUAGCUCACAAUUUUGAGGAUACAAAAGCAGUACACCACAUAAUACACCAUAUCAGAGCAUACAGAGCAACAACAAAGAACAAAAUCAGAGAGAUUUUAUCAUAGAUCAUACGAGAUGGUUACUAAAAAUAGAAAUCAAAUAAAAAAAAACAUCACACACAUAUGAGAACAUAUUCACACAUCAUCACAACAUCACUACUCCCUAUUUAUUCCACAAUUUGGCAAAGGUUUGGAAAGAACUGAGCAUAACUAAGCCUUAAGCCAAGAUUAGAACAGAGAGCCAUAACUAGAAAAACUAGAAUCAUUGUCAUAGUUUGAAACUAGAGUCACAAUUAAAGGAUUAUUACAGAACCAGUAACACAAAAAAUAUAACAUGCUUAUAUACAAUGGAAAAAAACUAAAUCAAAACAGCAAUAAACAAAUUACAGUCAACAACAUCCAAUCCACAUAUCCAUCCAUAAGACCUCAGUCUUUAGAGCUAUACUCCUCUUCCUCACUUUUAUUUUCUUCUUCUUCCUCACUUUUAACUUCUUCCUCUUCCUUAGCUCUCAUCUCCUUGGUCAUCAUUGUAAUCAAAUUAUCCACAUUUUUUCUUCCUUGUGGUGUUUGUAGUAAUUUUUUUUGAACAAAUUUUGAAUCUUCCAUGAGCUUAAGUAACACAUCCUUUUUGGUAGAUUUGGAUAAUGGAGAAGAGUUCCCCACAGUAGAUUGAUCUUGGCCCUUUGUCACCACAAUGUCUGGAACAUAUGUUCCGACAAUAACUUAUAAUCAAAGGUCAGUGACACUGCCUUUUUGUUUUGAGCUUAUUCAAGAUGCACAACCCCAUGGUGUUGGUUCAAGAUAAUACCAUUUAACAAACAAGGGAAUGUUAUGGGUAUCUUCACAACAAAGGAAUCAACUUGCUUCAUAGUUUUCUUAAACACAUAUUUGGAAGAUAAGUUUGGCCAAAGCAAUGGUUAUACCUGAACUAUGAUUUAUAGGUUCCUAAUUUGUUGCACCAAUCCUAUUCAGAACAUCAUACUUUUCACAAACUUCCUUAUAACAUACACCUUUCUAUACUCCUUGCUUCCUUGAACAUUGCACUUAGUAGAGAUGUUAGCAAUAAAUUCCUUGACUAAAUUUUCAUAGCAAGGACCAAUGUUAGAGACAAUUCUCAUUAAACCAUCAUCUUUCACCAACUCAAUGAUUUCUUUACAUUCAAUAACUUCUUUAACUAUCUCUCUUUCAGCAUCCAUCUUUGAAUACAUAUUUCCACUUUUGAACACUUAUUUCAGAAUGGAAUAAGACAUUAUCCAUGGAAGCAGCGGGUAUAUUCACAAUAAUUCUCUUUUCAACAACCAUUCUUCUUAUAGUGUGUAUAAUGUCUAGGAAAUCUUCUACAACGCAGUAAAAACAGGUUCUUCUUCAGUUUUAGUAACAAACAUAACUAUACUAUUCACUAUAUUAACAAUAGGUUCUUCAUCAAUUUUAGUCUAUUCAUCCACUUCCACCACUUAUUUAUCCUUUUCUUUAGUAUCCAUGUCUUGAGACUUGGUUACAUUCUUAUUGAUUCUCUUUAUUAUGUUGGUAAUAGGAAUGUCAUCAUCCUUAUUAGCUUCCACAUUCUUUUCAUAUUGAACCUCAAACACUACAUUUUGUGGGUCCUCUCCCCUCAACUCUUCAGUAGAAUCAUCUUCUUCAUCCAAGGUAUCAUUCAAAUAGGUAUCAAAUUCAUGUAUAUCAAUAAUUGGUCUAGUAAUGGGUUAAGUAGGAGUUUUAACAGGGGGUUCACAAGAAGGUUUAACAUGUUGUUCCCUAAAUGUCUCAACAUUUGGUUCAACAUGGAAAUCAAUGGUGGUUUUAGCAGUUUCAACAAAAUUCUUAGUGGUAUUAGCUUCAUUUUCCACAUUGUCUUUAUUCACAUAAUCAACAUGCUUAUUAACAUGCACAAUAGUGUCUUUGUCAGAGGAACUUAACUUUUAAGAUGUCUUAUUCUUCUCGAAGUCAGUCUUCUUAGCUCUUGUCCUUGAUACAUCAACAAGCAUAACCAUAUGAAGAGGUACAACAUCGAGUACCACAUCUUGUUCAUAAAGUUUUCUACUUGACUAAUAAGCCUUAGAUGUCUUUGUUGUUGCUUUCUCCCUCAUCUUGACUCCAAGGAUUUUGACCCUAUAUGCAUUAGUAAUAGGUUUGGGUUCAAAGGUCUUAGUUUUUUCAGAUUUCCGGCUCAUUUUCCCUACAAGUUUGAAGGACUUGAGAGAAGGGUAGAUGGAAAUUGUUGUUAGAAUAAUAGAUAGAGGGAUUGAUCUUCAUGCAUGUAAAAGUGGAAUAGUUAUACGUAUAAUUUGAAAUAGGAAGGGUGUGCUUUAUUUCUCAUGCAAUAUGAUCAUAUGAGAGAGAAAAUUUCCUUUAAUUCUUACACGCCUUGCAUUAAUUUCUAUACAUUUUCACACAUGCAAAUACCAAGAGCACCCUUUAGCUUUUCAAACUGAAAAACAUCGAAAGCUUUGUGAAUAUGUCUCCAAGUUGCUUUUUAAUUUCUACAUGCUUAAGGUUUACAAUUUAUCAUUCAUAAGUUCCCUGAUGAAAUGAUGAUGAAUGUCAAUGCGCUUGGUUCGACUGUGUUGAACAUGAUUAUUUGAAAUAUUAAUAACACUUAAAUUGUUGCAGUAUAAUGUCACAACAUCUUGUUCAAUAUUGUAUCCUUCAACAUCUAUUUCAUCCAUAACAAUUGGGUUCAUUUGCUUCCUGCAACAAUGUACUCAACUUUUGUAGUAUAAAGAGAGACAUAAUUUUUCUUCUUGUUCAACCAUGAGAUUAAGUGGUUUCCAAGAAAGAAGCAUCCACCAUAUUUUGUUUUUCAAUCAUCAGCACUUCCAACCCAAUUAGUAUUACAAUACCCUAAUAUUAUUGAGUUAGUAUCAUGAGAAUAAAGAAUACCAUAGUCACAAGUCCCAUUUAUGUAUUUCAUGAUUCUCAUCACUUAAAUGAAAUGACUAACCAUGGGUUUAACUUGUUAUCUAGCACAAACAUCUACAGAAAAUGUGAUGUCAGGUCUACUUGUUGUGAGAUAUAACAUACCACCAAUCAUGCUUAUGUAUAGGCUUUGAUCAAUAUCAAUACCAUUAUCAUCUCUGGAUAAUUUCACAUGUGUUGUAGCAUGGAUUCUCUUAUGAAUUUCCCUUUCAAGGCUAAACUUCUUUAUUAUACUCUUUGUAUACCUGCUUUGAGAAAUAAGGAUGUUAUAUUCCAUUUUAUUUAUUUGUAGACCAAGAAACUAGGUGAGUUCUCCUACAAGACGUGUCUUAAACUCAGAUGGCACUUGAUGAACAAAAUGUUCCACCAUCUUGUCUUACAUUCCACCAAAGAUAAUGUCGUCAAGAUAAAUCUGAGCUAUCAUGAGCUUUCCUUAUUCAUUAUUUACAAAGAGAGUUUUAUCUAUUCCAUAUCUAUUGUAUCCGUUAUUAAUCAGGAAUCUAGUUAAUCUUUCAUACCAAGCUCUUCGAUCUUGCUUUAAUCCAUAAAGAGAUUUCUUCAACUUGUACACAUGAUUUAGAAAGUUAGGAUCAAUAAAUCCCUUUGGUUGCUCUACAUGAACUUCCUCAUUAAGAUACCCAUUUAAGAAUACACUUUUAACAUCCAUUUGGUAUAAUCUGAAUUUAAACAUGCGGGAGACUCUUAGUAAUAAUCUAAUAGACUCAAGGUGAGCAACUGGAGAAAAUGUCUCAUCAAAAUCCACUCCUUAUAUUUGUGUGUACCCUUGAGCCACUAAAUAAGCCUUGUUCCUUGUUACAUUACCAUUUUCAUCAUAUUUAUUCUUGUAAUUCCAUUUGGUACCAAUGAUAUUCACAUCUUCAGGCCUUGGAACUAAUUCCCAAAUUUUGUUUAUUUUGAAUUGACACAGUUCCCUUUACAUAGAAUUUAUCCAGAUUCAUCAGUCAAAGCUUCCUUGAUGUUCUUUGGUUCAAUCUUUAAACUGAAAGAUGAGUUGACAAUCAUAUCUCUAGAUCUGGCGAUAACUCCUUCAUUCAUAUUCCCUAUGAUAUUUUCUUUAGGGUGAUAUUUAUGAAUUCUAGUUGAUGGUCCCUUGUUAGUUUGAGGGUUUUGAGAAUUUAUGCUUCCAGAUUGUAUGUUAGACUCCUUAUGUAGGACAUCUGCUGAGACACGUAUCUGUUGAAAGAAUACAUCAUCUUCAUCUUCAACUUAUUUCUUAUCUUUAAGAUUAUCAUCAAUGAAAACAAUAUUGAUUCCAUCAUUGUCUUGGUACGAGUGUCAUAUACCAUGUAAGCUCUGUUGUUGUUGGAGUAGCCUAGGAAUAUUCCUCCAUCACUCUUGGGAUCCAACUUUCUUCUUUGCUCAUGAUCAGCCAAGAUGUAGAACUUUCUACCAAAUACAUGAAAGUGUUUGACAUUUUGCUUUCUCCCUUUCCAAAGCUCAUAAUGAGUUUCUUUUGUUCCAUAUCUUAUGGUCACGUGAAUGUGAGUGUGAUAGGUUGUGUUCAUGGCUUCACCCCAAAAAUAGUAAGGAAGAUUAUUGGCAUGCAACAUGACUCUAGAUGAAUCUUGCAAGUGUAAGACCCCAAUUUUGAUCCUAAUAUCCCUCAUGCUAUCUUAUCAUAUGCAUGGAAUUGGGAGCACAUCUUGGCAUCCUCCUAACCCCUCAUUCAUUAGGUUUGUAUUGGGAGAGAUAACCAAGCACCAUAUGAUUGUAUCAUACUUUGUAUUUUAUCAUUUUUACUAACUAAAAUACCAAAAAUAUGUCUUUGCAUUUGUCUAACUCUUUUGUAGGUAGGGCACUUGAUCCCCUUUGAUCUAUCAAGUUCACAUCUAGGGUUAAAGACAUUCAAUGCUAAGAGCUCAACCAAGAAAUGAUACACAAUGUCUCUAGGAAUAAUAUAUGAGUCCCCAUGAUCUUUUCAUGUUAUUUUGAUCAAGAAUUCUUCAAGAGUUUGGAUUUUGUUUGCCUUGGAAACCCUAGUUCAUCUAAGUAUCUUGAGUAACUUCUUCAACAAGCUUCUUCACCAAUUGAUCAAAAAUUUCAAGGGAAACUUAAAAUUUCAUGAUAUUAUGCAUAUAUGAUCUCCCAUUAUCCCUAAAAGUCAAGAUAAUUUCAAGUUUGCAAGGAGGUUGAUGGUAGUUGACCAGAGAAAUACAUCUAAUCAAAACUGGGGUCCUUAGACCCUAUCUCCUACAAUUUUCAUCCUAUGAAAAUGAUUCCAAGAUAAACGUUACUCUAAAUGACAUUUCAAACAACUUUCAUGUUGAGGUCUAGAGCUAAUUUUGCUUGGAAAGUCAUUGUUUAUGUUGAAAGAUUAUAUGUCAUUUUGUCAAAACCCUAAUUUAGAGGUCAACUUCCCAAGGCCAUAACUUGCUCAUUUUUUAUGAUAUGAAAUAUUUCCAAGUUUAAAAAUCAAAUUCAGGGUGUCUACUUAAACUUUUAUGUUUGGAGGAAUAGAUAAUUCAACUUUCAUGAGCAUGUGAUAUGAGGAUACAUUAUAGGUCAUUUUGGACCAAUACCAUUGAACAAGUGAUUUUCCUCAACUUCAAAAAUGCAUAACUCAUUCAUCCCAAAUCUAAAUAAGGUCAAAUUUGUGACCAUUUUGAAGGUUUUUGAAAUAGCUACAACUUUGAUGAAUACACUUUUUCAUUUGAAGCACGCAUUAAAAGUUAGCCAAGGUGGAAUAAGUGAGCAUAUGGCUUAACACUUAGAAAAUUUUUUAACAUGUUGAAAUUUCAACUUCCACCUCAAAAUUCAUCAUGAUACAAGCUUCAAAUGAAAAAGUGUUCAACAUAAGAGUUAUUAUUGUUGGUCUCACCUUUCCAAAGAGUGCAAAUUCAUCCAUUUUGGACAAGGUUUGAGUGGUAUGCGCAUGGCUUGAACAUGGCAUCAUCAUUUGGCAAGGAUCAACGUCAAACAGCUGCACACUUUUGCCUUGCAUUCCAAUCCACUUUCAGACCCAAUUACAUGUGAUUAUGGACUUAAUUGAGUAGCUUCAUGGGCUUGUACACGCCCAUGCAAGCAUGUAUCACUGAAUUGAAAAAUUUGGAAACAACUUUGAAGGUGCAAAUAUCACUUUCUUCAGCUAUAAAUAAGAGUCCAUUACAUCAGAAUUAGGGACCCCUUGCGCGCUAGCUUUGCCUCCACACUUUAAACCCUCACAAUUGAAAGGAAAACUUGAGAACUUUAUUUUGAAAAUUGAGUUUGAAUCUCACUGUUUGGAGAUUCAAAACUCUAGGGAUCCAAAGCUUUGUUUCAAUCCUAAGCCACUCCAGCAAGCUUUCUGAGGGAGAUCAAGCAAGAAUUUAAGCAAGAGAGAUCGAGUUCUGCACAACAUUGAAGGUAUUUUCCAGAUUUUUUCUUCUCUUUGAUUCUCUCUCAAUUCUCAUCAAUUCUAUUGAAUCCUUGGUUGUCUGAAGUCCUACCAAUGUAGGCAAGAAGAUUGAGUUUCUUUGAGACCAAAUAGAAGCAACUCAGUUCAUGUACCUCAAAUUUCAACUCCAUGUAUCUCUCAAUAUACUUAGAGUUAGGAUGAAUUGAGGCCAGAUUCGUGAUCAGUUCCAUUUUUACUUUAAAAUCAUGUCCUUCUUUUUCAUUUUUGUGAUGGUGAUGAGAGAACCAAUCUGGCCAAGGUCGUCUGAGAAGACGACCGACGCUUUGCUCCGGUGAUGAGCUGGAUAGGUUCUGAGCCAUAGGAUCAAGCCAUUUUGUUUUAAUCACGAGCGUUCCUUUUGAAUACCAUUGGUGUGGCGCGCCGUAUCGAGUGUAUGAUGGAACGCAUGUUUUGGUCCACUUGAUUUGCCACCUCAAUUAAUGAGGGAGAUCAAGUGGUCCACGUUUUUUCUGAUUAAUUGAUUUUCAUUUUAUUUGUUUUAUUUUCAUUAAUUCAUAUUAAAUUUAAUAUUUAUCCAAAAAAUAUGAGAGUUUCACCAAAAAACUUUAAAUAAAAUCCUCUUUCAUUUUCUGAAUUAAAAUUAUUUUUUGGAUUAUUAUUAAUAUUUUUCAUGAUUUAAUUGAUUUUGUGAAUAUUUUUAAUUGGUUAAAUUUACUUUUAAGUUUCCAAAAAUUAUGAAAAAAUUUCUCCAAGGUCCUUUAACCUUGUUUGACCUAUGAUAAAUCUCAUGGUCAUUUCUUUGGUGUUUUGAUGAGGUUUUAGGAAAUUGACCAACCAUGACUUAAUUUAAUGUAUAUUUUUAUUAUUUUUAAUUGCUUAAACACCAAAUAAAUUAUGUAUAGCCAUUUUAAUUGAUUUUGUUAGUUUGACUUGUGUUGUUAGGCCUUGUCAAGGUUGAUUUAACUUUGCUAGGUUAUGAUCAUUGGAUUUAGGGGAUUGAUGGAAUGUACAUUCCAUCUCCCAAAAUGAAUGAAUGAUCUUAAUUUGGUAAAAGUCCUCCUUUGACCAAUUUGUGUUUAAUCCACCCACCCCCCCUCUUCAUCUCAUUCCCCUUCUUUAUCCAUUCAUGUCAUGGACCUAUGAUAUCUCUAUAUCCAAAGGCUAGUUGAUUGCAAAAUCAACAUAAGUAUGGAUGAGAUUAGAUCCCCCAUUUUGCAUAUUCUUUUUGUGUGUGGCAUGCUUCAUGAGCAUAGUUUAUCAAACUAUGUCUCUAACAUGUAUUAGCACCAAAAUUCUAUUGCCCGACCUCAAAUAGUUAUAACUUCUACAUAAGUCUAAUUACGAUUGCUUAACAUAGCGCUAAAUUUAUGACACAAAAGGCAUAACAUUCUAGUUAGUGAUAUUGUAAGUCUCCCCUCUUUCAUGUUAUUGUGUGGAAACUUGGUCUUUUUUCCUUCCUUUGGAAGAAGUCUUGUUUCGAGGAUCCAUGCUUGUGAUAAGUUGGUUGAGUGUUAUCCAAAGAAUGACUUAAACAAAAACAAAGCAAAAGCAAUACUAACUUCUAAUUAACUAACAACUAACAUUUAAUUUCAAGUCAUUUUUUUAAUGCACCUUAUUUUUUAAGCUUUAUUCAUUUGCCAUUAUUCUUACCAUUCAAGUUGUUUACUUUAAUGUCAUUUUCCCUUUGUCCACUUGGACCAUAUUUUGUGAUAUAUUGUGUUUGUAUAUACUUGUGUGUUUGUGUGGUCUUUUGACCUUAAUGUACAUAAUAAGAGCAAAAACCCUAAAAAACAAUUUGUGUGGACUGUUGGUUUGAUCUGAGACUAUUGGACUUAGAAUUUAGGCAACACUCCCUAUGCAAAGGACUCGGCCAAUGCCAACUUUCAUGAAACCAAGUACUUAUGAAGUGAACUUUCAUCUCAUACAAAAUUGAAGAUCCAUUUGAGUUCAUAUACAACAUGAUCAUUGUGAAGUUGUUAUCUUGAACUUAUGUCUAAUGCCAUCUUUUGAAGUCAUCUGAUAUAUGGGCAAUUUGUGAAGAAGAUCAUGGAGUUGAUAAGCUUGGAUGUGGCUAUCUUUAUUUGAUGUCUUGCUCUCCAACUUGCUAUUGAUAUAUUGUUUGUUAAUUGACUCUAAAGUCCAAGGGAAAUUUGGGUUUCUAUAUGACAUUCUUGUCUAUUGGAUUGCAGCCCAUUGGUCAGAUCUUUUCAACUUUUAACUUUUUAAAUUUGUGCUUAGGAUUAGUCUCCUCAUCUCCUCCCCACUUAUUUAAUUUCAAAAUCUCUUCCCCCUUUCUUAAAAUCUUCUUUGCUUGUGCUUGUUUUCUAAACUUAGACUAUAUUGCAAAUUAGAAACUUUGGCCUUAUGCCAUUGCAUUUUCAACCUUCUUUUCUUAAAUAAACUUGUAAAUAAACUUAAAUAUACUUGACCUAAAAUUUUCAAAAGACAUAAAAAACUAACACUAAUUCAAACCAUUUUAGGCCUCUUGUGCCUUUGUUAAACUUAAAAUUUUGUUAAAAGCAAUGUACUCACUUUGAAAUUGAUACCACGAACUACAAGGUUUUGUUCCUUUAUUUUACGUUGGUACGUAGGCACAAGUCCGAAGGUCUAGUCAAACACAAAAUUAUAAUUAAUGAAUUCUUUUCUCACCCCCACACUCCAUUUUAUUGCAAACAUCAUUUGUACAAAAACACUUAUGCACACAAAAAUGGGCUCCCUAGGGGUACCUAAGACACUUUAGGUGUUAACAUCUUCCCUCUGUGUAACCAACCCCUAUACCUGUAAUCUCUGACAUUUUAUUAGUUUUGAUUUCAUAACUUCUUAUCUUUGGGUUUUGUUCGUACUUUUCCCUUUUCCCUUGGAAACAAUAAAAGCGCGGUGGCAACUCUGGUUUAAUUGGCGUCUAGCUUAUCCAUAGCUUGAUGGUCAUGAAUUUACCGCUACAAAAACUAAGUGGCGACUCUGCUGGGGAGUAGUCUCCAGUGGGUUUAGCCUACUUUUUUGUGUGUAUAUAACUGUAUAUUUGAUGUAUGUAUAUUUGCUUGUAUGAUAUAAUCUGCUUGUUGUGCUUGGUGAUCUCUGAGUGGUGAGAUAAGUUCUAACCCGAACUUAAGUGCAAUUAAGAUAGGAGGAUGGUAUAGUCAUGUUCGUCUUGUGUGGAGUAGUCCUUAACAAGUUGGCUUGAGACCCAUCUACUCAGUGGAGACCCUUUUGGAGUUAUGAAUGUCACACAAGUUAUUUGUGGUUAGGCAUUACUAUCUCUGAUUUGGGGUCCGAGAAGCAUAGUCCUUAACAAGUUGGCUUGAGACCCAUCUACUCAGUGGAGACCCUUUUGGAGUUAUGAAUGUCACACAAGUUAUUUGUGGUUAGGCAUUACUAUCUCUGAUUUGGGGUCCGAGAAGCUGAGGACCGUAGAAAAUUUAACCCCUCUUGGCCUAAUUAGGACGUAGUGCAGAGACUGUUUAAGUGUAGACUUGAUCACAGUUGUUACGCGAUGCUACACUCAGACGAGUUUCUCUUGAGAAUAUUAUGGGUUGAUGAGUCAUUCUUUCUAACCUAUAAUAUAUGAUAGAUGGAAUUAAGACUCUGGGAACUUUUUAGAACAUGAUCUACAGGUUUUUAUCCUUAGUUCACUCCCUUGGGAUGGUUCUUACCCAGACUCCAUGCUCGUGACUCACAAUAAACCCUUGAUUCUUGGUUGAUCCAAUCCAGUCUUGUCAAUAUCAAUGGAACUUGGGUGUUGAUAAGGUGUAAACCACAAUCCACCAAAAUGGAUGAUUGAUCUUGACAAUGACUUGAUUCAUCCCUUGACCUUUGUUUGUUUGCCUUAUGUGUGAUCCCUUGUUUGUGAUUGUUUCAUUCAUGCAUUCAUGUUCAUCAUAACAUUCAUCACACGGAAAUGUCAAGGAACUGAGGUAUUAUUUGCAAAUAUUUUCAAACCAUGGAUUGUGGACGAAGGAACACUAAGAAGUACAGUUUCAGGUCCCCAUAUUUGAAAGAGUUAAGGAAGCUUGUAUCUUUUGUAUUAUAUCCCUUGGACUUCAAGCAACAUCAUCGGAAGCUUCUGUCUAUUCUAUCUGCUGAUGUGGUUGAAGGACUCUUGAGUGUGUUGGUUCAGUUCUAUGACCCUCUCUACCGUUGCUUCACUUUUCCUGAUUAUCAGCUCGUACCUAUGUUGGAGGAGUAUGCCCGUCUCUUGGGAAUACAUGUUUCUAGAAAAGUGCCUUUUAGUGGAUUGGAAGAGAUUCCCAGAUCUCAUCUUAUUGCUGAAGCCCUUCACUUGAAAAAGUCUGAGAUAGAGGCUCAUUGGGUGAAGAAAGGAGGAUUGUUUGGGUUGACUUAUGAGUUCCUCAUCAAGGAAGCUACUGCUUUUGCUUAAGCUGGUAGUGUGCAUGCUUUUGAAGCCAUCUUUGUAUUGCUCAUCUAUGGGUUGGCUUUGUUCCCCAACAUUGACGGUUUUGUUGAUGUUAACGCCAUUAGAAUUUUCUUGAUUGCGAAUCCUGUGCCUACUUUGUUAGGAGAUAUGUACUUCUCUUUGCAUCUAAGGAAUUCUAAAGGUGGUGUAACUAUUGUGUAUUGUGUUCCUCUUCUGUACAAGUGGUUUAUUUCGCACUUGCCUCAAACACCUGCUUUUAUGGAGAACAAACAAUGUCUACGGUGGUCUCAGAGACUUAUGCCUCUCAUUAAUGAUGAUAUAGUUUGGUAUGAUCCUUCAUUGAGCAGUUUGGAUAUUAUUGAUUGUUGUGGUGAAUUCUCUAAUGUGCCUCUCAUUGGUACACAGGGAGGAAUUAACUACAACCCUGCUUUGGCUCGUCGUCAACUUGGGUUCCCCUUGAGAGACAAACCUAAUAAUAUUUUGUUAGAAGGUAUUUUCUGUCAAGAGGGUAAAGAUCCCCAACAUUUGAAGCAGAAGAUUGUGAAUGCUUGGCAUAAUGUGCAUAGGAAAGGAAUAUUUGAGCUUGGUCCGCACAAUUGCGUAGCUUUGGAAGCUUACACUUUUUGGGCGAAGAAGAGAGCUUUGGAGUUGAAGAUGCCUUAUGCUUGCGAAAUACCUAUGUCUAUGGUUAUGGAUGAGCCAUUAACUCUCCCUAACCAAGAUGUAGAGGAGUUGGAAGACGCGCUCGCCAAGAUGAAGCAAGAGAAGGAUACAUGGGAAGAGCGUUUUCAUGCUUUGAGUAUAAAGCAUGAGGAGUUGCAACUUGAGUCUAAGGACAAAGAUGCACUUAUUGAGCUACUUGAAGACCGAGUAAGAAAGAGACAGAGAGAGCUAGAGGUUUCAUCUUCCUCUAGUAUGCCUCAGCCUCCCGUUGAUUGGAAGAGGAUUGUUGACCAGCUUGUCCUCGAGAAGACUCGGAUGAAGGCUUCUUUUGAGACCGAGAUCCAACGCAUCCGAAGGAAGUACGUGCCUGUAGCCAGAUCUUCUGAUGUUGUUAGGGAUCCUUAGGAUGACUAGUCUCCUUUUCUCUUGUAUUUUGUAUUUUUGGUUUCUGGAAUUGUACUUGGUGUAAUCCUUCCAAUUAUAUAAAUAAAAAAUAUUUUUAUGGUCAUAUCAAAUUAUUGCAAUUACUGUUAAAUAUAUAUAUUUGCAAAUAAAAUAGUAAGUUCCUUGAAAAUAAAAACAAUCAAGCAUUGCAUUUCAUGCAUCAUUUGCAUAAGCAGGUUUAUCUUUCGCCAGAUGUCUUAUUGGUAUUUCUUCUGUGCUUCAGCCAAGCUGACUCAUCGAUACAAAACCCACGCCAAUCACUCAAAGAUUAUGGAGCAUCUAGAAGAAGAGAACGAAGACUUGAAGGAUGAGAUCGCCCGUCUGACUACCAUGAUGGAGUCAGUGCUAGCCGCUCAGAGCCAAUCUUCUCCAACACCUACAACUCCUCCUCCUCAGAGGACUGUUAUUUCCGAGGUUGCUACCUCUACCUUUGAGGACCGCGCGCCAAACGUAAAAGCUUACCCACUACCUGCCCAUGGAAGUUCAUCUGUUAAUAUGGUGGACGGUUGUCCUGGCGAGUUCAAGGUAUUUGAUGUACGCUUCAUUAGAAGGUCCUUGGUGAGGAUGCACAAGGAUAUUUGCUAGGUUAGCGAUUUUGAGCAUGAUCAUGAUGGUUGUGCUAUUUGCAGUGUCAAUCCCAAAGGUUGUAUGGUUGUGAAUAGAGACAUCCAGAGGUUGAUGGAUGAAGGUUUGAUUCAGAUUGUUCAGUCCCGUCAUGUAGAUGACGAUGUCAACGUUAUAGUCCCGGUUUUUAAAACUCCUGAGAGAAUGGUGAUUCAGUACGACAACAGCAAUAGUAACAACGUCAACAACAGAUCAAUAUCGUCGUUGGUUAUACAGUUAGUGGGCCCCAUCCCAUAUGCAUCCGAUAAGGCUGUCCCAUAUCAGUAUAAUUCUACCAUGUUAGAGAAUGGUCAAGAGGUUCCUUUGCCUAUGACCAGUUCCGUUGUAAGUAUAGCUGAUGUUACUAAGGUGACUCGUAACGGUCGUGUCUUUGGGCCAGUGUUCCCAAAGAAUGUGGAAGAUUUGUCUGUUAGCAAGAAGGUUGAUGUACCAGUAGUAGAGUCUGUUAGCGUUCUAAGGUGUUAGUCUGGUGAAUCCAUCGACUUGAAGCCUAACGUUGAUGAUGAGGUGCUUAGAUUGACCAAGAAGAGUGAGUUCAAUGUGGUGGAGCAGUUGCUCCAAACUCCCUCCAAGAUUUCAGUAUUGUCUCUAUUAAUGAAUUCAGAAGCGCACAGAGAAGCACUGCCGAAAGUUCUAGAGCAAGCUUACAUGGAACAUGAUGUUAUGGUGGAUCAGUUCGAUCAUAUUGUGGCAAACAUAACUUCCUGCAAUAAUCUCAGUUUCUGUGAUGAAGAACUCCCUGAGGAGAGUAGAAAUCAUAACUUGGCUCUACUCAUUUCGAUGAAUUGCAAGGUGGACGCUCUGUCAAAUGUGUUGGUAGACACCCGGGUCUUCAUUGAAUGUACUUACGAAGUCAACUUUGUCUAGGCUGACAUACCAAGGAGCUCUUAUGAGAUAUAGCAGCGUGAUCAUCAAGGCAUUUGAUGGCUCUCGUAAAACUAUGAUCGGCGAAGUGGACCUUCCAGUAAAGAUAGGUCCGAGUGAUUUCCAAAUUACUUUCCAAGUAAUGGAUAUCCAUCCGGCCUAUAGCUUCUUGUUGGGAAGGCCAUGGAUUCAUGAGGCAGGAGUUGUUACUCCAACGUUGCAUCAGAAGCUGACAUUUGUUAAAAGUGGAAAACUUGUCAUUGUUGGAGGGGAGAAGGCGUUGUUGGUCAGCCACCUGUCAUAUUUCUCUUAUGUAGAAGCUGAGGAUGAGGUUGGAACUCCGUUCCAAGCCUUAUCUAUUGCUAGAGAAAAGAGAGUUGGGGCACCCAUGUCAUUAUUCAAAGAUGCAAAGAAAAUUAUUGAAGAGGGUCAGUCUGAUCAUUGGGGACAGAUGGUAGAGGUCUCCGACAACAAGAGCAGAGCCGGUUUGGGUUUCCAACAAGGUUCAUUUGUGGUUAGAUCUGAAGAUGCGCAACCCAAUUUCUGUAGAGGAGGGUUCAUUCGUGGUAAUGAACAACACUUAGUUGUGGUGCUAGAGGGUGAUGAAGAUGAAGACUACCCAAUUUUGUGAUGCAUGGAAAAGCUUGCAACAAUUGGACUGCUGUUGAUAUUCCUGUUAUUAUGCAUCGAUCUAAGUAAUUGCUUUUAUUUGUUUUUUGAAAAUCCUUCUCAUAUGCCUAAGGGAGAAGUGAACAUUGUUUGGGCAUUUUCAAACUUGGUCAUCAAUAAAAUAUAAUUCUAUUCAUCCACAUCUAUGAUGUUUUAUUUUUACUUUUUGCUUUAUUCUGAAAAUGGUAAUCACAAAAAAAAUAUAUAAAUAAAUAACAUAAUUGUCCAUCGGCAUAAUAUUUGGUCACAAUUCACUUCUCUAAAAUCAAAUAUCAAACUAUUAUGCAGGUUGGUUUCUAACCCCAUCGAAUACAAUGAUCCUUCUCCUUGUCCAAAUUUUGAAUUCCCUGUGUUUGAGGCUGAGGAGGAAAGUGAUGAAGAAGUAGGUGAUGAAUUGUCUCAUCUUCUUGAGGACGAGGGAAAAGCCAUUCAGCCAUUCAAAGAUUAAAUUGGGUUAGUCAACUUGGGUUCCGAGGAUGAUGUGAAGGAAGUCAAGAUUGGGUCUCAACUGUGUCCAGAAGUGAAGAAGGGAUUGAUUGAUAUUCUCCGAGAGUAUUCAGACGUGUUUGCUUGGUCCUAUCAAGACAUGCCUGGGUUAGAUUCUGAGAUUGUGGAGCAUAGAUUGCCGUUGAAGCCAGAAUGCCCGCCAGUUAAACAAAAGUUGAGGAGAACUCAUCUUGAUGUGGCAGUAAAGAUCAAAGAAGAAGUGCAGAAGCAGAUUGACGUUGGUUUCCUUGUUACUGCUGAGUAUUCGCAGUGGGUGGCCAAUAUUGUGCCUGUUCCGAAGAAAGAUGGAAAAGUCUGCAUGUGUGUUGAUUAUAGAGAUUUGAAUAAAGCUAGCCCGAAAUAUGAUUUUCCUCUGCCACACAUUGAUGUAUUGGUGGAUAAUACAACUAAAUUCAAAGUCUUUUCGUUUAUGGACGGAUUUUCUGGAUAUAAUAAGAUCAAGAUGGCACCCGAAGAUAUGGAGAAGACCACAUUCAUUACACCUUGGGGAACAUUCUGUUAUAGAGUGAUGCCUUUCGGUUUAAAAAACGUUGGUGCAACUUACCAAAGACCAAUGACUACUUUUUUUCAUGAUAUGAUGCAUAAAGAGAUCGAAGUCUAUGUUGAUGAUAUGAUUGCCAAAUCCAUUGAUGAAGAAGAACAUGUUGAGCACUUGUUAAAGCUAUUCCAGCAUUUGAGGAAGUAUAAACUCCACUUGAAUCCCAAUAAGUGUACUUUUGGUGUUCGUUCUGGUAAGUUGUUGGGCUUUAUUGUCAGCGAGAAGGGUAUUGAAGUUGAUCCUGUCAAGGUCAAAGCAAUGCAAGAGAUGCAUGCGCCCAAAACUGAGAAGCAAGUCAUAGGUUUUCUCGGCCGCUUGAAUUAUAUCUCAAGAUUCAUUUCACACAUGACUGCCACAUGUGAGCCUAUAUUCAAGCUCCUUCGGAAAGAUCAGUCUUGUGAUUGCACCGAAGACUGCCAAAAAGCUUUUGACAGUAUCAAGGAGUAUCUGCUUGAGCCUCCGAUUCUGUCUCCUCCGGCUGAAGGAACACCAUUGAUCAUGUAUUUGACUGUGCCUGAAGAUAGUAUGGGUUGUGUUCUAGGUCAGCAAGACAAGACUGGAAAGAAAGAAUAUGCUAUUUACUACCUCAGUAAGAAGUUCACCGAUUGUGAGACUCGGUAUUCUGUGCUAGAGAAGACUUAUUGCGCAUUGGCUUGGGCUGCUAAGCGUCUGCGUCAAUAUAUGUUGAAUCAUACCACUUGGUUGAUAUCCAAAAUGGAUCCAAUCAAGUAUAUUUUUGAGAAGCCUGCUUUAACUAGGAGGAUUUCCCAUUGGCAGAUGUUGUUAUCAGAGUAUGAUAUUGAAUAUCGAUCUCAGAAAGCGAUCAAAGGUAGUGUCUUGGCUGACCAUCUGGCUCACCAACCAAUUGAAGAUUACCAGUCAGUGCAGUAUGAUUUUCCUGAUGAAGAGAUCUUGUACUUGAAAAUGAUAGACUGUGAUGAACCAUUGCUUGAAGAAGGGCCAGAGCCUGGUUCCCGUUGGGGAAUGGUAUUUGAUGGAGUUGUUAAUCAGUAUGGUAAUGGCAUUGGGGCAGUAAUUAUUACUCCUCAAGGCACUAUUUUCCAUUCACAGCUAGAUUAAAUUUCAAGUGUACAAAUAAUAUGGAAGAGUAUGAAGCUUGCAUUAUGGGGCUUGAAGAGGCCAUUGAUCUCAGAAUCAAGUAUUUGGACGUCUACGAAGAUUCAACUUUGGUUGUGAAUCAGAUCAAAGGUGAAUGGGAGACGAAUCAACCCGGUUUGAUACCAUAUAGAGACUAUGUGAGGAGGAUUUCAACUUACAUUACAAAGGUUGAGUUUCAUCAUAUCCCUCGAGAUGAAAAUUGGAUGGCAAAUGCUCUUGCAACGUUGGCUUCAAUGAUUGUAGUGAAAUAUUGGAAUGAAGUUCCUAACUUGACUGUGAUGCGUCUUGAUAGGCCAACUCAUGUGUUUGUUGUAGAAGAAGCCAAAGAUGAGAAGUCGUGGUAUUUUGACAUCAAGUGCUUCCUCCAAAGUCAAAUUUACCCACCUGGGGCAUCUCUGAAGGAUAAGAAGACUUUGAGAAGAUUAUCCGACAACUUCUACCUGAAUGGUGAUGUGCUUUACAAGAGAAACUUCAAUAUGGUUUUUCUCAGAUGCGUGGAUAGACACAAAGCAGACUUAUUUUUGAUGACUGAAGUCCAUGAAGGUUCCUUUGGUACUCAUUCAAUGGACACACAAGGGCGAAGAAGAUGUUGCGAGAAGGUUACUAUUGGCUGACAAUGGGAUCUGACUGUUGCAUGUUUGUGAAGAAAAGCCACAAGUGUCAAAUCUAUGCAGAUAAGAUUCAUGUUCCUCCAAAACUGUUGAACGUCAUUUCCUCCCCAUGGCCCUUCUCCAUGUGGGGAAUUGACAUGAUUGGCAUGAUUGAGCCCAAAGCUUCAAACAAACAUCAUUUCAUUUUGGUGGCUAUUGACUACUUCACAAAAUGGGUUGAAGCGGCAUCGUAUGCAAAUGUAACCAAGCAAUUUGUUGUGAGGUUUAUAAAGAAUCAGAUCAUAUGCCGUUAUGGUGUGCCAAAUAAGAUCAUUACUCAUAAUGGAUCAAACUUGAAUAACAAUAUGGUGGAAGCUCUUUGCAAAGACUUCAAGAUUGCACACCAUAAUUCUUCUCCCUACAUACCUAAGAUGAAUGGGGUUGUUGAAUCUGCAAAUAAGGACAUCAAGAAGAUCAUUCAGAAGAUGGUUGUAAUGUAUAAAGAUCGGCAUGAGAUGCUCCCAUUUGAUUUGCACGGGUAUCGUACAUCCAUCCGCACUUCAACAUGGGCAACCCCCUUCUCACUUGUUUAUGGUAUGAGAUCACAUCUUUCAUACCAUAGAGGUUGAGAUCCCAUCAUUACGUAUGCUCAUGGAAGCCAAGUUGAUUGAGGAUGAAUGGUGUCAGACAAGGUAUGAUCAGCUGAAUUUGAUUGAAGAGAAGAGGUUGACUGCCAUGUGUCAUGGUCAGUUAUACCAACAGAGGAUGAAGAAAGCUUUUGACAAGAAGGUCAAACCUCGUGUGUUUAGAGAAGGUGAUCUUGUGCUCAAGAAGAUUUUAUCUUUCAAACCAGAUUCUAGGGGCAAAUGGACUCCUAAUUAUGAAGGCCCAUAUGUUGUUAAGAGAGCCUUUUCAGGCGGUGCUUUGAUUCUUAAUGUGCUCAAGAAGAUUUUAUCUUUCAAACCAGAUUCUAGGGGCAAAUGGACUCCUAAUUAUGAAGGCCCAUAUGUUGUUAAGAGAGCCUUUUCAGGCGGUGCUUUGAUUCUUACAACUAUGGAUGGUAAAGAGUUUACUUGUCCUGUGAACACAGAUGCAGUCAAGAAAUACUUCGCCUAAAAAAAGAAAAGAACAGCUCGCUAAGUUGAAAACCCAAAAGGGCGGCUUAAGCAAAAAUGAGUGUCUCGGUGGAUUGAAAACCCGAAAGGACGGUCCAGGCAAAAGUUAGAGACAUAAAACAGAAAGAGUUAUCCCAAUAAAUUGAGUACCCCACCUUGGGGAAAUUUAUGCAAAAAUUAGGGAUUAUGGCAAGUAACUGCAUCCUGCUGAUCUUCAGUUCUGAAGACUUUCUUGAGCACAUCGUCGGAUUCUAAUCCCCAGUGGCAGCCAAGAGCAUAGUGGAUAUCAAGAGAUGGUAGAAGGAUUAGUGAUCGUUGUAUUCAAUGUAGCCCCUUUUCAUAUAAAUUACCAUUUUUAAUUUUUGUAAAGAUCUAUAGAGUCCUGCCAUUUACAGACUACCAUUCUAUUUAAAUAAAGUUGAGCUUUUAUCCAAUUGUUUCUACUCGUAUUUAAUUCAGCCAAAUAGUUUUAAAUUUUAUUAUGAUCAUUUUGAAAAUUAAAAUUUUAAUCAAAAAGCAUAUUUUCUUAAACAUAUGAAAGCAUUAAAUCUAAGUAAUCGAUUUCAUUUAAAAGGAAUAUCAAUAAUGGUUUGAAAGGAAUAAUCCCUAAGCAUGGAGCAUUAUUGGUUCUCCCUAAAGCAGUAGGUGCGUUUCCUCUUUCAUCCCUGGCAAUGUGUUUAGCACCCGGUGUCUGUUGAUUUCCCCAGUUGUUAAUCCGCCGUUGUCUCUAGCUGGUUUAUGGUUGUUCCCCAGCUAAGUGAGGGCAUUUCGUUGCGGCAGUUUGCAUCAGUUUCGAUAGAACUUUGGUUUCCCCGCAAGUCGCCAUCAAGUUCAUUCCCAAUCAGAGUUUUCUCAUGGUUUCUGAGCAGCUAUUUGUGUUUAUCCCCUGCGGGGUUGUCUCCCAUUUGAUAUGGUGUUGACCUAAAAUUCCCCGCUGAGUUAGUAGCGGUUUCCUCAGCAGAUAUCCUAUCUUCUUCCCCAGCUAGGGUCGAGCCUUUUAGAUGUUGAUCUCUCUUUUCUCCAGCAGUUUAUUUCCCUCUUUUGUGGAUUGGCCGAGAAUUGUAUCGAUGAUUCAAAUUUGCGACAUUUUUCUAUCCUUUGCGAUUGUUUUCAUCAUAAUCAUCAUAUACACACACACAUAAUCAUCAUAUAUAUAUAUAUACACACACACACAUAUACAUAUACACUCAUAUAACCUCAUUAUUGCAUCAUUACACCAAUUGAUUCAUUUUUGAGAUUCUUAUCCCCUGAUAUGGUGACACUUUAUCCCCAUUCAGGGUCGGCGCGUCUGUCCUCCUUCAAUUAUAGAGUGUCAGCCCCCCUUUAGCAGAAAGACUUUAACCUUUCUCCUUUCCCCACUGAGUUAUUUCCUCGUGGAUGAUUAUUAUUUCAGCUUCCUCUCCAGUUGAUUAUCUGGAUGGAACCACUCCCCUUGAGUUAUUUACGUUUCCCUAGGAUGUAUAUCCUUGAUAUGAUCAUCCUAACCGAUGACAGAUACUUUUUCCCCCUGCUUUGAGUUUAUCCUUGAUAUGUUCAUCCUAACCGAUGACAAAUAUCCUCUUUUUGGUAUUCUACCCAGUAAAAAGGUAGUCGUAAUCCCUAUUUGUUUCUCAGAGAGUUAAUCCUUGAUAUGUUCAUCAUAACCGAUGACAGGUUUCCUUCUCUUUGCGGUCUUCUUCCCAGUAACCGGUAGUUGUAAAUCCUGCUUUUUCUCCCCUUGAAGAGUUUAUCCUUGAUAUGUUCAUCCUAACCAGUGACGGAUAUUCUUUUUUUUUUGGUAUUCUAUCCUGUAACUGAUAGAUGUGAUCCCUAUUCUUCCCCUCGGAGUCUAUCCUUGAUAUGUUCAUCCUAACCGGUGACAGAUAUUCUCUUUGAUGGUAUUCUAUCCAGCAUUCGAUAGAUGUAAUUCAUACUCUUGAUGUUCAAGUGGUUUAUGCUUGAUAUGUUCAUCCUAACCGAUGACAGGUAUCCUCUUUGACAUCCUCAGGCAAGUCUAUCCUUUAUAUGUUCAUCUUAACCGAUGACGGAGCCCCUCGUGUCCGCCCAACAGUUUUUAAGUCGUAGCCUCGCCUACGCAUAACCUUUUAUUCCCCCCAGAGUCUCUGUUCCCCAGUGAGUUUUCCUUACGGAAUUCAUUACGCUCUUGUGAACUUUUAGGCUCUCUGAAUUCUUUUCCUUUGUGGCAAUAUUUCCCCAAGGAGAGUUUAGUUUAGCAUUCAUAUCAUAUGCAUCAUGAGGUCUCUUAGGGACCAAAAUUUGUUUCUAUACGUUGUUAUUUAAGUCCAUUCUACUGAGUCGAUACAAAGAUUUUAACCUUCAUCUCCUCAGCUAGAACGUCCUUAAAUAGGGGCAGCUGUAAGACCCCAAUCUUGACCCUAAGAUCCCUCAUGCUAUCUUAUCAUAUGCAUUGGCAUUGCGAUCACAUCUUGGCAUCCUCCUUACCCCUCAUUCAUUAGGUUUGUAUUGGGAGAGAUCACCAAGCACCAUAUUAUUGUAUCAUACUUUGUAUUUUAUCAUUUUUACUAACUAAAAUACCAAAAAUAUGCCUUUGAAUUUGUCUAACUCUUUUGUAGAUAGGGCACUUGAUCCCCUUUGUUCUAUCAAGUUCACAUCUAGGGUUUAAGACCCUCAUUGCUAAGAGCUCAACUAAGAAAUGAUCCACAAUGGCUCUAGGCAUCAUAUAUGAGUCCCCAUGAUCUUUUCAUGUUAUUUUGAUCAAGAAUUCUUCAAGAGUUUGGAUUUGGUUUGAAUUUGGUUUGCCUUGGAAACCCUAGUUCAUCUGGGUAUCUUGAGUAACUUCUUCAACAAGCUUCUUCACCACUUGAUCAAAUAUUUCAAGGUACAUUUCAAAUUUCAUCAUCUUAUGCAUAUAUGAUAUCCCAUGAGCCCCAAAAGUCAAGAGAAUUGCAAGUUUGCAAGGUGGUUGAUGGUAGUUGACUAGAGGAAUUCAUAUGAUCAAAACUCGGGUCCCCUAGAACCUAUCUCCUACAAUUUGCAUCAUAUGAAAAUUAUUACAAGAGAAAAGUUACUCCAAUUGACAUUCCAAACAACUUUCAUAUUUAGGUCUAGAGCUAAUUUUUCUUGGAAAGUCAUUUUUUAUGUUGAAAGGUUAUAGGUCAUUUUGUUUAAACCCUAAUUUGGAGGUCAACUUCCCAAGGCCAUAACUUCCUCAUUUUUUAUGAGAUGAAAGAUUCCAUGGUUGAAAAAUUAAAUUCAAGGUGUCUAAUUCAACUUUAAUGUUUGUAGGAAGAGAUAAUUCAACUUUUAUGAGCAUGUGAUAUAAGGAUACAUUAUAGGUCAUUUUGGACCAAUACCAUUGAACAAGUGAUUUUCCUCAAUUUCAAAAAUGCAUAACUCAUUCAUCCCAAAUCCAAGUAAGGUCAAAUAUGUGACCAUUUUCAAUGUUUUUGAAAUAUCUACAACUUUUAUGAAGACAUGUUUCUCAUUUGAAGCUUACAUAAAAAGUUAGCCAAGGUGGAAUAAGUGAACAUAUGGCUUAACACUUAGAAAAUUUUUUGACAUGUUGAAAUUUCCAAACUUCCACCUCAAAAUUCAUGAUGAUACAAGCUUCAAAUGAAAAAGUAUUUAACGCAAGAGUUGUUCCUCUUGGUCUCACCUUUUCAAAGAGUCCAAAUGCAUCCAUUUUGGACAAGGUUUGAGUGGUAUGCGCAUGGCUUGAACAUGGCAUCAUCAUUUGGCAAGGAUCAACUUCAAACAACUGUACACUUUUGCCUUGCAUUCCAAUCCACUUUCAGACUCAAUUACAUGUGAUUAUGGACUUAAUUGAGUAGCUUCAUGGGCCUGUACACGCCCAUGCAAGCAUGCAUCACUCAAUUGCCAAAUAUGGAAACAACUUUGAAGGUGCAAAUAUCACUUGCUUCAGCAAUAAAUAAGAGUCCCUUGCAUCGGAAUUAGGGACCCCUUGUGCGCUAGCUUUGCCUCCACACUUCAAACCCUCACUAUUGAAAGGAAACCUGAGAAUUUUCUUUUGAAAAUUGAUUUUGAAUCUCACUGUUUGGAGAUUCAAAACUCCAGGGAUCCAAAGCUUUGUUUCAUUCCUAAGCCACUCUUGCAAGCUUUCUGAGGGAGAUCUAACAAGAAUAUCGAGUUCUGCACAACACUGAAGGUAUUUUCAUGAUUUUUUCUUCUCUUCGUUUCUCUCUCAAUUCUCAUCAAUUCUCUUGGAUCCUUGGUUGUCUGAAGUCCUACCAAUAUAGGCAAGAAGAUUGAGUUGCUUUGAGGCCAAAUCGAAGCAACUCAGUUCAUGUACCUCAAAUUUCAACUCCAUCUAUCUCUCAAUAUACUUGGAGUUAGGAUGAAUUGAGGCCAGAUUCGUGAUCAGUUCCAUUUUUACUUUAAAAUCAUGUCCUUCUUUUUCAUUUUUGUGAUGGUGAUGAGAGAACCAGUCUGGCCAAGGUCGCCUGAGAAGACGACCGACGCUUUGCUCCGGUGAUGAGCUGGAUAGGUUCUGAGCCAUAGGAUCAAGCCAUUUUAUUUUAAUCAUGAGCGUUCCUUUUGAAUACCAUUGUGUGGCGCACUGACUCGAGUGUAUGAUGGAAUGCGUGGUUUGGUCCACUUGAUCUUCCACCUCAAUUAAUGAGGGAGAUCAAGUGGUCCACGUUAUUUCUUAUUAAUUGAUUUUCAUUUUAUUUGUUUUAUUUUCAUUAAUUCAUAUUAAAUUUAAUAUUGAUCCAAAAAAUAUGAGAGUUUCACCAAAACAAUUUAAAUAAAAUCCUCUUUCAUUUUCUGAAUUAAAAUUAUUUUUUGGAUCAUUAUUAAUAUGUUUCAUGAUUUAAUUGAUUUUGUGAAUAUUUUUAAUUUUUUAAAAAUACUUUUAAGUUUCCAAAAUAUAUAAAAAAUUUCUCCAAGGUCCUUUGACCUUGUUUGACCUAAGAUAAAUCUCAUGGCCAUUUCUUUGGUGUUUUGAUGAGGUUUUAGGAAAUUGACCAACCAUAAUUUAAUUUAAUGUAUAAUUUUAUUAUUUUUAAUUGCUUAAAUGCCAAAUAAAUUAUGUAGAGCCAUUUUAAUUGAUUUUGUGAGUUUGACUUCUGUUGUUGGGCCUUGGUAAAGGUUGAUUUGACUUUGCUAUGUUAAGAUCAUUGGAUUUAGAGGAUUGAUGGAAUGUACAUUCCAUCUCCCAAAAUGAAUGAAUGGUCGUAAUUUGGUAAAAGUCCUCCUUUGACCAAUUUGUGUUUAAUCCAUUCCCCAUCCCUCUUCAUCUCAUUCCCAUUCUUUAUCCAUUCAUGUCAUGGACCUAUGAUAUCUCUAUAUCCUAAGGCUAGUUGAUUGCAAAAUCAACAUAAGUAUGGGUGAGAUUAGAUCCCCCAUUUUGCAUAUUAUUUUUAUGCGUGGCAUGUCUCAUGAGCAUAGUUUAUCAUACUAUGUCUCUAACAUGUAUUAGCACCAAAAUUUUAUUGCCCGACCUCAAAUAGUUAUGACUUCUACAUAAGUCCAAUUACGAUUGCUUAACAUAGCACUAAAUUUGUGACACAAAGCGCAUAGCAUUCUAGUUAGUGAGAUUGUAAGUCUUCCUUCUUUCAUGGUAUUGUGUGGAAACUUGGCCUUUUUCCCUUCCUUUGGAAGAUGUCUUGGUUCGAGGAUCCAUGCUUGUGAUAAGUUGGUUGAGUGUUAUCCAAAGAAUGACUUAAAUAAAAACAAAGCAAUAUCAAUACUAACUUCUAAUCAACUAACAACUAAAAUUUAAUUUCAAUUCAUUUAUUUUUAAUGCACCUUAUUUUUUAAGCUUUAUUCACUUUCCAUUAUUCAUACCAUUCAAGUUGUUUACUUUAAUGUCAUUUUCCCUUUGUCCACUUGGACCAUAUUUUAUGAUAUAUUGUGUUUGUAUAUACUUGUGUGUUUGUGUGGUCUUUUGACCUUAAUGUACAUAAUAAGAACAAAAACCCUAAAAAACACUUUGUAUAGACUGUUGGUUUGAUCUGAGACUAUUGGACUUAGAAUUUAGGCAACACUCCUUAUGCAGAGGACUUGGUCAAUGCCAACUUUCAUGAAACCAAGUACUUGUGAAGUGAACUUUCAUCUGAUACAAAAUUGAAGAUCCAUUUGAGUUCAUCUACAACAUGAUCAUUAUGAAGCUGUUAUCUUGAACUUAUGUCUAAUGCCAUGUUUUGAAGUCAUCUGAUAUAUGGGCAAUUUUUGAAGAAGAUCAUGGAGUUGAUAAGCUUGGAUGUGGCUAUCUUUAUUUGAUGCCUUGCUCUCCAACUUGCUAGUGGUAUAUUAUUUGUUGCUUGAUUCUAAAGUCCAAGGGAAAUUUGGGUUUCUAUAUGAUAUUCUUGUCGAUUGGAUUGCAGCCCAUUGGUCAAAUCUUUUCAACUCUUAACUUUUUAAAUUUGUGCUUAGGAUUAGUCUCCUAAUCUCCUCCCCACUUCUUUAAUUUCAAAAUCACUUCCCCCUUUUUUAAAAUCUUCUUUGCUUGUGCUUGUUUUCUAAACUUAGACUAUAUUGCAAAUUAGAAACUUUGGCUUUAUGCCAUUUGUAAGACCCCAAUUUUGUCCCUAAGAUCCCUCAUGGCAUCAUAACAUUGCAUUGCAUAGCCUCAAGGAUCAUUGAGCAUCUUGGCUCCCUUUCCCUUUGGGUAGGGAUCUCUUGUGAUGGGUUUGAGAUCACCAAGCAUGCUUGAAUUGUAUAUCAUUUCUUUUGUCAUUUUUUUACUAACCAAAGACAAAAUAUGUCUAACAUCUUUUGUUUGUAGCUUAAGCAAUCACCAGGUCAAGAGUUUCAAGAAGAUCCUUUGUGCAAGAGAUGAGGUAAUUUACUUGGGAUGAGGAUCACAUGAUUAAUAUAAGGAUCUUACAUGAGCUAGGGUUUCAUUUUGAAGCAAUUUCACCAAGUGGUAGAGGCACAAGUUAAAUCAAGACAUUUCAAGGUCAUCUGAGGACCAAAAUCACUGUGCAGUCAACCUGAGGGCUAUGAGGUGGGGAAAUGAGUUGAGACACCUCAAUCAUGUUCAAAUAGGGUCUAUUCAUCAUUCUAAACAUCCAUCUUGAAGAUUCAAAGGUCAUGGCAAAAGUUACUAAAAAUGGAAAAUGACCUAUAAUUCGAAGUUUCCAAAUUUGGCAAGUUUUUGGUCCACCUUCAACUUGACUUGUCAAUAUCAAAGAUGUUUCAAAUGGAUUUUUGGUGAACAUGAAAGUUGUAGAUCUUUGUCUCCCCUUUCCAAAAAGUCCUAAUUCAUGUCCAUAUCAUGAAUGGUUGAGAAGUUAUGGUCAUUUGAUCACAAAGUGUGCAUGGAAAUUCAAAAUGGCAUAACUUUUGAUAUAAUGCUUCAAAUUGGUUCAUUAUUUUGGCAAAAUGCUUCUCAUGUUCAAGACAUCUCAAAAUGAGCUUUGCCAUGCAUGGGAAAAGUGUGCAUGCUCAUUAUUUCACACAUGUGAAAAUUGAAGAAAAUAUUCACCAUUCAUUUUUUGGCUUAAGAUGCAAGCUAACAAAUACUCAAAGCAUGACCAUUGGAUGUUCUUAAGUGGAUUUAAGCCUUAACAUGGAGCUGAUCACGUGUAUUAUGGGCAUGUGAGCUCAUUUUGCAUUUUUGCAAAUUGCUUCAUAACUCCUUAAUCAUGAUUAACCAAUGGAAAAUAUGAUUAGCAUUGUCAUUAGCAUGGGAUAUAAAUACUGAAACCCUAAUCAAAACUGCAAAGAACCACCAUUUUCAGAUCUGAAAUUCAAGAACUCUCCAAAAUUCUCUCUCUUCGAAUUUGAUUUUUCUUCACACAAUUCUCAAAGAUCAUUGCAUAUUUUUGUUCCUAGUGCUUCACUGAGCAAGAUUCAUCCACUAUUUGGUGCAAUUCAUCAAGGAAUCGAGCAGUACAAGAGCAUGAACAUGGCAAUCAGAUUUGGAAAUUGAAGCAGAUUCAAGAGGAUUCAACCGUUUAUUUUUGCUUAAAGCUUCAUAGGAAGAUCAUAGGAGAAGAUCUGGAGCUGUAGAGCUUGAGAGAACACGUUUUCAGAAAGCUUCAUUUCCAGGUGAUGCAAUUUUAGAUCUCUCCUUUUGCUGUUUUUUGAACAUAGAACUGUAGAUCUUGUUGAGUAGAGCACAAGUAUGUGUUUAGAUUUAGAAUUUAGUGAGAAUUGAGAAUGUUAGGUUGACUAGAAGUUUGGAUCUAGAAAAUGUUUCUCUUCGAUCUGUAGAAUCUAUGAGGAAUUAGGGAAAUCUAAGGUCAUAUUUGGAACCUACGUUGGGAGACGAGUCAAACGGUAUAGGACUCGUGAGAUUCUGGAAAAUUUUGGGCGGCGCCACCGUGAGGCUUGCCGGAGAAGACGACCGGAGCUGUAGCUCCGGCGUCUGUAUCAUUUUAGGGUUUGGUGAUGUGUACUGCCAUGUGUUCCAUUGCAUGGACAAGCGAUUGGAUGAUGUUGCUUUGACUGAGCCACGCGUGUGUUGAAGCGCUGAGUGGCAUGCUGAUUGGUUUAAGUGAAACUGCGCGUUUUGAUGUUUAAACCUGGACCAUUGAUCUGGAGCGCGCGCCAGAUCUGAUGGUUGUGGAGUUUUUUGGCUUUACUCAAAUUAAUUCGUUUCCCUCCAUUUUCAUUUGAUUAUUCAAUUAUUUUGCUUAUUUUGUAAAAUUCAUAAAAAAUGCAAAAAUGAUCCAAAUGAGUCCCAUUUUUUUUUCAUGGUUUUGUAUGGAUGUCUACUUUUUUAUGAUGCUGAUUUCAUGAAUUUUUGAUGUCUGGAUUUUUAUUUGUGAAUUUUUGAAUGAACAUUGUGCUAAUUUGAUCUAUUGCAAUCAAUGCAUUGUGAAAUCCUCAUCUUUGAGCCAUAUGAUCCAAUUUUUUGCAUACAUGACAUUCAUACAUAAUAUGAAUUAUUGGUCACUGGUUUGGAAUUUUUCUCACAUGUUAUCAUCAUUUUUGACACAUAGGGAAUAAUGUGACAAUUUGUGUCACAUUUUUGACAUUGAAUUGGUGAAUUUUUGUUCACAUGACAUUUGCAUCAUUCUGGAUUUGAUUUUUUGCAUGAUGAUUACUCAUGACAUGAGGAACUUGUACAAAAAAGCUCAAAGUCAUUGCAUGCAUUUCUGAUUUGGUAUGAAUUUUCUAAGUUGGAAGUUUAUUUUGUGCAUAUUUUUGGUCAUUGCCUGGCAUAGACAAUUAGAGGCAUUUGAUUUUUUGAUUUGAUGCUGGUCCUUUUGAGGACAUUUAGUGGAGUGUUGGAAGGUGUAAUGUGUAGAAGAUUGGGUUCUGGUUUGGUCAUUUGGUUAGGUUUUUAAUUCAUCUCUUAUGCUUUUGUUUGUUGGUGUUUGUUGUGUUGUUUAAAUACACAUAGACUAACUUUGUCUUGUGUUUCAGGUUUGGAUACUCAUCAUUGAUCUUGUGAGAUACAAAUGCAUUUGAGUACUGACCUAUUGUUGUUUUGUAGGGUUUUAACUGAUGUGGUGAACUCAUGAGCUCAUUUGAGUAUUAGGGCACUUAUGCACUGAAUUGUGUAAUUGUUAGAGGGUUUCACUGUUUGUUUUCUGGUUGUAUGACCGAAGUACUAAUUGUUUAGUCUUUGUACAGGUACUUUAGUUGCUUGCUUGCUUUAGCUCUUGCUUAAGCUUUGGAUUAUGGUUGACACACCACUCAGGUAAUUAGCUUCAUACUUCAUGUAGUCUGAAGUCCUGUCACCUUUUUGGCCGGCAUUUUGCUGGCAAGUCCUCCUUCAGAGGCUCUGUUUGUGUUUGUUUAAAAUUGUGCUCAAAGACCUCCAAGAAGAGGCAUGUGAUAUUUGAUAAGACCUCCAAGAGAAGAGGCAAUUGAUGGAUAAAAGGGAUUAGUAGCCAAUCCCCCGUUAUUCAGUAUGUCGUUCUUUAUGCUCGCACUACGUGCUGAUGCUUCUGAACAUGUGCCCCAGAUCUUUGUCUAGAGUUUGUCAAGUGGAAAAGGAUCCCACUUUCUUGAUCCCCACGCUUUCUUUGUCAUGAGCUCACCCCGGCCAAGGUUAAGAGCAUGAGGUCUCAUCCUCAUUACCGAUUUGAUCAACUUCACCCUAACGUUCAAUGUUAGUGGUUAAGAGCUACAGUUUGGCUUGUUCGUCGAGGUUGACAUGACCCCUCUUGACUAAAGCCCACCCAUUGUUUGAGCCUCUUGUAUGGAUAUAGUGUGUAAUGUUUGUUUACUUGUGAGUUAAGUUCUUGUUAGAGAACUCAACUUAGGGAUGUUGAUUGCAUGACAACUAUUAGGCUCGAAUCUUAAUCUCCCUAUUAGUUUGUUGUUUCUCUGGUCUCUGGUUAGGAGAGUGUUUUACCCCAUGGAACUUUUGAUGUGUGUGCUCUUGAACUAGGAGUUUCCAUUUGAGCUUAAUUGGAGGAUCAUUACCAUGUUCAUCCAAGUGGAGGAUACAAGAAACAUUGGGGAUCUCUUAUGAGACUUGUUUGAUUGCUUAUACUUUGUGCUUGCUUAUUCCAAAGGAUGGGAGCUACUUGGAUCAUCAAUAUGAUCUCAAGAGAGGAACUCCUAGUGUGGUUUCAUUUCAAUACUUUGUGCUUGCUUAUUCCAAAGGAUGGGAGCUACUUGGAUCAUCAAUAUGAUCUCAAGAGAGGAACUCCUAGUGUGGUUUCAUUUCUUAUCCCUCAUCUUUUUGUUUUCCUUAGGACUUAGCCCCUAUUCUUCAUCUCUCUACCCUAACCCAAGCCAAAACCCUUUUUGUGCAAACAUUUAACCUGUGUUUUCAACAUUAGAAACCUAAGCCGUAUGCUUUUGAUAUUCAAACUUUCUUUUCAUAGCACUCAUUUUGAAUUGAAUCUUUAAGUCAACUUUGACUACUUUUGUAUAUACUUCUAAUUGGUAGAUAUAACCCAUUCAAAUUUCCCUUGUGUGGUUCCUAUGGCCACUUUCUUAAUCAAAAUUUUCCAUAACCUUUAGCUAUUAGGUUUGAGUUAUCUUUGUGGUAGAUGUAAUACUCACCUUUGUCCUUAGUGAUGGACAAUGAGCCUUCCAUGCUUUUUAUAGGGUUAACCCCUGACUAGCAUGUUGAAGCUAUCCUCACAUGGUGGACUUGUGGUUUUAGGUUGAGUUUUCUCCCUUUGAUAACAAAAGACCUUAAGGCUUUUGGACUAAUCAAUUCACCAAUUUGUUUUGAGAUUUUUACCCCGAACUACGAGUUUUUGAUCCUAAUCUUUUUAUAAGAUGGUACGUAUGCAAUGGGUUUAUCCAUCCAAACAUAAAAUGUAAAUAACUUGUAUAUUCUCUUCUCAUCUCUUCAAUCAUGUUUGCACAAAUAAAUUUUCACAAGACAACAACCUUCACAAGUAUGAAAAGGGCUCCCUAGGAGUACCUAGGAUGUUUUGGGUGCCUAACACCUUCCCAUUGCAUAACCAACCCCCUUACCCGAUUUCUGUCUUUAUUAGUUUUUGUUCAAAACUAUUAGGUUUUGUUCGUUGUCUAACCCAUUUACCUUUGGAUAAAUAGAGUGCGGUGGCGACUCGAACUUGUAUGAUUUACCUUGAGUUAGUCAUAUCGCAAUAACCGGUACACGGAAUACCCCGCCUACACCUUCCUAUACUUUAGGAUUAACAUUGCUAAAUAUUUGGAUCCCUUGCUAACUUUAGGAGAGUUAAGCGUUUACCUUGCUAAAUAUUUAUUAAAUACAAAUAUUAUUAUUAAUAAUGAAUAAUUUAUAAAAUUAAUUUAAUUUUAGUUACAUACAGUGAAUUCAAAUGUAAACCUAUUUCUACUUUUUUACUUCAUCAUUUAAAAAAAAUCAAAAAUUAUUCGAUACUUAUAUCAACCAAAUUAAUUUUAAUAAUUCUAUGGCUUAAAGAAAUUACUCUAUAUCAAAUAAAUUUAUAGUAAAAAAGUGAAUUAACUAAAAAAUACAUAUUAUAAAUAACGAAUAAAUGGAACAACUGAGUCACUAAUUAUAAAAUAGUUAUUAUAAUUAAUGAGCUUUAACAAAUAAACAUUAUUUAAAAUUUUAAUUAGUGCAAUUAGAAAUUCAAAUCUAUUCAUUCUAUCAUAAAUUAAACUAUUUUAUUUAUUAUAUAAAUAUAUUUAUAUCAUACAGAUAACCAAAUAUUAUUAUUUUUUAUAUCUGUUAUCAUAAUAAAAUUAAAAUUCAUAUAUUUAUUGAGAUGUCAUGUAAAUGAAUGAAUGCAAAUGGUGAAUGAAUGUCAAUGCCAUGAAUCCAAUUUAUCAUAACCAAUCCGCUACAGAAAGUGGCGACUCUGCUGGGGUAAAAAGCCUAAUGGGUUUUGCCAACUUUCUGUUCUGUUUGUAUUGGUUUGUGACAUAUUUUUGUGCCAAUUUGGGAUUACUGUAUUGUAUGUAAUGAUUGAUUUGCUUGAUAUUAAUUCCUUGUAUGCUUGGUGAUCUUUGUGAGAUGAGUUCUAUACCGAACUCAAGUGCACUUAUGGAUAGGAGAAUGCAUAGUCUUGUUGACUACUGUGGAGUUAUUCCUUAGCAAGUUGACUUGCAAGUCCAUUCACUUGGUGGAGGUCAUGUUGGGAUCAAUAAUGUCACACAGUAGUUGUGGUUAGACAUUAUUUCCAAUAUAGACUUAGAAGCCAAGGACCUUAGUUUACCAAGCCCAUCUGGCCUAUUUUUAGGAUGUAGUGCGAAAGUGUUCAAAUGUAGAUUUGAUACGAUUGUUACGCAAUACACACUCAUAAGAGUCUCCUCUGAGAAUUAUUUGGAAUAACGAUUAGUCGUUCUCCGAUAAUAUCGAAAGAUGGGAUGAUGACUAUGGGAACCUCUUGUAGAACAUGUUUGCAGGUUUAAACCCUAGUACAUUCCUUUGGGUGGUUCUUAACAGACUUCCAUGCUCGUGAUUUGCAACAAACCUUGAUCAUGGUUGAUCUUCAUACAUCCUUAAUAUCAAUGGAACUUGGGUGUUGAUAAGGUGUAAACCAUAAUCCACAAAUGGAUGAUUGAUAUUAAGGAUAAUAUGAUCCAUCCCAUGACCUUUGUUUGGUGUGCUUUGCGUGAUCCUUGAGUGGUGAUUGUUGCAUUCAUGCACUCAUUUGCAUCCAUAUCAUCAAUAAUAAAAGAAAUUUUUCAAAGGAACUUAAGGGUUAUUUGCAAAAUUUUCAGACAUGGAAAGACAAGAAGGAAGACAAAAAAGUAAGCUUUCAGACAGCAGAUUUGAAAGAGUUAAGGAAUUGACAAUCCUAUGUAUUAGAUCCUUGGGUUUCAAGGCUCCCUUUGGAAGCUUCUCCUCUUCUGACUACUCAGGUGGAUGAAGGUUGAUGAGCGUAUUGGUGCAGUUUUAUGAUCCCUUGUACGCUUCGUUUCUCACGUUUCCGGAUCUUCAGCUUUUGCCUGACCCUGAGGGUAUGCCUAUCUUGUGGUAUACUUAUCUGAGUCAGUUCACCGUAUAGUCUAUGGGAGAGUUAUUCCUACUCUCAAGAGCAUAGCUAGACAUGUUGCAACUAAGAUGAAUCUCUGAGUAGUGCUCAUAUGACUACAAAAGGUGGGAUUCAAGGUCUCCCCUUCUGAGUUCCUCAAUUGCUCAAGCUACUAUUUAUGGCAGAGGCCAUGAGUAAUGAUUCCUUUGAAGCAUAUUGCUACUUCCAUUAUGGGUUGGUAUGGUUCCCCAACAUCGACAAGUUUGUGGAAAUGUGAACGCUAUUAGGCAUCUUUCUCCGCUCUCAAUCUUCGACUCUGUUGGGUGAUACCUAUUUCUCUUUGCAUAUGAGAUGCCAGAAAGGGUCGUGGUGCCAAUUAUGGGUGUAUUGCUCUGUUGUAUAAGUGGAUUUUUAUUUUUCUCACUACUCAGACACGGUCGCCUUCAAGGAGAAAAGGAUUCUACGGUGGGGGGUUCCACAGAUUAUGUCUCUCACUAAUGAUGAACUCUUUGGUAUAGACCGUGAUAUAUGCUGAUAUCUCUUUGUAUCUCGUAUGGUGAAUUCUCCAACGUACCUCUUCUUUGGCUACAUAUGGUGGGAUUACUACAACCCUGUGUUAGGCACGUCAUCCAGCUUGGGUCCCUAAAAGGAUUAAACCCUAAUAACAUUCUUUUAGAGGGUGUGUUCUUUCAGGAGGGUAAAGAUCCCCAAGGCUUGAAGGGCAGAAUGGUUCGCGCUUGGCGCAAGGUUCAUAAGAAAGGAAGGAAGGAGUUGGGUCCUAAGAAUUGUGUUGCUAUGAAGCCUUACACUGCUUGGGUAAGGAAGAGAGCAUCUGAGUAUCUCAUGCCUUACGAAUAUCCGAGACCUAAACCUUUGGUUGUGGUUGGGCCUUCAACCCUCCCUAACCAAGGAGUAGAGGAGUUAAGAGACGAAGACCUAUCACGUGCCUGGAUCCGUGAAAGGGAGGAGUUGCUUCAGCAGAUUAAGGAGAAAGAUGCUUUGAUAGAGUUCCUCGAGCAUCAAGUUAUUGAUGAUCCUAAUGAUGCAUGGACUUUUCUACUUCCCCAGUCUUCCAUGUUUUGGAAGAGGAAGUAUGACCGACUCACCAAGGAAAAGGCAGACAUGGAGGCAGCUUACGAGAAGGAGGUGAAGAGACUUCGCGCAUCCUAUCUUCCUGUGUCCCGAGCUUUAGAUGAUUGUUUCUAGGGAUCCAUAGGAUGAUUAUUUUCCUUUUCUCUUGUACAUGAUUGACAAUGUUGUACUUCUUUUCCCUGAUGCUAUGCUAUGAUAUAUUUCCAUAUGUGAUAAACGGUUAAUAUUUCCAAAAUUUGCAAAUAAAACCCUAGAGUUCCUUUGAAAUAAAAACAAAUCAUAUGCACAAGCAUUGCAUGCAUCAUAUGCAUAAGCAGGUUUUGUACUAGAGUUCCUUUGAAAUAAAAACAAAUCAUAUGCACAAGCAUUGCAUGCAUCAUAUGCAUAAGCAGGUUUUGUUCCCGGCUUCUGGUCUUGUGGUCUAACUCUGUGCUCUUCAUUUAUUUUGAAGAUAAGCUGACUCACCGGUACUACACUAGAGCCAACUCUUCAAGACUAAUGGAUCAUCUAGAGCAAGAGAACCGUGAACUCAAAGAAGAAGUCGCCAGACUGAGUGCUUUGAUGGAAUCAUUCCUGGCUGCCCAGAGCCAGUCUUCUCCAACGCCUUCAACUCCUUCCCAGAGGACAGUCAUCUCUGAGAUUGUUUCCUCAACUGUGCCUGCAGCCAAUGCACAUUUUGCUCCAGCAGCUAUGCCAACCGGGUUCCCGUGCGGGAUGCCUCCCAAUUUCAUGCUUGAGGGUCCUGCUCCAACCUUUGCUUCUAUGCCGACAUCUAGCCCGGUCCUUGUUGUUCCUCCGCCUGUCGUGCAUACCAUGCCUAGGGUAGACGACACCAUCUAUCAUUCUGAGCCGUCUGAAGGCCCAGAUGUCCAUGAGAAGAUGGACGCUAUGAACGACCAAUUUCUUGAGCUUCACAAGGAAUUGAAGACUCUUAGAGGAAAGGAUCUGUUUGGCAAGUCUACUGCCGAUCUGUGCUUGUUUCCCAAUGUGAAGAUCCAUGUGAAAUUCAAGGUCCCUGACUUUGAAAAAUACAAGGGGAACACCUGUCCUCUUAGCCACUUGGUCAUGUAUGCCAGGAAGAUGUCAACUCAGACUGAUAAUGACCAAUUGCUCAUCCACUACUUUCAGGACAGUCUGUCCGAUGCCGCUCUGCGCUGGUAUAUGGGGCUGGACAGUGCGAACAUCCGAUCCUUCAACGAUCUUGGCGAGGCCUUCGUCAAGCAAUACAAGUAUAAUAUGGAUAUGGCUCCCGAUAGGGAUCAAUUGAGGGCCAUGUCCUAGAAGGACAAAGAAACAUUUAAAGAGUAUGCCCAAAGUUGGCGAGAGUUGGCAGCACAGAUCGUGCCUCCGCUAGAAGAGAAGGAAAUGACCAAGAUUUUUCUGAAGACCUUGAGUUCAUUCUAUUACGAGCGGAUGAUUGCUAGCGCUCCUUCUGACUUCACCGAUCGUGCCUCCGCUAGAAGAGAAGGAAAUGACCAAGAUUUUUCUGAAGACCUUGAGUUCAUUCUAUUACGAGCGGAUGAUUGCUAGCGCUCCUUCUGACUUCACCGAGAUGGUGAAUAUGGGGAUGCGAUUAGAAGAAGGGGUUAGAGAAGGACGUCUGACCAAAGAAGAAGGCUCUUCUGCCAAACGUUAUGGGGCGUUUGCAAAGAAGAAGGAUGGAGAGGCACAUGCUGUAACCUCCCAUGUGAAACCUAGAAGACCCUCUGUGAGGAGGAAGACCAUGCGUCCCGCUGGUAACCAGCACCAGGUGGCUCACAUAGCACCUGUUUUCAGAGACAAUCAAAAGUAUCAGCAACAUAGCAACAUAGCAACAAUCAACAAUCACCUCAGCAAUACCAACAACAACAGCACCGUCCGCAACAGCAGGCCUAUCAUCCUUGAAACAGUAAUCAAACCAGCACGAGUUACGAGAGGAAAAAGGUCACUUUUGAUCCGAUUCCGAUGACGUACGUAGAACUAUAUCCCUCUUUGAUAAAGAGGAAGUUGAUUACUCCGAGAGACCCACCAGCUAUACCUGCUAACCCUCAGUGGUGGUAUAAACCUGAAUUGCACUGUGUAUACCAAUCUGGUGCUCCCGGCCACGACGUGGAGAAUUGCUAUCCUUUGAAGACCAAGGUUCAAGACCUUGUGAGGUGUGGCAUCCUGUGUUUUGAGGACGUAGGUCCUAAUGUGAAGAAGAACCCAUUGCCCGAAGGUUCAAGACCUUGUGAGGUGUGGCAUCCUGUGUUUUGAGGACGUAGGUCCUAAUGUGAAGAAGAACCCAUUGCCCGAGCAUGGGAAAUCUGUUAACAUGGUCCAGGGCUGCCCUGGCAAGUACAAGGUCAAACAUGUCAGUCAUAUCCGACAGUCUCUGGUCGAGAUGCAUCGUUUGCUAUGUGAGUACAGUCACUAUGAACACGAUCAUGAUAGAUGCCGAAUAUGCCCUGUUAACCGAUUGGGUUGUCGCCAGGUGCGCAAAGAUCUUCAGGAAAUGCUGGACGAAGGAGUUAUUGAGAUCCUUCAGAAUAGGAAUGUUGACGAAGAUGAGCCUGAGGUCAACGUAAUUUCCCCAGUAUUCCGGAUGCCCGAGCCUGUUAUCGUUAAGUAUGAUGGUAGCAAGCAGAAGGUUUCCCCUUCCCUGAUCAUUAAGCCUGCCGGUCCAGUACCGUAUUCCUCUGAAAAAGCCAUUCCCUUCCGUUACAAGGUUGUUGCUGUAGAAGGUGAGAAAGAGGUGUCUUUACCAUCCUCCUCCGUUGUAAAUAUUGCUGACGUAAGUGGUUUGACCCGCAGCGGUGUGUGUUUUCAGCACCACCGAAGCCUCAAGCUAGUACUGAUGUUGUUGAACGCCCGAUUGGGAAUGUUGUAAGCACCCCAAAUCCGGCACCUGUUGUUAAGCCCUCCUCUAUACUAAAAACUCCUACUUCUGUUGGCCCUAGCGGCAAUGUGAAAGAAGACUGUGAUGAGAUGCUGAGGCUCAUCAAGAAGAGUGAGUACAAUGUUGUAGACCAGCUUCUACAAACGCCAUCCAAGAUAUCCGUGUUAUCAUUACUCCUGAAUUCAGAACCACAUAGGGAGGCUCUGCAGAAAGUUUUGGAUGUGGCAUAUGUAGAUCAUGAUGUCACAAUAGAACAGUUCGAUAGCAUUGUUGCAAACAUUUCUGCUUAUAACAAUUUGAGUUUCUGUGACUCUGAUCUCCCUGAGGAGGGAAGAGACCACAACUUGGUUUUACACAUAUCCAUGAAUUGUAGAGACGACGCCAUGUCCAAUGUACUGGUGGACACUGGGUCAUCCCUGAAUGUAUUGCCAAAAACCACUCUCUCAAAACUGUCUUAUCAAGGGCCUCCCAUGAGGCAGAGUGGGGUAGUUGUGAAAGCUUUCGAUGGGUCUCGAAAGACUGUGAUUGGGGAAGUUGAUCUCCCUAUCAAGAUUGGACCAAGUGAUUUCCAAAUUACCUUCCAGGUUAUGGAUAUUCACCCAUCGUACAACUGUCUCCUAGGCAGACCAUGGAUUCACGAGGCAGGCGCCGUGACAUCCACCCUACACCAGAAGCUGAAAUUUGUGAAGAAUAAGAAACUGGUAGUGGUAGGGGGAGAAAAGGCUCUCCUGGUUAGCCACUUGUCUUCCUUCUCGUACAUAGAUGCUGAAGAUGAAGUUGGAACUCCUUUCCAAGCUUUAUCUAUAGCUGAGCCUAUUGAGAAGAGAAUUCCUUCAUUUACUUCCUAUAGAGAUGCAAAGUGGGCCAUUGAGUGUGGUGCAAUUGCUGGUCUAGGAAAAAUGAUUGAGCUGGAAGACAAUAAGUCCCUGGCUGGCAUUGGCUUUUCUUCUGGGGUCUUCAAUGAGAAAGGGCUGUUCAAGAGUGGAGGUUUUAUCCACACCAGUCAGGAUGAGGAAGUUGUUGCUGUCUUGGAAGAGGAUGUAGAGGAUUCUGGCAAUUUCAUCAUCCCUGGAGGGAUCUGCUACAAUUGGGUCGCUGUGGAUAUUCCUACAGUUGUCCACAAGUCCACGUAAUGAUCACUUUGUUAAAAAACCCUUCUCCCAUGCCAAAAGGAGGAGUGAUGACAUUGUUGGCAACAUAAAUACAAUGAUAUUUUCAUUCAAUAAAUUCAUGUUAAAUGUUUGUUUUUCCAAUUAUUUUCCCUUUUUGCUUUUUGCAUGAAAUUGGUGAUCACAUAAAACCCUAAAAAUAGAAUAAAAUCAAUCUUUUCAUCUGCAUAAUGAUUUGCCUUGUUUGAUUUCUAAAAGCUUUUCAUAUCCAAAAUCAUUAUGCAGGUUGAUCAAACCCAUUGAACAUAAUGAUCCGACACCAUCUCCUAAUUUUGAAUUCCCUGUAUUUGAGGCAGAGGAAGAUGAUGUUGAGGAGAUUCCUGACGAGAUUACCCGUCUACUUGAGCAUGAAGAGAAGAUCAUUCAGCCGCAUCUUGAGAAUCUGGAAACAGUGAACUUGGGGUCUGAGGAUUGUGUGCGAGAAGUGAAGAUUGGGGCACUCCUGGAAGAAUAUGUUAAGAAGGGGUUGAUUGAAUUGCUACGAGAAUAUGUCGAUAUCUUCGCUUGGUCGUAUGAAGACAUGUCGGGUCUAGAUACAGAUAUUGUGCAACAUUACCUACCCUUGAAGCCUGAGUGCAUGCCUGUGAAGCAGAAGCUCAGAAGAACUCAUCCUGAUAUGGCAUUGAAGAUCAAAGAAGAAGUUCAGAAGAAAAUUGAUGCGGGGUUUCUGGUGACUUCUACAUAUCCUCAAUGGGUGGCCAAUAUUGUGCCCGUGCCUAAGAAAGACGGAAAAGUCCGGAAGUGUGUGGACUAUAGAGACUUGAAUAAAGCUAGUCCGAAAGAUGAUUUCUCUCUACCACAUAUUGAUAUGUUGGUCGACAAUACAGCUAAAUUCAAAGUCUUCUCAUUUAUGGACGGAUUUUCUGGAUAUAAUCAGAUUAAGAUGGCACCCGAGGAUAUGGAGAAGACAACAUUCAUCACACCUUGGGGAACAUCGAGUGAUGCCCUUCGGUUUGAAGAACGCCGGAGCCACGUAUCAACGAGCUAUGACCACCUUGUUUCAUGAUAUGAUGCACAAGGAGAUUGAGGUAUAUGUUGAUGAUAUGAUUGCUAAGUCAACAACGGAAGUGGAACAUGUAGAGCACUUGUUGAAGCUUUUUCAACGUUUGAGGAAGUACAAGCUUCGUCUGAAUCCCAACAAGUGUACAUUUGGAGUCCGUUCUGGCAAGUUAUUGGGCUUUAUUGUCAGCGAAAGAGGUAUUGAGGUUGAUCCUGCACAAUACAAGAGAUGCCUGCGCCCAAAACUGAGAAGCAAGUCCGAGGUUUUCUUGGCCGCUUGAAUUAUAUUUCCAGAUUCAUAUCCCACAUGACUGCCACAUGUGCGCCGAUAUUCAAGCUCCUUCGAAAAGAUCAUUCCCAUGAUUGGACCGAGGAUUUCCAGAAAGCUUUCGAUAGUAUCAAAGAGUAUCUGUCUGAACCUCCAAUCCUGUCUCCGCCUGUAGAAGGAAGACCAUUGAUCAUGUAUUUGACUGUCCUUGAAGAUUCAAUGGGUUGUGUCCUUGGUCAGCAAGAAUAAUCAGGGAAGAAAGAGUAUGAUAUUUACUACCUAAGUAAGAAGUUCACUGAUUGUGAGUCUCGAUACUCAAUGCUUGAGAAGACAUGCUGUGUUUUGGCUUGGGCCGCUAAGCGUCUACGCCGGUAUAUGAUAAAUCAUGCAACUUGGUUUAUAUCCAGAAUGGAUCCAAUCAAGUACAUAUUUGAGAAGCUUGCUUUAACCGGGAGGAUUGCCCGUUGGCAGAUGUUGUUGUCUGAGUAUGAUAUUGAGUAUCGAGCUCAGAAGGCUAUUAAAGGUAGUAUCUUGGCUGACCACUUGGCACAUCAGCCGAUUGAGGAUUAUCAGUCAGUUCAGUAUGACUUCCCAGAUGAGGAGAUUCUAUAUUUGAAAAUGAAAGAUUGUGAUGAGCCUACACUCAAUGAAGGGCCAGAGCCUGGUUCCAGAUGGGGUAUGGUAUUUGAUGGCACUGUAAAUCAGUAUGGAAAUGGUAUUGGGGCAGUAAUCAUUAAUCCUCAGGGCAUACACAUUCCCUUUACAGCAAGGCUAACUUUCAAAUGCACGAAUAAUAUGGCUGAGUACGAGGCCUGUAUUAUGGGAUUGGAAGAAUGCAUUGAUCUAAGGAUCAAGCAUCUUGAUGUUUAUGGUGAUUCGGUCCUCGUUGUCAAUCAGAUCAAGGGUGAAUGGGAGACGAAUCAGCCUGGUCUUAUUCCAUAUAGGGAUUACGCGAGGAGGACUUCAACGUUCUUUACUGAGGUUGACUUCCAUCAUAUUCCUCGAGAUGAGAAUCGGAUGGCAGACGCUCUUGCUACGCUUGCUUCGAUGAUUGUGGUUAAACUGUGGAAUGAAGUUCCCAAUAUCACCGUGAUGCGCUUGGAUAGACCAACUCAUGUAUUUGCAGUUGAAUAAGUGAAGGAUGAUAAACCAUGGUAUUAUGACAUCAAGUGCUUCCUCCAGAACCAGGUUUAUCCGCCCGGGGCAUCUGUGAAAGAUAGGAAGACUUUGAGAAGAUUGUCAGGCAGUUUCUACCUCAAUGGAGAAGUGCUUUAUAAGAGAAAUUUUGAUAUGGUUCUACUCAGAUGCGUGGAUAGACACGAAGCAGACCUGUUGAUGACUGAAGUCCAUGAGGGUUCAUUUGGUACUCAUUCCAAUGGACAUGCCAUGGCUAGAAAGAUGUUGAGGGCAGGCUACUAUUGGCUGACAAUGGAGUCUGACUGCUGCAAAUAUGUGAAGAAAUGCCACAAGUGUCAGAUUUAUGCGGAUAAGAUUCAUAUUCCUCCGACACUUCUGAAUGUGAUUUCAUCACCAUGGCCUUUCUCUAUGUGGGGAAUUGACAUGAUCGGCAUGAUUGAGCCGAAAGCGUCCAAUGGACACAGGUUUAUUCUCGUAGCAAUUGAUUACUUCACUAAGUGGGUUGAAGCGGCGUCAUAUGCAAAUGUGACCAGGCAGGUGGUCGUGAAGUUUAUCAAGAAUCAACGCAUAUUCCGUUAUGGUGUGCCAGAUAAGAUCAUUACUGAUAAUGGAUCUAACUUAAAUAACAAGAUGAUGAAAGAGUUGUGUAGUGAGUUCAAGAUUGCACACCAUAGUUCUUCUCCUUAUAGACCCAAGAUGAAUGGGGUUGUUGAAGCUGCUAACAAGAAUAUCAAGAAAAUUAUCCAAAAGAUGGUUGUUACGUACAAAGAUUGGCAUGAGAUGCUGCCAUUUGCUUUGCAUGGAUAUCGUACAUCUGUCCGCACUUCAACAGGGGCAACCCAUUUCUCUCUUGUUUAUGGCAUGGAGGCUGUACUCCCAGUAGAGGUGGAGAUCCCAUCAAUAAGAGUCUUGAUGGAAGCCAAGUUGACUGAUGCUGAAUGGGUUCAGAGUCGCUAUGACCAGCUGAAUUUGAUUGAAGAGAAGAGAUUGACUGCCAUGUGCCAUGGUCAUUUAUAUCAUCAGAGAAUGAAGAAAGCUUUUGAUAAGAAGGUCAAGCCUCGUGUGUUCCGAGAAGGUGACCUCGUGCUCAAGAAGGUCUUGUCUUUCGCGCCCGAUUCCAGGGGAAAAUGGACUCUAAACUAUGAAGGUCCAUAUGUUGUUAAGAGAGCCUUUUCAGGCGGUGCUUUGAUGCUUACAACUAUGGAUGGGGAGGAUUUCACUCGUCCUGUGAAUUCAGAUGCAGUCAAUAAAUACUUCGCCUAAAAAUAAAAACAGAAUAACUCGCUAAGUUGAAAACCCGAAAGGGCGGCUUAGGAAAAAAUGAGCGUCUCGGUGGAUUGAAAACCCGAAAGGGCGAUCUAGGCAAAAGUUAGAGACAUAAAAAAUGAAUAUAUGCAUCCCGCUAGAUUGAGUACCUCAUCCUAGGGCAAUCUAGGAAAAAAUUAGGGAUUUGGCAAGUAACUGCAUCCUGACAAGACUGUGUUCUACAACUGUCAUCCAUCAGAGAUUCUUGUUCAUUCGUCGUCAACCAAAGCUUCGAAUACAUCGAAUUCAGAAUUGAUGGAGAAAUGGUCAUUAUGUUCAAUGUAGCCCUUUUCCAAUAUAUAUCACCAAUUUCAAACUUGUAAAAAAUCUUUGGGGUCUUGCCAUUUGCAGGCUACCAUUCCAUCAAAUAAAUUCGAGCCUUUAUCCAAUUAUUUGCACUCCUAUUUGUUUCUAUUUCAACAAAUGUUUUGCAUUUUUUUAAUUGAGAAAAUAUCAUUGUUUUAAAUAAAUGAGUUUUCCAUAACUUGUUUUUUAAACAAAGUGAACAUUCACAAUGACAAAAGGAUACUUAGGAGAUCCUCAGUGCUCUCCCAAGGGUGGUAUGAUCCCCAACAGGGUAAGACAUUUGUUCAUAUCCCUGGCAUGACUGUAUCUUCUUCCUCCGGAGCCCCUUUUAUGGUUCAUCCCCGAGUGGUAUGCUUGUUGAGAUGUUCACCACUCUCCCCUUCAGCGGAAGAGCGAUCUUUUCUCCUCAGCAGGUGUGAUCUCCUUGGUGAGUUUGGUACUUGGUGUCGGAUCACCAGAUUCCUCUUAUAUCCCUCAGAUGGAUUCCCCAGUAGAGUUGCUUUUGUGGCAGUUUCUGCCUGUGCAAUGAACUUUUUUCCCCAGCCGGAUUGACUGAUGAUUCAUCCCCCAGAGAUUUUGUGAUUUCCUGGUAUCUCUGAUUCCCCGGCAGAUUGGAUACUCUCCAUUGGAAUUUUGGGCUUCCUCCCUUGAGAUGUAGUACCGGACGGCUGUGUGCCUUUUCCUUUGGAGUUGUUUGUGUUAGAAUGUCUGUUUGUCAGCAUUCAUCAUACAUAAAUCACGCAUAUGUGCAUAUAUCCUUCAUAACAUUUAGAUAUUCAUAUUGCAUUUUUUGCCAUAUAUCUAUUGUUUGUUAUCCUCUGCUAGUUGGUAAUACAUUUCCCAAGCAGAUGUCGGUGUCUGAUCCCUCAAUAUAGAGUCAGCCCCUUUAAGCAGAAAGUGUUUAUCUUUCCUACCAUAUUCCCCACUGAGUUAUAUCCUCGUGGACGACGGUUGUUUCUGCUUCCUCCCAACACAUAUAUCGGGAUGGGUUCCCCUAUUGAGUUAUAUCCUCAUUAGGAUGAGUCUCGAUUCAGUUUGCCUUUUUGGUUUGAUCCUAAAUUGGCCUCUUGUGACUGUCUUUGGUGUUUCCCUGUGGUAAAUGAAUAAUAUCGAUUCAGUUUGCCUUUUUGGUUUGAUCCUAAAUUGGCCUCUUGUGACUGUCUUUGGUGUUUCCCUGUGGUAAAUGAAUAAUUGCUCAGUAAUCAGUAAUUAUUCACCUUAUCCUCAGCGGAGUUUGUGGUUUUCUACCCUUAUACCGGUAGAUAUAAACCCUAUUUUUCCCCCUUUGCAGAGUUAACCAUUGUUGUUCAUCCUAGUUGAUGACGGUUACUCUUCCGUGGUUUUCUACCUAGUAUCCGGUAGAUGUAAUCCCCUCUUUGACGGUUAACAUUAUCCAACAUUCGGUAUUGAUAUUCCCUCAUUCUUUUGGAUAAUUGCUCUGAUUAAGCAAUUUUAUCCCCAGCGGGUCCUCUUUCAUUUACCGUUUACCGGUGAUGUUUGUUGCUCCCCUUGUUUGGUCAUCAUUAUAUAACUAGUUUUGGUAUCCCGAUGCCUUUCUCUGUCGGUCGAUUUAUCCUUUAUUAACCCAGUAACCGGUUGUGGAUAAUCUUCCAUGCGAGUAUUUUAUCUACGUUCCGACGGUAAUAGAUAAUAUAUCUCAUGCACUCUUUGGUCGAAGCCUUUUGUUCUUCCCCAAUCGAGUAAGAUUCGUAUUCUUGUUUUAGAAUCAAAUGUCCAUCCCAUAAUCGAGUUUGCAUUCUGUCCUCUUUUUGGAUGAUGAGUGUUUUGGGAAUAUUCCCCAAUUCAUGCUUUGUUUGGUCAUCAUUAUAUACCUAGUUUUGGUAUCCCGAUGCCUUUCUCCGUCGGUCGAUUUAUCCUUUAUUAACCCAGUAAUCGGUUGUGGAUAAUCUUCCAUGCGAGUAUAUUAUCUAUGUUCCGACGGUAAUAGAUAAUAUAUCUCAUGCACUCUUUGGUCGAAGCCUUUUGUUCUUCCCUAGUCGAGUAAGAUUCGUAUUCUUGUUUUAGAAUCAAACGUCCAUCCCAUAAUCGAAUUUGCGUUCUGCCCUCUUUUUGGAUGAUGAGUGUUUUGGGAAUAUUCCCCAAUUCAUGCUUUGUUUGGUCAUCAUUAUAUACCUAGUUUUGGUAUCUCGAUGCCUUUCUCUGCCGGUCGAUUUAUCCUUUAUUAACCCAGUAACCGGUUGUAGAUAAUCUUCCAUGCGAGUAUAUUAUCUACGUUCCGACGGUAAUAGAUAAUAUAUCUCAUGCACUCUUUGGUCGAAGCCUUUUGUUCUUCCCCAGUCGAGUAAGAUUUGUAUUCUUGUUUUAGAAUCGAAUGUCCAUCCCAUAAUCGAGUUUGCGUUCUGCCCUCUUUUUGGAUGAUGAGUGUUUUGGGAAUAUUCCCCAAUUCAUGCUUUGUUUGGUCAUCAUUAUAUACCUAGUUUUGGUAUCCCGAUGCCUUUCUCUGUCGGUCGAUUUAUCCUUUAUUAACCCAGUAACCGGUUGUGGAUAAUCUUCCAUGCGAGUAUAUUAUCUAUGUUCCGACGGUAAUAGAUAAUAUAUCUCAUGCACUCUUUGGUCGAAGCCUUUUGUUCUUCCCCAGUCGAGUAAGAUUCGUAUCCCUGUUUUGGAAUCGAAUGUCCAUCCCAUAAUCGAGUUUGCUUUCUGCCCUCUUUUUGGAUGAUGAGUGUUUUGGGAAUAUUCCCCAAUUCACGCUUUGGUUGGUCACCUAUUAUAUGCCCAGUAACCGGUAUCCCUGGUGUUCCUUCCUUCUGCUCCCUAUUAUGACUUUUUUCCCCUGUGGAGUCAGAUUUUCCUGAGUUGAGAUAUACCUUUUAGGUCUUCCUCAGAUGAUUUGGUUGAUUGAUAUCUCUCACCCUUAUACCGGUCUUAGAUAUUCAUUCUUCCCGAGCUUGUUGUUCUCUCACCCUUAUACCGGUGAUCAGAUCACAUGUCUCAUUGAGCUUGUUACCCAGUAACCGGUAACACCUCAUCCCGCUGCUUCCCCAGGAGAGUCUUUUUAGACAUCCCCAGCGAGGUAUCUGUUGUGGAUCGCUUUUUGCUGUGUUGGCAUAUUCCCAAAUACAUGCAUCUUUGAGUCAGCUCGAGUCUUUCCAACGGAUUUAUUCCCUUUGGAGGCCCUUUUCCCCAGCUUUGAGUCGUGACCUGCUCACGCGGUUUCAGUCCUUUACUCCCCCGUAGAGUCCCUUCCCCAUGGAGUGGAUAACUCAUAGGGAUUAUCAAAUUUCUUCGGAUGUCUUUUCUUCUUUGUGGACACAUAUCCCCACAGAGUUUUGUUUGUUUUGCAUACAUACAUUGGCAUUAUGAAGUCUCUUAGGGACCAAAAUUUGUCUCUUUGUUAUUAUUUAAGCCCAUUCUACUUCGUCGAGACGAAGAUUUUAACCUUCACUUCUCCGGCUAGAAUGACCUUAAAUAGGGGCAUCUGUAAGACCCCAAUUUUGUCCCUAAGAUCCCUCAUGGCAUCAUAACAUUGCAUUGCAUAGUCUCAAGGAUCAUUGAGCAUCUUGGCUCCCUUUCCCUUUGGGUAGGGAUCUCUUGUGAGUGGUUUGAGAUCACCAAGCAUGCUUGAAUUGUAUAUCAUUGCUUUUCUCAUUUUGUUUACUAACCAAAAGCACAAAAAUAUGUCACUAACAUCUUUUGUUUGUAGCUUAAGCAAUCACCAGGUCAAGAGUUUCAAGAAGAUCCUUUGUGCAAGAGAUGAGGUAUUUCCUUGGGAUGAGGAUCACAUGAUUAAUAUAAGGAGCUUAUAUGAGCUAGGGUUUCAUUUUGAAGCAAUUUCACCAAGUGGUAGAGGCACAAGUUAAUCAAGACAUUUCAAGGUCAUCUGAGGACCAAAAGUCAACUGUGCAGUCAACUGAGGGCUAGGAGGUGGGGAAAAGAGUUGAGACACCUCAAUCAUGUUCAAAUGGGGUCUAUUCAUCAUUCUAAACAUCCAUCUUGAAUAUUCAAAGGUCAUGGCAAAAGUUACUAAAAAUGGAAAAUGACCUAUAAUUCGAAGUUUCCAAAUUUGGCAAGUUUUUGGUCCACCUUCAACUUGACUUGUCAAUAUCAAAGAUGUUUCAAAUGUAUUUUUGGUGAACAUGAAAUUUGUAGAUCUUUGUCUCCCCUUUCCAAAAAGUCCUAAUUCAUGUCCAUAUGAUGAAUGGUUGAAAAGUUAUGGUCAUUUGAUCACAAAGUGUGCAUGGAAAUUCAAAAUGGCAUAACUUUUGAUGUAAUGCUUCAAAUUGGUUCAUUCUUUUGGCAAAAUGCUUCUCAUGUUCAAGACAUCUCAAAAUGAGAUUUUCCAUGCAUGGGAAAAGUGUGCAUGCUCAUUAUUUCAUACAUGUGCAAAUUGAAGAAAAUAUUCACCAUUCAUUUUUGGCUUAAGAUGCAAGCUAACAAAUACUCAAAGCAUGACCAUUGGAUGUUCUUAAGUGGAUUUAAGCCUUAACAUGGAGCUGAUCACAUGUAUUAUGGGCAUGUGAGCUCAUUUUACAUUUUUGUAAAUUGCUUCAUAACUCCUUAAUCAUGAUUAACCAAUGGAAAAUAUGAUUAACAUUGUCAUUAGCAUGGGAUAUAAAUACUGAAACCCUAAUCAUAACUGCAAAGAACCACCAUUUUCAGAUCUGAAAUUCAAGAACUCUCCAAAAUUCUCUCUCUUUGAAUUUGAUUUUUCUUCACACAAUUCUCAAAGAUCAUUGCAUAUUUUUGUUCCUGGUGCUUCACUGAGCAAGAUUCAUCCACUAUUUGGUGCGAUUCAUCAAGGAAUCGAGCAAUACAAGAGCAUGAACAUGGCAAUCGGAUUUGGAAAUUGAAGUAGAUUCAAGAGGAUUCAACCGUUCAUUUUUGCUUAAAGUUUCAUAGGAAGAUCAUAGGAGAAGAUCUGGAGCUGUAGAGCUUGAGAGAACACAUUUUCAAAAAGCUUCAUUUCCAGGUGAUGCAAUUUUCGAUCUCUCCUUUUGCUGUUUUUUGAACAUAGAACUGUAGAUCUUGUUGAGUAGAGCACAAGUAUGUGUUUAGAUUUGGAAUUGAGUGAGAAUUGAGAAUGUUAGGUUGAUUGGAAGUUUGGAUCUAGAAAAUAUUUCUCUUCGAUCUGUAGAAUCUAUGAGGAAUUAGGGAAAUCUAAGGUCAUAUUUGGAACCUACGUUGGGAGACGAGUCAAACGGUAUAGGACUCGUGAGAUUCUGGAAAAUUUUGGGUGGCGCCACCGUGAGGCUUGCCGGAGAAGACGACCGGAGCUGUAGCUCCGGCGUCUGUAUCAUUUUAGGGUUUGAUGAUGUGUACUACCAUGUGUUCCAUUGCGUGGACAAGCGAUUGGAUGUUGUUGCUUUGACUGAGCCACGCGUGCGUUGAAGCGCUGAGUGGCAUGCUGACUGGUUUAAGUGAAACGGCGCGUUUUGAUGUUUAAACCUGGACCAUUGAUCUGGAGCGCGCGCCAGAUCUGAUGGUUGUGGAUUUUUCUGGUUUUAUUCAAAUUAAUUCGUUUCCCUCCAUUUUCAUUUGAUUAUUCAACUAUUUUGCUUGUUUUGUAAAAUUCAUAAAAGAUGCAAAAAUGAUCCAAAUGAGUCCCAAUUUAUUUUCAUGGUUUUGUAUGGAUGUCUACUUUUUUAUGGUGCUGAUUUCAUGAAUUGUUGAUGUCUGGAUUUUUAUUUGUGAAUUUUUGAAUGAACAUUGUGCUAAUUUGAUCUAUUGCAUUCAAUGCAUUGUGAAAUCCUCAUCUUUGAGCCAUCUGAUCCAAUUUUUUGCAUACAUGACAUUCAUACAUAAUAUGAAUAAAUGAACAUUGUGCUAAUUUGAUCUAUUGCAUUCAAUGCAUUGUGAAAUCCUCAUCUUUGAGCCAUCUGAUCCAAUUUUUUGCAUACAUGACAUUCAUACAUAAUAUGAAUUAUUGGUCACUGGUUUUGAAUUUUUCUCACAGGUUAUCAUCAUUUUUGACACAUAGGGAAUAAUGUGACAAUUUGUGUCACAUUUUUGACAUUGAAUUGGUGCAUUUUUGUUCACAUAACAUUUGCAUCAUUCUGGAUUUGAUUUUUUGCAUGAUGAUUAUUCAUGACAUGAGGAACUUGUAAAAAAAAUCUCAAAGUCAUUGCGUGCAUUUCUGAUUUGGUAUGAAUUUUCUAAGUUGGAAGUUUAUUUUGUGCAUAUUUUUGGUCAUUGCAUGGCAUAGACAAUUAGAGGCAUUUGAUUUUUUGAUUUGAUGCUGGUCCUUUUGAGGACAUUUAGUGGAGUGUUGGAAGGUGUAAUGUGUAGAAGAUUGGGUUCUGGUUUGGUCAUUUGGUUAGGUUUUGAAUUCAUCUCUUAUGCUUUUGUUUGUUGGUGUUUUAUUGUGUUGUUUAAAUGCACAUAGACUAACUUUGUCUUGUGUUUCAGGUUUGGAUACUCAUCAUUGAUCUUGUGAGAUACAAAUGCAUUUGAGUACUGACCUAUUGUUGUUUUGUAGGGUUUUAACUGAUGUGGUGAACUCAUGAGCUCAUUUGAGUGCUAGGGCACUUAUGCACUGAAUUGUGUAAUUGUUAGAGGGUUUCACUGUAUGUUUUCUGGUUGUAUGACUGAAGUACUAAUUGUUUAGUCUUUGUACAGGUACUUUAGUUGCUUGCUUGCUUUAGCUCUUGCUUAAGCUUUGGAUUAUGGUUGACACACCACUCAGGUAAUUAGCUUCUUACUUCAUGUAGUCUGAAGUCCUGUCACCUUUUUGGCAGGCAUUUUGCUGGCAAGUCCUCCUUCAGAGGCUCUGUUUGUGUUUGUUUAAAAUUGUGCUCAAAGACCUCCAAGAAGAGGCAUGUGAUAUUUGAUAAGACCUCCAAGAGAAGAGGAAAUUGACGGAUAAAAGGGAUUAGUAGCCAAUCCCCCGUUAUUCAAUGUGUCGUUCUUUAUGCUCGCACUACGUGCUGAUGCUUCUGAACAUGUGCCCNNNNNNNNNNNNNNNNNNNNNNNNNNNNNNNNNNNNNNNNNNNNNNNNNNNNNNNNNNNNNNNNNNNNNNNNNNNNNNNNNNNNNNNNNNNNNNNNNNNNAAAUUCAACAAAAACAGUAAUAAUACACAGAAAACUCAAAAUAAAAACAAACCCUACAAUUCAACAAACUCCUCAAUCUUCCUUCAUUUCAUCGCCAUGGGUUGCACCACCUCCUGCACCCCCAAAAAAAAACUGGCCUGCCCUCGGGCCACUUAGCAUAAUCAACAUAAUCCUCCUAGGAAGGGAAUGAAGAGGAAUAGUUUUGAAAUUUGGAGGUUUGGAAGUGGAGCAGCGAAGUUGUUGAAAGAAUCUCCUAAGUUUGUGAAAAUAGGAAUGAAACGAAAAUGACAUAAAACAGAACUUAAAUGGUUCUGCCACGCUCAGUUCGCUGGGCGAACUCUGUUUGCUAGGCCAACUGAAGGAUUUUUUUUUAUUUUUUAUUUUUUAUUUAUUUUUUUAUAUUCAGUUUGCUGGGCGAAUUGAAGGAAAUUUCAAAAAAAAAUUGUUGGCAGUGGUCAGAACAUAAGUGGUUUUGUCACGCACCGUUCGCUGGGCGAACUUUGUUCGCGGCGCGAACUGAAGCUUUCCAUUCAGUUCGCUGGGCGAACACUGUUCGCGGGGCGAACGGCAAAAAACAGAACCCAAUUUUUCAAAAUUUAACACAGCAGAAAAUCAAUAAAACAGAAUUGAGAAAAUGUAAAAUUCAGACUUACAACGUUGGGUUGCCUCCCAACAAGCGCUUUGCUUAACGUCGUUUAGAGCUCGACGGUUCAACGGUCUUCACGAUCCGCCUUUGUUGAGAAACUUCCUCAAGGGCUUUGUUGUCUUCAAGAGGUUCUUGAUGAACCUUCGAUAAAAUCUGAUACCACCCGUUUUCGGAACUACUUGCACAACACUCACCCAUUCACCAUCGGAGAUAGAACAAAUCAAUCAUUAGUCCAUCAUCAAUAUCAAUCAUCAUUCGGGCCGUUUUCAUGAAUGGUCUUCCAAGAAUUAUAGGAACCUCACGAUCCUCAUCCAUGUCUACUAUCACAAAAUCUACCGGAAACAAGAAUUUUUCCACCUUCACUAACAUGUCUUGAGCAACUCCAUAUGGUGAAGUAGUAGACUUAUCAGCUAGUUGUAAAGUCAUCCUUGUAGAUUUGAUCUCAACAUUUCCCAAUAUUUUGACAAUGGAUAGGGGAAUUAAAUUAAUGCUAGAUCCCAAGUCAAUCAAGCCAUUACCAAUAUAGGUGUCUCCAAUGGUUACCGGUAAAACGACUCGGCGCGGAUCAGAUUCCUUCCUUGGGAGAUUCUUUUGAAUGAUGGCACUACAACGUGCAUCGAGCAAGAUUGUCUCGUCUUCCACAUGUCUUCUUUUCUUUGUGAGAAUAUCCUUCAUGAACUUUGCAUACCGUGACAUUUGCUCUAAUGCAUCAGCAAAUGGAAUAUUGAUUUGAAGUUGUUUGAAUAUGUCCAUAAACCGUGCAUAGUGUCUAGCAUUAUCCUUCUUUGAUGGUGCGUGCGGAUAAGGUAAAUGUUGAACUGGAAUGACAUUCACUCCUUUGUCUCUUGUUUUCUUUUUUCUUGGUUUAAUUUCCUUCUUCAUUUCCGCUUCACACUGCUGUUCUUCCAUCAAUUGCUGAUUCUGCUGUUUUCACGGCGCGAACUGAGCAGUUUGUGCCACUUUCUCCUUCCCACAAGCCACAUCCUCAUUUUCCAGCACAUCAUCCAUAUCAUUCUCAAUUGUAAUUUCCUCACUUUUUUUACUUGUCAACUCUCUACCGCUUCUAGUAAAAAUUGCUUUACAAUGCUCCUUUGGAUUAGUUUGAGUGUUAGCGGAGAAAGAAGAUCCUGCAGUUUGUUCCGACAGUACAAUGCUCCUUUGGAUUAGUUUGAGUGUUAGCGGAGAAAGAAGAUCCUGCAGUUUGUUCCGACAGUUGUUUCGCAAGUUGACCUAUUUGAUUUUCCAAAUUCUUGAUUGCUGCCUCGUUGCUCUUCUCAUUUGCCAUGGAGGCUUGCAUGAAUUGUUGGAGAGUGUCUUCUAGCUUUGAAUUUCCUCCUUGCGAUUGUUGUCCUUGAGAAUUUGGGUGUUAAUAAGGACUUUGCUGCUGAAAACUUUGGUUGUUGAACCUUGAUGGUUGAUAACCUUGAUUGUUCCUUUGAUAGCCUUGAUUUUGAUUGUUCACAUAGCUCACUUCUUCUAGUGGAGGGCAAAAACCAGUCGGAUGAUCUCCUUGGCAUAAUUCGCAACAUGCUACUUGAUGUCGAACUUGAGACCCUUGAAUUUCCUUCAUUUGCUGUGGAAGCUUGGCCAUUUGUUGAGUAAGCAACUCCACUUGUUGAGAGAGUAGCUUGUUUUGAGUAAGAAUGGCAUCAUUGGUAUUUAACUCAAGAACUCCCGAUUUCCGUUGUGAAGGGCUACGGUCAUGUUGACUUCGACGAUCAUUAAGUGCCAUCCGAUCAAUAAUGACUUUAGCUUCUUCAGCAUUCUUUGACAUAAGAGAGCCACCCGCGGUAGCAUCCAAAAGUGUUCUGUGAGUUGAUUGGAGCCCAUUUAGAAAAAUAUGGAUUUGAGUGAGCUCAUCAAAACCAUGACCCUUGCAUUUUCUCAACAUUGACUUGAAUCUUUCCCAAGCCUCAUUUAAAGACUCGUUGCUUCCUUGAGUGAAUACCGCAAUAGCCGUUUUGGCUUCCAUGAAUCGGGAUUGAGGGAAAUAUCUUUCUAAGAACUUUUCUUCUANNNNNNNNNNNNNNNNNNNNNNNNNNNNNNNNNNNNNNNNNNNNNNNNNNNNNNNNNNNNNNNNNNNNNNNNNNNNNNNNNNNNNNNNNNNNNNNNNNNNNNNNNNNNNNNNNNNNNNNNNNNNNNNNNNNNNNNNNNNNNNNNNNNNNNNNNNNNNNNNNNNNNNNNNNNNNNNNNNNNNNNNNNNNNNNNNNNNNNNNNNNNNNNNNNNNNNNNNNNNNNNNNNNNNNNNNNNNNNNNNNNNNNNNNNNNNNNNNNNNNNNNNNNNNNNNNNNNNNNNNNNNNNNNNNNNNNNNNNNNNNNNNNNNNNNNNNNNNNNNNNNNNNNNNNNNNNNNNNNNNNNNNNNNNNNNNNNNNNNNNNNNNNNNNNNNNNNNNNNNNNNNNNNNNNNNNNNNNNNNNNNNNNNNNNNNNNNNNNNNNNNNNNNNNNNNNNNNNNNNNNNNNNNNNNNNNNNNNNNNNNNNNNNNNNNNNNNNNNNNNNNNNNNNNNNNNNNNNNNNNNNNNNNNNNNNNNNNNNNNNNNNNNNNNNNNNNNNNNNNNNNNNNNNNNNNNNNNNNNNNNNNNNNNNNNNNNNNNNNNNNNNNNNNNNNNNNNNNNNNNNNNNNNNNNNNNNNNNNNNNNNNNNNNNNNNNNNNNNNNNNNNNNNNNNNNNNNNNNNNNNNNNNNNNNNNNNNNNNNNNNNNNNNNNNNNNNNNNNNNNNNNNNNNNNNNNNNNNNNNNNNNNNNNNNNNNNNNNNNNNNNNNNNNNNNNNNNNNNNNNNNNNNNNNNNNNNNNNNNNNNNNNNNNNNNNNNNNNNNNNNNNNNNNNNNNNNNNNNNNNNNNNNNNNNNNNNNNNNNNNNNNNNNNNNNNNNNNNNNNNNNNNNNNNNNNNNNNNNNNNNNNNNNNNNNNNNNNNNNNNNNNNNNNNNNNNNNNNNNNNNNNNNNNNNNNNNNNNNNNNNNNNNNNNNNNNNNNNNNNNNNNNNNNNNNNNNNNNNNNNNNNNNNNNNNNNNNNNNNNNNNNNNNNNNNNNNNNNNNNNNNNNNNNNNNNNNNNNNNNNNNNNNNNNNNNNNNNNNNNNNNNNNNNNNNNNNNNNNNNNNNNNNNNNNNNNNNNNNNNNNNNNNNNNNNNNNNNNNNNNNNNNNNNNNNNNNNNNNNNNNNNNNNNNNNNNNNNNNNNNNNNNNNNNNNNNNNNNNNNNNNNNNNNNNNNNNNNNNNNNNNNNNNNNNNNNNNNNNNNNNNNNNNNNNNNNNNNNNNNNNNNNNNNNNNNNNNNNNNNNNNNNNNNNNNNNNNNNNNNNNNNNNNNNNNNNNNNNNNNNNNNNNNNNNNNNNNNNNNNNNNNNNNNNNNNNNNNNNNNNNNNNNNNNNNNNNNNNNNNNNNNNNNNNNNNNNNNNNNNNNNNNNNNNNNNNNNNNNNNNNNNNNNNNNNNNNNNNNNNNNNNNNNNNNNNNNNNNNNNNNNNNNNNNNNNNNNNNNNNNNNNNNNNNNNNNNNNNNNNNNNNNNNNNNNNNNNNNNNNNNNNNNNNNNNNNNNNNNNNNNNNNNNNNNNNNNNNNNNNNNNNNNNNNNNNNNNNNNNNNNNNNNNNNNNNNNNNNNNNNNNNNNNNNNNNNNNNNNNNNNNNNNNNNNNNNNNNNNNNNNNNNNNNNNNNNNNNNNNNNNNNNNNNNNNNNNNNNNNNNNNNNNNNNNNNNNNNNNNNNNNNNNNNNNNNNNNNNNNNNNNNNNNNNNNNNNNNNNNNNNNNNNNNNNNNNNNNNNNNNNNNNNNNNNNNNNNNNNNNNNNNNNNNNNNNNNNNNNNNNNNNNNNNNNNNNNNNNNNNNNNNNNNNNNNNNNNNNNNNNNNNNNNNNNNNNNNNNNNNNNNNNNNNNNNNNNNNNNNNNNNNNNNNNNNNNNNNNNNNNNNNNNNNNNNNNNNNNNNNNNNNNNNNNNNNNNNNNNNNNNNNNNNNNNNNNNNNNNNNNNNNNNNNNNNNNNNNNNNNNNNNNNNNNNNNNNNNNNNNNNNNNNNNNNNNNNNNNNNNNNNNNNNNNNNNNNNNNNNNNNNNNNNNNNNNNNNNGGUGAAAAGAUAUCUUCGGCAAAUAUUUUUAUACGUAUCCACAGAGAUUGGUUGAUAUUACCGCCGUUCUAUAAUCCGAUUUGUUAUAAGUUUAGAAAGUAACAAAGUUGUUUUGGUUGGAAAAUUAUCUUGUGAGUAAAUGUCACUAAAAACAGUAAAAUGGUUUUAAUCAAAUGCAAAAGCUUGGCAAGAUUGGAGUUCAAUAUUUCAAAUGCUUAUGAUUCUUUAUGAUAACUAUAUAGAUUUAAGAUUAUUGAUGAUGUUCAAGUAUCCUCUCAAAGUCAUUUAUGUCUAAAUGAUAUUAUGAUAAUCACUAUAUUGAUCCUUAGACGAUCUCUCCACCUAACUAUCAAUAUAUCAAUCUUUAAUGUUUAAUACCAAAGAAGAGUAAUGAAUAAAUCUAUCUCUACAACUUAUUCACUACUUGAAAGUCUAUUUUAUGUCAAGACUCAAAUAAUCUCUUUCAACAACUACUCAAAUCUGGUUUUCAACUUAGGGCAAAAACAAUAUUCAAUACAUCAACAAUCUUUUUCAUAUAUAAAAAUCAAAUGGAAUACAUAAACAAAUGAGAAUAGCUACUACCUCCAAUCUUGACAAAAUGGAGUUUAGCUCCUCAUCAUCAUUGUUACAAAGCAUAAUGUUAAAAAAUGGAAGAAAAACUCUGUUUUUCUCUCUUACAAAAAUAUCUCAAUGUAUCAAUGUGUGAAUAAUUAUGAAUAAUGUGUUUUUCUCCUAAAAGAGUUGACAUUUCCUUAAUUGAUCAUUUCCAUCCAAAGCAGAAAAGCUAUUCCAAGACAAACACCAAAAUGGCAAGACAGCUGGUCAUGAAGGACAGCAGUUUUGGCCCAAAAUCAACUUGCUAGAUUCGCAGCCUUCGCGGCGCGAAGUAGGUUCGCGGCGCGAACUGAAGCUUAUCCAGCUUCCUUGCUUUGCAAGCUUCAUCCAAAAUCUUCCAAUUUGUGAUGUUUCUUUCCAAAAGCUCUUUCAUCUAAAACUUCUACAAAACUAACAAAUUUGUGAAAUAACUAUUCAAAGCAAAAUAAAUUAAAUCUAAUUGCAUUUAUACCAAUUAACAAGAAUACUAGUGUGUAAUUACAUCAAAGUUUGGUAAAAGGGACCAAUAAAAUGAUAUAAAAAGUAGUACUAAUUGGUCCCUAACAGUACGUAGGCACAAGUCCGAAGGUCUUGUCAGACAUAAAAAUAUAAUUAAUGAAUUCCUUUCUCAUCCCCUCACUCUAUUUAUUACAAACAUCAUUUUAUACCAAAACACGCACACACAUAAAAAGGGCUCCCUAGGAGUACCUAGGACACUUUGGGUGCUAACACCUUCCCUCUGUGUAACCAACCCCCUUACCUGUAAUCUCUGGCAUUUUAUUAGUUUUGAUUUGAAAACUUCUUAUCUUUGGGUUUUGUUUGUACUUUUCCCUUUUCCCUUGGAAACAAUAAAAGCGUGGUGGCAACUCUGGUUUUAUUGACGUUAAGUUUAUCCAUAGCUUAAUGGUCAUGAAUUUACCGCUACANNNNNNNNNNNNNNNNNNNNNNNNNNNNNNNNNNNNNNNNNNNNNNNNAAAGCAGAAAAGCUAUUCCAAGACAAACACCAAAAUGCGAAGACAGCUGGUCAUGAGGACAGCAGUUUUGCCCAAAAUCAACUUGCUAGAUUCGCAGCCUUCGCGGCGCGAAGUAGGUUCGCGGCGCGAACUGAAGCUUAUCCAGCUUCCUUGCUUUGCAAGCUUCAUCCAAAACUUCCAAUUUGUGAUGUUUCUUUCCAAAAGCUUCUUCAUCUAAAACUUCUACAAAAACUAACAAAUUUGUGAAAUAACUAUUCAAAGCAAAAUAAAUUAAAUCUAAUUGCAUUUAUACCAAUUAACAGAAUACUAGUGUGUAAUUACAUCAAAGUUUGGUAAAAGGGACCAAUAAAAUGAUAAAAAGUAGUACUAAUUGGUCCCUAACAGUACGUAGGCACAAGUCCGAAGGUCUUGUGACAUAAAAAAUAUAAUUAAUGAAUCCUUCUCAUCCCUCACUCUAUUUAUUACAAACAUCAUUUAUACCAAAACACGCACACACAUAAAAAGGCUCCCUAGGAGUUACCUAGGACACUUUGCGGUGCUAAACACCUUCCCUCUGUGUAACCAACCCCCUUACCUGUAAUCUCUGGCAUUUUAUUAGUUUUGAUUUGAAAACUUCUUAUCUUUGGGUUUUGUUUGUACUUUUCCCUUUUCCCUUGGAAACAAUAAAAGCGUGGUGGCAACUCUGGUUUUAUUGACGUUAAGUUUAUCCAUAGCUUAAUGGUCAUGAAUUUACCGCUACAAAUGCUUGUUGCUGAUACGACUGUUGUUAUGAUGGGUACUAUUGUUGAGGUUGAUAUUAUUGUUGAUUAUGAUAUUGUUGUGGUUGAUUAUGGUAUUGAAUGGAAUCCUGAUUUUGAAAGUCCCCUUGCUGAUCUUUCCAAGAGAAAUUUGGAUGAUUCUUCGAGCUUGGAUUAUAAGUGUUAGAAUAAGUGUUGUUCUGCUUCAGAAAAUUUAUCUCUUCAAUUUUUUGCACGGUUGUAACACUUUGGAUGGAAAAAUGGAUUCCCCCAUAGAUCUCACAAUUAAUAGCUUGAACAGGUUGAACUUGGGCCACUUGUUGAGUACCUAUAUUCAUUGCCUUAAGUUUUUUCUCAACUUCAGCAACAACUUGGUCUUCCAUCUUCACACUUUGAUUAGUAAGUUUCAAAUUGAUCACACCCUCAGGUCGGCUCACACUUCUAUCAUAUAAUUCUAGUUGUUCAUUUGCAACAAUGGCUUCUAUGAUCUUCAUGAUACUAGUGGUUGUUGUAAAGUUGAAUGAUCCACCAGCAGUUGUAUCAAUUAGUUGUUUAGUCUUCAAUUUGAGGCCAUUAACAAACAUUUGCAUCUGUUCAGUCUGAUCCAAGUUAUAAGUAGGACAAGCAACCAAUAACCUUUUAAAUAUCUUAUAAGCAUCACCUAGUGAUUCACCCUCCUUCUACUUAAAAUCCAGAAUAUCAUAUCUUUUUUGAAUAUAAACAGAAGUAUGAAAGUAUUCAUUCAUAAAAGUUGUUUCCAUCUGUUCCCAUGUAGUGAUACUUCCAGCUGGCAAUGAGUAAAACCAUUCUUCAACAUCUUCAGAUAGAGUGAACAAAAACAUUCACAAUUUUUUUGCUUCUUCAGAGUGCCCAUCUAUCUUCAAAGUAGUGCUCAUAGUAAGAAACCUAUGCAGAUGUUUAUUUGCAUCUUCAUUUAUUUUACAUGUAAAAGGCCUCUUCUAAAGCUAACAGAUGGUUGUAGGAUGAAACUGAAAAUUUAGGACAUUCACUAGUUAAUUCACUAUAGUCACAUGACCCUCGGGGCGUUUUCUCCUCCAUAAUCCCCAAGAAGUCUUUCUAGUGGUUUAUCCAUAACUUAAUCUUCUCUCUCUUUGUCAGAUUCUGUAUCUGAAUGCUCAGAAACUUCAAUCUCUUUUUCUUAUUCGGAAUCUAAAAUUUCUACUUCAGAGGCUUCCAACCUUGCUUCCCUAGCUUGUUUGAGCCUAGCGUGCAAAGUUCUUUCUAGUUUUGCAUCAAAAGUAAAAUCAGCCGAGGGCUUUCCUCGCAUACAAAGAUUAGACAAAGAUUAGUAAUAACCCAAAAAUAGACAUAAAAAUAAAAAUAAAAACUAAAAUUUAAAAUUUUAGUUGCAGAACAACAAAAUUUUAACUGAAAUAGAUCUAUGAACUCUAUAAUCUUUGGCAGUCCCCAACAACGGUGCCAAAAACUUGAUCGAUAAAUUGGCAAGUGUAUGAAUCUGCCAAUGUAGUAAUAAGAAGGGAAAUCCCUAGUAUCGAUCUUAAGGAUUGUUUGACGAUACAAAGUUCUGGAUAAAUUUCAGUUAAACAAAAUCCUUGGGGUUUGUGGAUUGAUUGGUUAAAUUAUGAAUAGAAUGCAAAUAAAGUUAACAAAGUAAUUGCAUGGUUUAGAAAGGCAUGAUUAAUAUGCUAGGGAUAAUGUAUGAUUCAAUUAUUUGACGAUUCUGAACUCACAAUGCAACAACAUAUUCCAGAUAAUUGACUACCAGUUCUUACAAGUGUUUACUCCUAAGUCCUUAGGGAGAAAGCCUUUAAUCAUUCUACCUAACUCCUAUAUCCAUAGAAAAGUACAAAUGAAAUUAAGCAUUAAUUUGUCAAGAAUAAUCCGGUUCUUAUAGGGUAUUCUUAGUCCUAGGUAACAUCUACUAUAAAAUAUUCUCAAGCAGAUUAGUAAUAAUGGUUGUCUAGCUUAAUUAUUACUCAUAAAUCAAACUCCAUUUAUCCGACAAAGAAAGCAUUAAAAUAUUCAAGAGAAUAAAUCAAAUAUGAUGAAAUAAAAUUGUUAUUGCAAAGAGGAAUUCGAAGUCAUUACAGUGACACCCCCUAGCAUUUAUGGGUUUAGCUACUCAUAGAAAUAAAACAAAACAUGAUAAAUAAUGUUUCCAUUGUAGAAAUUUUAGACGAGUUGAUCAUAAAUCGCAAAAAGCUCCUGAAAAUCUGAGUUCUCCAGCCUUCAAAACAUGUUUUUGCCUUCCAAAAUUGUCCAACCCGUGAAAAUUUGUGUUUUCUAGUUAAAUAGACAUUGUUUUCGGGCCUUCAACAAUUUGGGCCUUCAUACGCGUAUUUCCCAAGUCCGUAUGCGUGUGGCCUUGCUCUUGGCCCUACCAGAUAUGCGUAAGCCAACAUGGUUUCCCCAAGGUAGGUCCCAUAUGUGUAUCAUCAGUGUAUGGGAAGAAUCCCCCAUUUCCUCCCCUUUGUUGGUCCUCGUAUAAUACGGGGAAGGAUUCAGGUCCAUACGCAUAUGGACAUAAGCAUGUUCUUUUUCUCCUCUCUGCUGGUCUAUGUGUGCUACGCGUAAGGGUCUAUGGCCAUACGCGUAUGGGUAGAGCCAUAAUCUUUUUUUCUUUUUCUUCUUCUUCCUUGAUCUGGCCCGAUCUUUUCUCUGAUGCUAACUUCCCUUUUCCUUUUAUCCUGCAUCCAACAUGUCACACAUACCAAAAAGACGUAAAAAUAGCCAAAAGAAACUCAAACUAUAAAAAUAAUGUCUUGGCACAAUCUAACUCGAAAGAUCAAACAUUAAGACCAAAAGUAUACAGUUCACCUGGAUUUUUGAUGGAUAAACGAUGAAAGCUAUAACACAAAUGAUGAUUGAUCAAUCAGAUACAAUUUUUACACCGUCGUGCUAAAACCGAUAUCUGAGUACUUUCGCUGUCACGCAAAUAUUUUUGAAUUUUUUGAAGCAAAAUUUAUGGUGAACGCCAUGAGUACAAAAUUUGAAGAACGUGGUGUUAGAACAAGAUUUGGUUCAGCAUCUAUACCUUGAGCUUUGAUAUUAACAAUGUUGUAUUUGUGUGAGAACAAUUUUGGUACCCUAAUGGUUUGUUAUCGUGUAACUUUAACAGUCAAUUCUGAUUUUGAGUAUAUGACGUGUAACGUCAUUAGUUUUUGAACAUAGUGUUAGAAAUUCUGCUUCUGCAUUAAUCAUGAAAAGUUCCAAAAGAUGUCAAGUUGAUGCUGCAAUGUUCUUUUUGCUUCUAUGCUGAUUCACUCCUGAGGAGUUUCUGGAAAUAUGCUAUGUUGCUGCUACAAUGUUCUCUCUGUUUCUGCUUCUGGAUGUGACUCUGGUCAUCCAACUUAUGAAGAAUCGCAAGCUUAUAAAGUUUUGUUACUUAGCUGAAGAUUCUGAAGAUCUCAACCCAUACGUUGAGGUUAUCAAGGUUCUGACUGAAGAGUCUGAAUAUUAUGAAGAUCUCAGGCUAGAUUACUAAUGUUGUCAAGGUUCUGAUAUAAGAUUAUGAAGUUUCUGAAUCCAGCUAUAUGUUUCUUUGUUUCUUGCUUAAUCAACUAUUCAUCAGAAGCCAAUGAAUUUUAAGAUAAGAUCAAAAUAGAUUUUGGAGACUUGAAGAAAAGACUACUACAACAAGUUCGUAAGACUGUUUUUAACGUGAAAAAGAUCUAAACUUAGUUCAUACUUUUCUUUAAGUAUUUGUUUUUCAUUUGUGUAAAAUAUGCUUGUGCAGAAGCAACUUAUAAACACAAAACUUUAUUCAAACAUGUCGUUUGUAAUUCCUUAAGGAGACUAGGGUAUAGUCGGAUCCUUGAGUAGAAAAAGAAGGUUAUUCUUUGUGAUUAUUAUAAUCAUUUAGUUAUAGUGGAUUAAGUCCUUAUGUAUAAUACAAAAUCACCUUGGCGGAUGGAAUGGAGUAGCUUUGAGUUUCAAGUGAACCAAGAUAAAAAUGCUUUCGUUUUUAUCUCUUUGUUUUUAGUAUUUGUGUGGUGUUCUUCAGUUGGAAAAAAACUAUUGUUUUUAAAACCCAGUUCAAACUCCCCAUUUCUUGUGUUUUUCACACCUUCAAUUGGCAUUAGAUCUCAGAUUCUGAUAGUUAUAAAGUUUUUAUGAACACUUCACCGUGUUUAGUACUGAUCCAAUGUGUGUGAGAAAUAAUGGCCGCUGCUAACAACAACAUUGUCGCUACUAACUACAAUGAGAUGGGUCACUACAGUGCUAAACCACCAAUAUUUGAUGGUGAGAUGUUUGAUUACUGGAAAGAUAGAAUCGAAAGUUUCUUCUUUGGAUAUGAUAUUGAUCUCUGGGAUCUUGUAGUCAAUGGCCAUGUUCACCUAGUUAAUGUUGAAGGAAAUAAUAUAGCAAGAAAUGCUAUGACUGAUCAACAAAAGAAGGAUUUCAAAAAUCAUCAUAAGGCUAGAACGAUAUUUCUUCAUGAUAUCUCUUAUACUGAGUAUGAGAGGAUAACUAACAGAGACUCUUCUAAGUCUAUUUUUGAUUCCUUUAGAAUGACUCAUGAAGGGAAUGCUCAAGUAAAUGAGACAAAGGCUUUGGCCUCAAUCCAUAAGUACGAAGCAUUUAGAAUGGAAGAUGAUGAAACCGUUGAGACUAUGUUCUCAAGAUUUCAGAUGCUUGUUGCAGGCCUGGAAGUUUUGGACAAAGGAUACUCUAUGGUUGACCAUGUCAAGAAGAUAAUCAGAAAUCUCCCUAAAAAACGGAGACUAUGGUAACUACUUUGAAGUUGGAAAAUGAUCUUAACAAUAUUAGUCUUGAAGAACUUGUUAGUUCUUUGAGAAGCCAUGAGAUAUAACUCGAGGAAGAUGAACCUUAGAAGAGAGGUAAAUCUGUUGCUUUAAAGUCUAAGCCUGAGAAGAUAAGAGCUUAUAAAGAUGAGUAAGAAUAAAAAGUUUCUAAUGAAGAUUCAGAAGAUGAUGAUGAGUUGUCUUUGAUUUCCAAGAGGGUCAACAGACUCUGGAGGCAUAAGAAGAAUGGUCAAGGAAAGUUCAGAGGAGCUAGGAGGACUGUUGGUCAUUCUAAUUCUUCGUCUGGACAAAAGAAGCAAGGUUCUGGUAAAGAGGUUAUCUACUUUGAGUGCAAGGAACCAAGACACUACAAGAAUGAGUGUCCUAAGCCGAAAAAGGACAUAAGGCAUAAGAAUAAGUUUUCUAAAGGCAAGAAGGUGUCGAUGGCUACAUGGGAUGACCCAAAAUCUGAAGAAGAAGAUUCUGAUGAAGAACAUGCCAAUGUUGCAUUGAUGGCAACUAUAGCUGAUCCACAAGGUUCUGAAGAACCAGAGGACAAGAUGUUGUUAGAAUCAGAAUCAGACUCCAAUUCUGAAGCGAUAUUUUAUGAACUAUCUUGUUCUGAUUAAGAGUCAUAUCUCUAUGAAAUACUGAACGAGUACUAGAGUCUUUAAACUAAGUACAAUGACCUUAAACAAGUCCAAGUAGUUGCUUUUGAAACUCGUAGUGAGCUUGAGAAAGAUAUUUCUUCCCUAAAUGAAAAAAUAUUUUCAAUGCUUUGAAAAGUAAAAUUUCAAAACUAGAGGAAGAAAUAGUCUUAGAAGCUUCUGGUACUGAUUGCAUCAUUAGAUAUGAUAGAGCAUUCUAGUACUUUCUGGCUAAAAGCAUAUAUAAAAGUAAAAUGGCUUCCUUGAUCUAUAGAGUUAGCAAAAAUGGAAAGAAAGGUUUAGGUUAUACAUAAACUAUAAAACCCGACGAAAGUCAGAAGGUUAUAUUGAAACCUCUCUAUGAGCAUAUCGUGUCUGCUGGCACGGAGCUUGAUUUUUCUACAUAUACACAAAGACUUACACAGGAUAAGAACUCAGUUCUGAAACCGAAGUAUCAUGCACAAAUUUCACUUGAUUAUCCUAUUUCACAAAGACCCAAGAGUGUAAGAAACUCUAGGAAAACUAACAAGAGAGGACCCAUAAAGUGGUUACCUUAGGAUAAGAUCAUAUAUGUUGAAGACAUCCUUAGCAGCUCAGUUGAAACACCAGUUAUGGUACCUGGACAAUGGAUGCUUGCGACAUAUGACGGUUAGAAGGUCAAUGUUCCAAGAUUUGGAACUUAAUAUUAGAGGCUUCGUUGGUUUCGGAGGAAACCAGAACGGGAAGAUCAUUAGCUCCGGAACUGUUGGUAACAAUAAACUUCCAUCUAUUACUAAUGUUCUUUUGGUGGGUGGUUUGAUGCAUAACUUAUUGUCUAUUAGUCGACUUAGUGACAAUGGUUAUGACAUCAUUUUUAAUCAAAAGUCAUGUAAGGUUUUUAGUCAAAAAGAUGGUACAAUCCUUUUUAACGGAAAGAGAAAGAAUGACAUUUAUAAAAUCAGACUUUCUGAUCUUAAGGGUCAAAAUGUAAAAUGCCUAAUGUCUGUUAAUAAGGAGCAAUGGGUAUGGCAUAAACGUUCGUGGCAUGUUAGCAUGAUAAGGUUUUCUCAGCUAAAUAAGCUUGGAUUAGUCAGAGGCUUACCCAACCUAAAGUUCGCUUUAGAUGCUCUUUGUGAAGCAUGUCAGAAAGGCAAGUUUUCUAAAACAUCUUUCAAAGUGAAAACUGUUGUUUCUACAUCUAGACCGUUAGAACUUAUGCACAUUGAUUUGUUUGGGCCAGUGAAAACUGCCUAUAUCAGUGGUAAGAAGUAUGGAUUGGUCAUCAUUUAUGACUAUAUUCGUUGGACAUGGGUAAAGUUCUUGAAACACAAUGAUGAGUCACAUUCUAUGUUCUUUACUUUCUGCUCACAGGUGCAAACAGAGAUGGAUUGCAAAAUAGUCAAAGUCAGAAGUGAUCAUGGUGGAGAAUUUGAAAAUAAACAUUUUGAAAGUAUUUUUGAUGCAAAUAGAAUUUCCCAUGAUUUCUCCCGUCCUAGAACUCCAUAGAAAAAUGGGGUUGUAGAAAGGAAGAGUAGGACUUUGCAAGAAAUGACUCGCACCAUGAUCCAAGAGAUUGAUAUGGCUAAGAAUUUCUGGGCAGAAGCAGUUAACGUAACUUGUUAAAUUCAGAACAUGAUUUCUAUUAGACCUAUUCUAGGUAAGACUCCCUAUAAAUUAUGGAAGAACAGAAAGCCCAACAUUUCUUACUUCCAUCCUUUUGGCUAUGAGUGUUUUAUGUUGAACACUAAAGAGAAUCUUGGCAAGUCUGAUUCUAAGGCACAAAAGUGCUUAUUGUUAGGAUAUUAUGAACGCUCAAAAGGCUACAAAGUCUUUAAUAGUGAGACACAAGUUAUCGAAGAAUCAAUUCAUGUAAGAUUCAAUGAUAAGCUUAACCCUGAAAAGUCAAAGCUAGUAGAGAAAUUUGUAGAUAUGAAGAUUAAUUUCUCAGAAUCUGAAGAUAAAGACUCAGAAGGUAAAGCCAAGGACGCUGAAGCAAAACACUCGUAAGUGACUCAACCAGAAGCCAUUGUUGGUCCAAAUAAGAAGAAGAGUUGAUCAAGAACUUCUCAUUCUGAAGAAUUGAUUCUAGGAGAUAAAGACGCACCAGUCAAAACUCGAUCUUCAUUCAAACCUUUUGAAGAAACUGUUCUGGGUUUGGUAUCUCUAAUAAAGCUCAUAUCUAUUGAUGAAGCUCUUCUGGAUAAUGAUUGGAUUUUGGCUAUGCAAGAAGAACUAAAUCAAUUCACCAGGAAUGACAUCUGGGAUCUUAUUCAGAAACCAAAGGGUUUCCAUGUCAAUGGAACCAUAUGGGUUUUUAGAAACAAGCUCAAUGAGAAGGGCGAAGUCAUCAGAAUCAAGGUUCGACUAGUAGCAAAAGGUUAUAGUCAACAAGAAGGUAUAUACUAUAUAUAAACCUUUGCUCUAUUUUCCAGGCUAGAGUUUAUUCAUUUUUUAAUUUCAUUUGUAGUCAAUCAUAUCGUCAUUCUUUAUCAGAUGGAUGUUAAGAGUGCAUUCUUAAAUGGGUACAUUUCUGAAGAAGUGUAUGGGCACUAACCCUUGGUUUUGAAAGUUUCCAAAACCAUGAUUUUAUUUUCAAACUCAAAAAGUCGUUAUAUGGUAUGAAACAAGCUCCCAGAGCUUGGUAUGAUAGACUAAUCAACUUCCUUUUGGAAAAUGAUUUUACUAGAGGUAAAGUGGACACUAAUCUCUUUUGAAAAACCAUUAAGAAUGAUAUCCUGGUUGUCAUACCCCAAUUUUGUUCGGGCAUUUUUAAAUUUUUGUAAAUUUCGAUUUCACUUUUUUUUUUAUAUCAUAUGCACAACAUGACAUGCAUUUCAUCAUGAAUAAUAUCUAAAAUAUCAGUCAGAAUAUAAUAUUGAAAAUACAAACAAAUUGGUUAAAUCGUUUCUCAAGUACGUGCAAAAUCAGCGGGUAAAAAGUUUCAAAAUUAAAAUUACAGACGUCAGUAUCAUUAACCUACUGUUCACGUAGUUUAUUGGUGUGCUCCUUGUAUUUUUCAGGGACUGUUUCGGCUGCGUUUUGACCCGCCUGAGCCUUUUAAUCGGUGACAAUUUAUUUUAGAAUUUGAAGAAACGCUGUAUUUUUUCAAUAAGUGUAUUUUGUGGUGAUCAUUUUGGUGCACCCGAUUUAAUUUUUCGAGCAAAUUUUUACCCGACUUUUUUUGCAUAAUCAGUCAUUUUAUUUUUAUCCUUUCGCCAAAACAUUCAGAAAAUUGAGAUUUCCAUGUCUUCAUUUUAUUUUUACCAUAUUCAUUUUAGAAGUUGUGGAUUUAAAUUUGAUUUCAUUUAUCUAAAUUGUUUUAAGUCAAUUGAACCAUCUAGAAGGGGCACCUUUGAUAUUUUUAGAAUUAGUUAGCAUUUGUGUUUCUUUGGUUUAAUCUCGAUCGUUAAAUCGAGAUUAAUCAAAGGUCUAUAAUAGUUAUCCAUGUGUGUUUCUAUUUACCAAUAAUAAAAUCAAAUAAUAAUAAUAUUAAUAAUAAAGAGAAAAAAUCAAUUUAUGGUUGUGCAAAUAAGGAUAGGUGGCGUUGGAUUAUUGACUCCUUUUUCUUAAAUUUAGAAAAAAGAAAAAUGCUAAAAAUACUACCCUUUAGGAUUUUUUUCGGUGGCCUCUCGGAUCACUCUCAAACAAAAUUCAUAACAACUCAUUAUUGGCCAGGAGAAAAUGAGCUAUCUCCACUCACAGCUGGAAACAGAAUCCACUCUCUUUCUCUCUCUCAAAAAACAACUCUGAAAAGAAAGAAAAAAAAAGAAUAGAUAUAUCUCAACGAGUACACAAAAGGACAAAAAAAUCUCAUUCUGAAAAAAGACGUUACAUCCAUUUAAAUUUCUCUCUCUCACCACUCAUAAAAGAGCUACCCACUCACCUAACUUUCAGAAUCUCUCUCACGGGUUCCUCACAUUACAAAAAGAUAAAAGGAAAAAGGAAAUUAAAAAAGGACUGACAAAAAACUCUCUCACCUGAUACCAUUCCUUCUCUCUCGUAAUAACCCUCUCUCUCUGACUUCAAAAAGGCAACGAAAAAAAGAAAAAAAAUAAAUUGAGAGGACUCUUCCUCUUAUUCGGAAUCUUAUCACUCUUCACCAUCGGACCGCCUUCAACAACCUCUGUCGUCGAAAACCUCACUGCCAUAAUCGUGCCACCCUUCACCCUCCUUCAAACUCUCCGUCGGCGAAAAACAGAAACACCGCGAGCCCCUUUUUCAACAUCGUCCAAACCCUUCGUCUUCGUUACAACCAUACACCGCCGUCUCCACCAUCCAAAUCCCAUCUCCGUCUUCACUCAACUCACAACCGCAACCAACAAACAACACCAUGAAACCGUUUUUGCGAAACGAAACUCAACGAAUCUCCUUCCUCACGAAAUCACCGUCGCCACCACCGACAUCUCACGGCUAUUCACAAUAAACCCUCACGACCGCCUCCGCUCCUCUCCCACACUUCCUUCGUGGCCACCGCGAAAGCCACCACGCGUCUUCUCCUUCACAUUCACGGAUGUCUUCUCCUUCCGAUGCCAGAUUCAAACGCAACACAAACAAACAACCAGCCGCUCUACAGCAAUAAGAGGAGCAUAGCACCAAAGGAAAUAACGCAGAAGGAUGGGUCUAGCCGCACUCCGUUUCCGUUAUAAUUUCAAGUUCAUUUCCGACGAACUCACAGUACUUCCAAUCACCCCAAGGUCGUCGAACCCGUAGGUAUAUCACUAUAAAUCUCAUGUUGAUUGGUUUAUUAUUUUUUUUGUUUUUUCCAAUUGGAGUAAGGUAGAGAUUAAAUCGAGGAUGCAAGGGUUUGUUUCAUCGGUCUUAAAGAUGAAAAAUAAUGUUCUGCAUUUUUAAAGAGCGAAAGAAAGCAUAGUGGAAAUUUCAAACUUAUUAUGAGCCUUGAUUUUCCUAAUGGUAAUGUAAAAGUUAAACUGGAUUUUUACGUUUUGUUACUUGUUUGUUUGACUGAACUUUUUUUUUAUAAUUAUUAUUACAUGACAAUAGAAUUAGUAUUUUGGUUGUAGAAAGAGUUGUCUGCAUAUAAUUCAUUAUGGUCUUGGUUUUCUUUUUAUCCAGGAAAGUUUUAGAUUCGAUCGAUAAUGCUUAAUAGUAUACAUUGAAUUCUUUCUUAAAUCACGUUUGGAAGGGUCCUGCAACUCUUUUUAUUUUUUUCAAACUUGGACAUCAUUGGUUUUAAAUGCUACUUUGUUUUAAUUAAUUGUAUUAGUAUCCCUUGUUCUAACUGAUUUAUUAGUUCACAACGUUACAACCAUUUUUCUCAAAUAUAUGGUUGGUUCUACUAUUAAAAUUUAAAUUAGAUUACUAAUUGCCUAAUGGAUUUUAUAUUGUAUAUAUAUAAAUCUGAUCCAAUCAUAUGGUGUUGUUGUUAACAUUCAGUUAAUAUGUUGUGUAUAACCUUGGCUGGUUUCUAUGUGGUUUCAAUUCCAUUAUGAUGAAGUUGGAAUUUCGACUUGCAAGUACGAGAUUUUUGAUGUUUUGAGCACAUUGUAUCCACCUUGUUUUAGUCACUUUUAAAUCAAAUUUGUUUUAAUUGAAUUGAUUGAUUAAUACAAAUUUUGUUUAAAUUACUUGGUUGUGAUGAUCGAUUACCUUGGAAAUUUUAGUUAAUCAAAUGAUUUUGAUUUUGAAUUUUGAUUGGGUCAAUUAGGUAGUUUGUUUAAAUUCCAAUCAAAUAACUUUAUUAAUUAAAUAUUGACCAAAUUAUUUUAUCACGAUGUCAACCUCUUCCAAACUCGAAUUGAUUUCAAUCUUAUCAAUUCGAAAUCAUUCACCCAUUCAAUAAAAACAUAAUUCUCGAUUCAAAGUCGAGCCCAUUUUUAAAUACCCUUGUAAGUCGAUAGCUUUUCGCAUCGCCAUCAACCUCACAUAGCUUUCUCUUGGGCUUUCUUAUUAUGAGACCUAGUCGAUUGUUAAUUGAUCGAUUAGAUGAUUGAUUCACUAAAUAAAAUCCACUUUAUUCACAAAACACAAACUUAAAACCUCGAUCCACCAUCAAGUAUUUCUAUUCAAAUUAUUAAGAUGCCCAAUCACAAUCAAAUACCAUUUCAUUUGGAAAUGAAAAGGGGGAUGGCUUUGAGUUUUCAAUUCCUUUCCUCGAUUAUUUGAAUAUGAGUUCUCUUAUUCGGUGAGUCAAAUAGUCGUCACUUCCAUCCACCUAAGCACAAACGAAUCGAAUCAUUUUUAUAAUAAGAAACAAAAAGGGAGAUGACUUUGAGUUUUCAAUUUUUUUCUCCUCGAUUAUUUGAAUACAAGUUCUCUUACUUGGUUAGUCAAAUAAUUAUCGUUCCUCUGCAAGCUUCCAAACCCCGAUUAAAUCAAAUUAUUUUCAUAAUAAGUUAAAUGAAAAGGGAGUUGACUUUAAGUUUUCAACUUCUCCUCAAUUGUUUGAAUACGAGUUCUCUUACUUGGUCAAUCGAACAAUUUUCAUUUUUCCACCAACAUAUAAGUUAAUCAAAUCAUUUCAUAAUAAACUAUACAAAAAUGGAGAUGGUCUUGAGUCUUUAAUUCCUCUUCUCAAAUGCUUGGAUAUGAGUUGUCUUACUCACCCAUUCAAGUACUUUGUCGUCUAUUCCAAAAUACAUCAACCAUACGCAAACCUAUUUUCAUAAUCACUCAGAUGAAAAAGAAAAUGGUCUAGAUUCUUCUAUUCCCUUUCUCGACUAUUAGGAUGCGAGUUGUCUUACUCGACUAUCCGAGUAUUCGUCAUCCAAUCAAAAACACCUUAAUCAUCAUUAAAAUCCUUUCACAAUUAAGGAUGAAAAAGAAAGCGGUCUAGAGUCUUCUAUUCCCUUUCCCGAUUAUUAGGAUACGAGUUGUCUUACUCGGCCAUCCGAGUAAUCAUCAUCCAACCAAAAAUAUCUUAACACAUCAAACUUAUCUUUCUCACCCUCGUGCGAUCGAAACCAGUCAAACAAAACAUUAAACACAUCAAUUCAACUCGUCACCCCCCGCGUGACCAAAACCCUUCUUUCAAAAAGAACACUGUCAAUCCUUUCUAAUGCGCACAACAAAUUAGUGCUAGAGCCUCCACCGAGAGUAGACAAGUCAAUGUUUAGCCUUUAGAACGCCGACCUACACAUUCGUUCAUAAAACAAAACACAUCAAUUAUUUGUAGUUCCCCGAACUACAAAUGCUCUGAUUUCCUUAUUACACCAUAAGGAUACGUAGGCGGGAGAUUGCUAUAUCUUCGCGAGCACACUAAUAAAAAACCUCCCUUUUCUCCCUUUUGAGGUCUUCAUCCAUAUAUAUUAUCAACUCUAAUUACUCGAAGAAAACAAACAACGCAAGUUAACACUCAAAUCUCAAAAUUGAACUAAAAGGUUCCCGUUGAGAACAAUGGACGUGAGGGGUGCUGAUACCUUCCCCUUGCGUAAUCCACUCCCGAACCCGAAUAUGGUUGCGACGACCAUUAUUCUAUUUUUCAAAGGUUUUAUCAAUAUUUUCCUAUUCCUUCAUUGGGAUAAAUAAAGUUCGGUGGUGACUCUGUUCGAACUAACAUUUUUCCACGUCCAUCGCGAGGGAUCACAUUUUUUCCGAGGUGCGAAAGCUGGCGACUCUGCUGGGGACAUGCUCCAAGCAAGAGAGAGUGAAGCCUAACUUUGUUUAAUUUUUGUAUUGGGUGUUAACCUUGUUUGUUUGAUUUUUUAUUCUGUUAUUAUUUUGUUGUAAUUAUUAUGUUGUGGUUUAUUUCCUAUGAUACUAUUGGGGUUCUCUGAUUGUUGGUACUUUGUGAGAUAGGCUUUCUACCCGAGUCUGAGAAAAACCAUAAGAUUAAGUUGGUGGUUGCGUAGUGGACGCCCACAAGGAGUCUUCCUUGUUGGGAAGAUACGAAGACCCCGCCUAGAGGAGAUUCUCUUGAGAUAUUAUUGUCCGACAAGCCUUCGUCACGGCGAUGGUGUUUCAAGUUGGAUCAAUGACUCUAGGGACCUUUUAACCCUAUAUCCGGAGGUUAUGUAGUAUUAACCUACGAAGUUUCAUACUUGUUAGGUUAAUACGAAAACCCCAAUCAGAUGAGAUCCCUUGGACGUAUUAUUACCUUACAGUAAUAUUUCCAACCUCGAUCUAUGACUCUAAGAACCUUGUUAGAACCUUGAACUCGAGAGUUGCGUAGUAUAAUCCCUAUGGAGCCUUCCUUGUUGGGACAAUACGAAGACCUCUCCUAAGAUGAGAUUAUCUUAGGGGUAUUACUGUCCGACGAGUCUUCGUCACGGCAGUGACGCUUUCAAUGAGAAUCGAUGACUCUGGGAACCAAUUAACUUUGGAGCCUACCCUUGGGAAUUUCAGUAAUCAGAGAAACCUCUACUUCUUCCUUUUAACUUGACGUACACGACGUGUGAAUGAUCUUGAGUAUUUCUAUUCCUUUGCGAAAACAUGGCAAAAUUUCAUGCAUUUGCAUAUCAUAAACAUGCAUUGCAUACCAUCUUCCAGAAACAAAAACUUACACCAUAUUCUACCCUUUGUCCAGUAACACUGACUACUCAACACCGGUACGAGACACGCCGCAACUACAGGAUGACACUCGAACAACUUGAAGCAAACCAGGUUUUAAUGAGGACAAACAUCGACUCCAUGCAAGCGAAGAUGGACCAUUUGCUUGAAACAAUGUUGCUCUUAGCCCAGAAGGAGAAGGAUGCUGAGACUAGCGCCGAUGCCAGAAAAGUUGCUACUCAGUUUGGAUCACCAUCACUUAGCAUCCAUGGAGUGAUUGACCAUGAUGGUAACCUUAAUCAUCUUAAAGGAGGACCGACCCCUAUUCCAUUCCCGAUGGUCAAUGUAAACCCCCAUGAGCAUUCUGCUACAUCUGCUCGACAUGGAUCCAUGAUGGGUGAUGAAGAUCCGUAUGACGCUUUCUUCAUGCCACAACCCGCCAAACCUGUUAUUGGAGGUCUCUUAGACCCAACUGUUGAGAGACUCCAUGCUUUAGAAGAGAAGUUCAAGUCCUUUGAGGUUCACACUACUCUCGGUUUGGACGUCGUUGAUAUGUGCCUAGUGCCAUGACUCGUGAUUCCACAAAAAUUCAAAGUCCCAUACUUUGACAUGUACAAAGGGAUCAGCUGCCCUAGAACUCACCUCAGAGCUUAUUGCCGCAAGAUGGCUGCCCACAUCGGUAAUGAUCAACUCUUGAUUCAUUACUUCCAAGAUAGCCUCAAUGGGGCAUCCUUGGAGUGGUAUAUGCAAUUAGAAAGAGGACAAGUCCAGUCAUGGAGAGACCUUGUUGAAGCCUUCCUUAGGCAUUAUCAAUACAAUAUUGAUCUAGCACCCAAUCGCACCCAGCUGCAAGACAUGACUCAACGCAACAAUGAGUCAUUCAAGGAAUACGCACAACGGUGGAGAGAGCUAGCAGCCCGUGUCCAACCUCCUCUCCUUGAUAAGGAGCUAAUUGAUAUGUUUAUGGGAACUCUUCAUACUCAAUACAUGGAGAAAAUGGUAGGAUCCAGCUUCCCAACUUUUGCUGAGGUUGUCUCCGUGGGAGAACUAAUCGAGAGCCAGAUCAAGAAGGGAAAGCUACCUUGCGCUGCCAAUGCUUCAAGUGGGAUGAAGAAACCUUAUCCUAAUCUCCCAAAGAAGCUAGAAGGCCAGACCAACGCCAUAAUGAGAGGAGGAGGAUAUAUGACGCCUCCGUAUGUUCCUAUGCCUUAUCAUCAGGUUGUCGUUGUCAUCCCGACACCGUAUCAGCCACCAUAUCAGCAACCAUAUCAGCAACAACAUCAGUUGCCGUACCAACAUCCGGCUUACCAACAGCCACACCAGAAUCAACAGCAACGUGCUCCACCGUAGCGUCAACCUAGUCAACAGAGGGCAAGGAGGCCAAAAAGACAUUUCGAUCCUUUGCCAUUGCCUUACAGCAAGAUCCUUCCCUACCUGCUAAAAGAUGGAUCAGUUGUUUUGAAGGAGCUAACACCUGCAACUCCGCCCUACCCACCAGGCUAUGACACCAAUGCUCACUACGAGUAUCAUAUGGGUGCCCCAGGGUACACCGUAGAAAAUUGCAAGGCCUUCAAACACAAGGUCCAAGAUCUGAUUGACAGUCAGGCAGUUACUUUCACGCCAGUUAGGCCAAAUGUUGCAACAAAUCCCAUGCCAGCGCAUGCAGAGCAUAGUGAAGCUCGAAGAUAGAGCUCCCCACCGGCCUGAACAAGCGGAGCACUUCCUAAACGAAGAAUCAAGAGAUGAAGGCCCGUUUCUUUGAAUGAAGGCAAUCAUUAUGCCAUUUUUACCGUUUCGCAUUCUUGUAAUUUGUUCUUGUUUGUCUAAGUAUUGUAUGGCUUUAAACAUUGUUAUUUGUAUUUGGUUCUAUUAAUGGGAUGAUUAUGCAUGUUUUGAAUCAAUCUUUCAUAUUCACUCAUACCAUUUAUUUGCAAAGCACAAAGCACAAACACAUACUUUUCCACUUCACCUUCUUUAUCACACUAUUGUUAGCAAAUGUUGGAAGGAGGAUGACGAAAACAAAAUACUCAUAAUUGGUGAUUGUAUGCUUUUGGAUAAAAUCCUGCUAAUGAUGUACAAGCAUUGUUUCAAAUCUCCAAACACUGGAGAGAUAAGGAGUUAAUCCCUAGUUAACCAUUUCGGGCCUAGAAGUAGGAGUUUCUUUCAGAUCUACAAACCCUUACGCUUAACCUGGGGCAGGGUAGUGUUCAGUUGAUCUGACUACACAUUCGAAUUACAAGAUGAAAUUUCCCAUACAAGGAUCAAUCACAUGAUAUUCUUCGCACACAUCCUGAAGUGUCGAAGGAACCAUACAAAAUCCAAAAUUUAUGUCCGUUAUUCUUUAAUGACUAAUGACUUGGCAGUCACAAUUUUCCAAAAAAAAUCAAAGAAAGAGCUCGCUAAGUCAAACAUCCAAAAAGGAGACUUAGGCAAAAACUAGGGCAAUCCCGAUGGAUUAAAGCUUCAAAAAGCGGUCCAUGCAAAAUUAGGGAUCAAAACAAAGAUCGAGAGAGACAAUGAGAGUCCUCAACAAAACAAAACAAGAUUCAGUGACCACCAUACCCAAAUCAAAGGGUCGCCAACAUCCAUGAAUAGCAAGAUAGGAUGACUGUCAUUUCAAGAAAUCUUACACUGCUGAACCCUCGCAAAAGUAAGUGUGUGUCGAAUUAACUGAACGUAAGAUCGGAGAUCAUCAUGAAGAAGGGGUGGGUUAAAGUAAACUUUGAGCUUUAUAUCCUUUUGUUUCAAUAACCAUGUGCCAAGCCACGUUACAACCUACGAAAGACCUAAUUGAAGUAAGGUUUAUUCUGAAAGCAUACUACAUCAAGGUUGAGUGAGCUGACUCCUAGAGAUUUGCUAAUAUUCUAUUUUCACUAUAUCACUCACACACUAGCUAAAUCGACACCGCGUCUGGACUCAUGGUCCACUCGCCAUACACUGCUACGAUACUCCUAAUGAACGAUUGUUUUUCAAAACUUGCAUGACUAUUGCAUUAAAAUCACCAUUUCUUGGAUAACAAUUCUUAAUUGUCAGUCAGUACUUGACAUCGAGAAAAUUCCAACAAGGGGAAAUUCAAGAGGUACUUGAUAAUUGGUGCUGACACGAAUCAAGACCAUCUCAUAAAUCAGGGGCAUGGCAUCUUUUGAUUAUGUUGACUUAGGAAGCAGUCAGUAUAAGGCAAAUCUCCAGAGCAUUGGUUGACCAGGGAGGAAAAACACUUCAACACUCAGUCCAUCUGGGGCAGGUCCCUCACAGGCUAAUCAGGGAGCGAACCGUUACAAAGAUUUAGGAGCUGAAAAAAACAAACUCAGACCAUGUCAUGGGAUAAUCACUCCUAAAGUUUCCUUUCAAGGAGAAUGCCAUUUGAUACCCUACAGACUGGGGCAAGACAAGUUGCAAGGGGCAAGUUCCCUUCAUAUCUUCAAGUCAGUCAAGAAGAUUGCGUCAGACACUAGUAACUGCUUGAAUUCUCAAUAAAGACGUCGGAAGUCCAUGCUAGUACGACAUCAUAUCUUGACAAGAAUCCUCAUGGCACGUCAAAGGCAUAAUCAUCAUGCGUUGAUCAUGUCGCUAUGCUCAGUAACAUGCCAUCCAUACAUCUCAGCAGAAAAAGUAGAGAUCGCCUCGGGAGCAAAGACACAACGUAUCACAAGAGAUCAAACUUGGGGAACCAAGAGUAUUCGCAUCUACUACGUGUUCAUCACAUCAUCAACUACCGAGUGUCGGGAAGUCAGAUCCUUUCCCCAACCAACAACCCAACCCACAUUGACAGUUACCAGAAAAAACCAAAGUCCACCUUACUAGCAUCCCUCAUAAAAAACAAACACAACCAGCAUUGGUUUCCAGAAAAUACAUCGCCUUUGAAUAAGGGGGGAGGGGGGGGGGGGGGGGGGCAAUCCCAAACAAACCAAUCAUUCUUUGCAUUCAAACAUGCAUCAUAUGCAUCAUCUCAUACAUCUUUGAAUGCAUAUCAUUUAUGCACAAAAACACGAAUCAAAAUCCAAGGUUAAGUCGUAGGCAUCCAGGCCACCAUUUGCACUUAGUUUUCAUCAUCCAUCCAGCAUGAAUCUUCAAGAAUCGGUAACACUUUGUUUUUUCUUUUAGUUGAUUUCUUAAGUUUAUCGCAUUUUAUGAAUUUCUGCUUGUUUUAUGUUGUAUUAGUAGUUCAUCUCUUUUUGUCGCAUUUUAUGCGUUUCUGUGGUAGUGUUGUUUGGUUUCCAGGUCUAACAAUAAGCCUGAAAUAUGCGUACCGGAAGAAUUAAAGUCAAGGACAUCGUGCAAAGCGAGAAAAGGCAAAAACAGGGGGCUGACACGGGUGCCCGUGUCAGCUGACACGACCUGUGUCAGUAUGUGCAGAAUACAGAUUGUGGAAUCCAGAAACCAAGGGGUUGACACGGGUGCCCGUGUCAGCAAGGGCUGAAGAGUUUGAGUUGACAGAGAGCCAACAUGGGCGCCCGUGUCACCUGACACGGUCCGUGUUGGCCAAUUCGCCAUGUUUGCUGAUUUUUAUUGUUUUGAUCCAUGUGUACGUCCGGAGGGCAGUAUGGGUAUUUCACGAUGUUUUUAGUUGAUUGGAAACUAUUUAGUCUGCAUUUUGGUGAAGAGAGAGGACACUUUUGAUCGUACAAGAAAAAGACAGAAAGGAGAAGCGAACUUUCAAGGUGUUUAGAGAAGAAGAGAUCUUCAAGAUCGGAAGAGAUUGAAGAUCAACCUUCAUCAACAACAAAUUGUACUGUCUCUAUUUUGUAAUUUACUAUCUUUGAAUAUUAUGAGAAGUUAAACCCCCCAAUGCUAGGGGGUGUCCCUGAAUUGCUACUGUAUGAACACUUUUUCUAUGUUUUUAUGAUCAUCGAUGUUUUCUUAAUUCAAAUUAUUAUACAACGUUCUUAAAGCUUUAUUUUAUCGGACAAAUGGAAUUUUGAUCUCUGGUUAAGGUUUAGGUCGGACAAACCACCUUAUCGCUUGUUGUGUAAUAAUAUUUCGGUUUAAUCACUUAGGAAUAAGGAUCAAACCGUAGUAACCGUUAAUUCUUGCUCAAUUGCAUAUUUCGUAACGUCAUUUUGAAUAACUAAGGAAUUAGGAUUGAAAUUGACUGUUAAUGGUUUUCGGCUAAGGGAUUAGAUAAAACAAUUCUUGAGAAUCAGUUUUGAAUAAUUACAACGUAGAUGUUAUAUAAUAUGGAAGGAGUGUAGUACAAAGCAAUUCACACAUAUUGCCUUAGCAUGCUUUCUCAUAUCGCUUAACAACUUUUUAUAUGCUUUAUAUAAUUUAUUCUUGUUCUUAUCAUUUUGAAAACAAUCAUUAAACCCCCUAUGAUCUUUUGUUCAAUGGAAUUAUUGUAAAGAUUUGUACUUAUUACGCAGUCCUCAAGAUGAUACUUGGGAUAACUCCCAUUUCAUUACUACAGUGGUGCAAAUAGUACACUUGCUAUUUUACCGAUCAAGUUUUUGGCACCGUUGUCGGGGAUUGCCAAAGUAUAAGUUGAAUAAUAAUUCAAUUGAAAUUUUUUCGCUCAACGACCAAAAUUUUAUUUCUCUGUACUAUUGGUUAUUUUUAUAAAUUCUAAUAAUUGUCUAAUCUGUGCAUGCAAGACGACGAAAAGCUAGACUGGAACAUUUAGAAGCAACCCCCAUUGUUUCUGAGUCUGAAAAAGAAGAAGCUAUUUCAGUUCAUUCGGAACCAAUGGCUGAAGCUCCACCUUCCGUGGAAAUACUUUUGGGUGACUAUGGAGGUGCAAAUGCUCCUACUGGAAGGUUAACAAUUGUGAACCAACCGGUAAAUGUUGAUCAUUUUCAGCUACACCCUUCAACGAUUCGUCAUCUCGAAAGGAGACCGUUCUCCGGAAAAAUCAAUGAAGAUGCCAACAAGCAUUUACAAAGAUUUCUGACCAUGAUGACAUCGUUGAAAAUUGAGGGACACUCAGAGGAAGCUAAAAAGUUGGUGAUGUUUCCGUUUACACUAUCGGAAGAUGCUGAAGAGUGGUGUUACUCUUUACCCGUGGGAAGCAUUACAGCUUGGCAACAAAUGGAGACAACAUUUUUGAAUGAGUACUUCCCUGGUUCUGUGUAUAUCUGUAAGAGAUAUGAUAUUGUUAAUUUCAAAUAGAAGGAAAGAGAGUCACUCAGAGACGCUUACAAGAGGUUCAAGCGAUUGUUGGUUGCAUGUCCUACUCAUAACAUGGAUGCAACUGAAUAGAUGCAAAAUUUUAUGAAUGGCCUUAGAAUGAAGACUAAGUAACUCAUAGACACAGCUGCCGGUGGCUUAACAAAUUUUACAACAACCACUGGAAUAAAGAAAAUCAUUCAAGCCAUUGCAGCAAAUCAGCAUCUGGAGCUCUAUGACCGCAGUGUAAGUCAACCUGAAGGUAUCAUUGAUCUCAAGCUAACAAAUCAAGUUGUGAAGAUGGAAGAUUAAAUAACAGCUGAAGUAGAGAGAAGAAUCAAUAAAAUGGCUCUUGACACUCAAACGGUGGCACAAGUUCAACCGGUUCAACCUAUUUAAACAGUUAGUUGUGAAAUUUGUGGGGGACCGCACUUCGCCAUGCAUUGUGUGGAAACUACACAACAGGUAGAAGAGAUUAAUUUUCUGAAGCAAAAUAACCCUUACUUCAAUACUUAUAAUCCUGGAUGGAAAAAUCAUCCAAAUUUUUCCUGGAAGGACCAACAAGGAAAUGCUCACAAGCAAGUGCCCAGUCAAUAUCAAAGCCAACCGCAACAACAGUAUCGACCACAACAAUAACAACCUUACCAGCAGCAGUUUCACCAAUCCCAACAACAAUUUCAAUAACAGGUUCCAAGAAAAGCAGAUAGGGAAAUUGCCAUUGAAAAAAUGGCGGCUCAAAGUUCACAAUUUCAAGAGGAGACUAGAAGUAAUCUGAGAAACACUGGUGCAUCAAUAAAAAAUCUGGAAGUGCAAAUGAGUCAGAUUGCUCAACAACUCGCGGGUUCUCAAACACUGGGUGCAUUACCGAGUGCUACAAUUAUAAAUCCACGAGAGCAUAAUAAUGUGAGUGUUGUAACCAUAAGAAGUGGUAAAUCAAAAGAAGUCCCUGAGAAAGAUGAUGACCAAGAAGACUAAUUGAUUGAAGUUGAGUUGGAAAUAAAAGAAAAUGAGGUUGUGAGUGAAGAGGUGGUAGUGCCUAAACUGAUGGUUAAAGGAAAAGUUAGUGAACCAAAGUCGGCUGUCAAACUCCCUUUCCCCAUAAGAAAUAAGAAGAAAGAGCAACAUGAGAAGAACUUCGAGAAAUUCUUGGAGAUGUUCAAAAAGCUUGAGAUUAACAUUCCGUUCUUGGAGGCACUUGAACAAAUGCCCUCUUAUGCCAAAUUUAUGAAGGAAAUUAUUUCAAAGAAGAGGAGCGCCGACACUGACCCUAUUGUACUAACCGAAACUUGUAGUGCAAUUUUGCAGGGUAUGAAGAUUCUAGUGAAGAAGAAAGAUCGAGGCUCGGUAACUAUCCCUUGCACUAUCGGGGAUAGGUAUUUAAAAAAGGCCCUUAUAGACUUGGGGGCAAGUGUGAUUCUCAUGUCGUUAUCCAUUUACAAGAGGUUAGGGAUUGGAAAAGUGCAAGAUAGCAAAAUGACACUUCAAUUUGCUGACCACUCUGUGAAGAGACCUUAUGGAGUGGUGGAAGACAUUCUUGUGAAGAUUGAUAAGUUUGUAUUUCCGAUGGACUUUGUCAUCUUAGAAAUGCCGGAAGAUGAAGAGAUACCACUCAUCCUUAGUAGACCAUUUUUGGAGACCGGAAGAUGUUUGAUAGAUAUAGAAGAGGGCACCAUGACUCUAAAAGUUUACGAUGAAGAGUUGAAAAUUGAUUUGCGUAACACCAUGAGAUACAAAGAUGAUGUGGCCACCAGUCAACACAUAGAGGUGAUUGAUCAAAUGGUUCUGCAAGAAAAUCCUUUAGGUGAACCACAAUUGCCCUUGGAGAGAGUUCUAAGUCUAUCAAUUUCUGAAGACAGAUGUGGCCACCAGUCAACACAUAGAGGUGAUUGAUCAAAUGGUUCUGCAAGAAAAUCCUUUAGGUGAACCACAAUUGCCCUUGGAGAGAGUUCUAAGUCUAUCAAUUUCUGAAGACACUCAAGAAGUUGACUAAAAGGAGAGGGAAGUGUUAACUAUGAUGGCAACACAACCACCCUUUAAGGGAUCCCGAUCACUCCGAUGGGAAAACUUGAGGGAACCCCAGUUUGAGGAAAAGAAAGAUGAGACCAAGAAAGUGGAUGAGCUGAAACAAUUGCCGAAAAAUCUCAAGUAUAUUUUUCUAGAUUCUGAAAGGAGAUGCCCGACUAUUAUAAGCUCUAAUCUAAAAGUUUCCCAAGAAGACAAGCUCGUCAAGGUUCUGAAGAAGCAAAAAAGUGAAAUGGGAUGGGCGAUAGAAGACUUGAAGGGGAUUAGCCCUACGGUAUGUAUGCAUAAAAGUCUCAUGGAGGAUGGUCACAAACCAGUGGUGCAACCCCAAAGAAGACUAAAUCCCGCAAUGAAGGAAGUGGUUAGGAAAGAGGUUGUUAAACUAUUAGAUGUUGGGUUAAUUUAUCCCAUAUCGAUAGCUCUUGGUGAGUCAUGUUCAUUGUGGGUUCCGAAGAAAGGAGGGACUACCGUUAUAAAGAAUGAGAAAAAUGAGUUACUCCCUACAAGGACGGUCACGAGGUGGCGUGUUUGCAUCGAUUACAGAAGGUUGAAUUUGGCGACAAGAAAGGAUCACUUUCCUUUACCAUUCAUCGAUCAGAUGUUGGAAAGGUUGGCUGGUCAUGAGUACUAUUGUUCCUUGAUGGAUACUCUGGAUAUAAUCAGAUAGCGGUUGCACCAGAAGAUCAAGAGAAGACAGCUUUUACUUGCCCUAUGGUAUUUUUGCUUACAGAAUAAUUCCAUUCAGGUUUACGUAAUGCACCCGGCCACAUUUCAAAGAUGCAUGACUUCCAUUUUUUGGACAUGCUCGAAAAGCAUAUGGAGGUUCUUCAAUGGAUGACUUCUCGGUAUUUGGUUUCUCUUUUGAUAAUUGUUUAACUAACCUUUCCCUUGUGUUAGAAAGAUGCCAACAGACCAACUUGAUUCUCAACUGGGAGAAGUUCCACUUCAUGGUGUGAGAAGGCAUAGUCUUGGGUCAUGAAAUUUCUCACAAAGGAAUAGAAGUGGACCAAGCCAAGAUCGAGGUAAUAGAAAAGCUACCCCCUCCAAUGAACGAAAAAGGUAUAAGAAGUUUCUUAGGGCAUGCGGGUUUCUACCGUAGGUUCAUAAGAGACUUUUCUAAGAUAGCUAAACCUUUAACUACCCUGUUGGUUAAGGACAAGGCUUUCAUCUUUGAUAAAGAGUGUGUCAUUGCUUUUGAAACUAUAAAAAAUAAAUUGGUGACGGCACCUAUUGUCAUUGCCCCAGAUUGGUCUCUACCUUUUGAGAUCAUGUGUGAUGCGAGUGACAUUGCAGUGGGAGAAGUUCUUGGGCAACAUAGAGAUAAACUGUUGCAUGUCAUAUAUUAUGCUAGUCAUGAUACCUUUUGAGAUCAUGUGUGAUGCGAGUGACAUUGCAGUGGGAGAAGUUCUUGGGCAACAUAGAGAUAAACUGUUGCAUGUCAUAUAUUAUGCUAGUCAUGUUUUGAACCCUGCACAGAUGAACUAUGCGACUACCGAGAAGGAGUUGCUAGCGGUGGUCUAUGCCUUUGAUAAAUUCAGGCAAUAUCUGUUGGGUUCUAGAGUCAUUUUUUAUACUGACCAUGCUGCUUUGAAGUAUUUAUUUUCUAAGCAUGACUCUAAGCCAAGACUGUUGAGAUGGAUCUUACUCCUCCAAGAGUUUGAUUUGGAAAUUCGUGACAAAAGAGGGUGUGAAAAUACUGUGGCAGAUCACCUCUCUCGGAUGUCCCCUAUAGAGGAGAAUGAGGAAAAGCGUCUGAUAAAGGAUGAGUUUGCUGACGAACACAUCCUUGCUGUUAUUGGAAUGCCAUGGUUCACAGACUACGCGAACUAUCUAGUAGGUGGGGUGAUCCCUAGCGAAUUUGACUCUAACAAAAAGAAAAAGUUUGUGCAUGAUUGCAGGUUUUACUUGUGGGAUGACCCAUUCUUGUACAAGAAGCGAAUUUGACUCUAACAAAAAGAAAAAGUUUGUGCAUGAUUGCAGGUUUUACUUGUGGGAUGACCCAUUCUUGUACAAGAAAGGAGUAGAUGGGUUGGUCAGAAGAUGUGUUCCCGAAGAAGAACAAAGAGAUGUCCUGAAAGUAUGCCAUGACUCUGACUAUGGUGGACACUUUAGUGGUGAUAGAACCGCAGCCAAAGUCCUCCAGUCAGGCUUCUACUGGCCUACACUUUUCAAAGAUGCUCAACAAUUAAUCAAAGAGUGCGAUAAGUAUCAAAGGAUGGGAAACAUCUCGAAAAGAAAUCAGAUACCGCAGAACCCCAUGUUGGAAGUUGAACUCUUCGAUGUUUGGGGUAUCGACUUUAUGGGACCAUUUCCACCUUCAUUUGGAAAGAAUUACAUUUUGGGGGCGGUGGAUUAUGUAUCCAAGUGGGUAGAAGCAGUCGCUCUACCAACGAAUGAUGCAAAAGUGGUAGUCAAGUUUCUAAAGGAAAAUAUAUUUGUCAGGUCUGGAGUGCCAAGAGCUCUAAUAAGUGAUAAAGGAACUCAUUUCUUAAAUCACCUAAUGGAGAAGCUACUCUUGAAGUAUAAUGUAAAACAUCGUAUAGCCACUCCGUACCAUCCGCAAACAAGUGGUCAAGUUGAAGUGUCGAAUAGACAGCUGAAACAAAUUCUGGAGAAGACGGUCAACUCAUCUCGCAAAGAUUGGGCAAGUAAGCUUGAUGAUGCGCUUUGGGCAUACCGAACUGCUUUCAAAACACUGAUUGGUAUGUCCCCUUAUCAAUUGGUAUAUGGUAAGGCAUGUCACUUACCCUUAGAACUUGAACACAAAGCUUUGUGGGAUUCAAAAUUCCUUAAUUUCGAUCUUUCGAAAGUGGGAUAAUCUCGAAUACUUCAACUCCAUGAGUUAGAAGAAUUUAGGAACCGAGCAUAUGAAAAUGCCAAGAUCUACAAAGAUCAAACAAAGAAGUGGCAUGAUAGAAGGAUCCAAAGGAAGGAAUUUUGGAAAGGACAAAUGGUACUAUUGUUUAAUUCGAGGAUGAAGUUGUUCUCGGGAAAACUGAGAUCGAAAUGGUCGGGUCCGUUUAUGGUACACAAGGUAUAUCCUCAUGGAGCAAUCGAACUAAAAAAUCCUUCCAAUGGGGACAUUUUUAAAGUGAAUGGCCAAAGAUUGAAGCCUUACAAUGUGGAGCACGAAGUUGGUCAAAUUGAUGUUGUUCAUCUUGUCUGAUAAGAUGAACAACCGUCGAGCCAUGCGACGUUAAACGAAGCGCUACGUGGGAGGCAACCCACGCUUUUGUGUCUAAUUACUUUCUUUGUUUUGUUGUGUGUUAUUGAAUUGCAGGUUAGAACAAUGUUUGCUAGAGGAGCCAAAAGUUCGUGUGCCAAAAGUCUCUGGAAAAAUUGGAAGCAGAAGCCUGACACAAUCACGAGAAAACAGUGAAGGAAAAAGAAAAAUCGGGGGCCUGACACGGGUGCCCGUGUCAGCAUGUGAUUAGAGAAAGGUGGUUUCCAGGGGCUUGACACGGGUGGCCGUGUCAGCCCCUGAGUGAACAAGUUGGAAAGAGGAAGGACACGACCGGUGUCAUGGAGGUCCUUAGCGCGGACACGGCCUCCCGUGUCAGCAAGCGUGUUGGGAAAAUUUUCAAAAAUUUUGACCGUUGGCAAUUGGGCCCACCACCGAAUUUCCCCCGCUAAAUCCAUUUUAUCACCCAUUCACUCCUCAUUAACCUCUUCUCUUACCUAUUCUCUCACCUUCAUCUCUCUUUCUCUCAAAAAUACCUAAAAACCUCCAUUUUUCUUCACAUAAAGCUCCAUCCUUUCACCUCAUAACUCCAUCAAAUCUCCAUCCGUCAAAAAAUACCUAAAAACCUCCAUUUUUCUUCACAUAAAGCUCCAUCCUUUCACCUCAUAACUCCAUCAAAUCUCCAUCCGUCUUCACAAAAGUUCUUCCAUUUUCCAUCCUCUACCUUCCUACGGUAACAUUUUUGCCUAAUCUCUCUUUUCAAUUUCAAGUUUCUUUUUGUUGUGUGCAGGUAAGAACAUCUCUCGGCGAGUAGACAUAAGCAAAAAUGUGGCGGAAUCAUCCUGGCCACGUCAAAGGGCGAGAAGGACUCUGAAUGAGCACGACAUUAUGUUUGAAAACUUGGAGCACCAAAAGAGGUAUACGGUUCAUCUUAAAAGAAAAUUAACCCCCACCAGAUACAUGUGUAAUGGCACUUUGCAGGAACUGGGAUUGCAAGCGGAAGUUCACCAAAUGUUCCACACCUUAGGUAUGUUGGAAUUCAUGCAGUUAGAAGCGCCAACUUUUGUGCGCAUUACUCUUGAAUUCUUGAGUACCAUUGAAUUUAAGCUGAAAAAUCGGUGGAAUGGAACGGAGAAAGAGUACUACGGUACUCUGCAUUUUCGUUUAUUUAAUACUUAUAUGGAAUUGUAUGUGGAUGAGUUAGGGAGUAUCCUAAAACUCCCAAUCAUAGGCCCUUGAAUGGUGCCCGAUACUUUUGUUCUGGCGGAAUUCUGGACCGCUAUAACAGGUAACACUAAGUAUGUCUCCAAAGAGGCAAAAGCAUCGGGUAUCCAUAACCCUUGUUUCAGGUACGCGCAGAAGGCUUUGGCAUACACCAUGUUUGUUCGCGGUGAUAGCAUCGGUGUCACCACCCAAAGGGAGUUGUUCUUUCUAUACAGUAUGGCAGCACAAACUCCUAUCAACGUAGCAGCAUUUGCAACUGACUACCUAGGUAGCGUUGGUCGCGCUACUUCAGGCGACAUUUCGGUUGGCGGAAUGAUCACACAGAUUGCCGACCAUUUUGGAUUUGGUGUUGCGCUUGCUGACUCUCCACAGGUGCUGGGUAAAAAUAAACUGGACAUGGCCGCGUUGAUUCAACAAGGCAUGAUUGAGGUGACACAAGAUUACUAUUCUCUUAUCUGCCAAAAAUUCCAUGUUCUUGCUUUACCCGCUUAUGAUUUCAUCAGUAUUACUAACAAAGCCAACUGGCUUUAUGAGUGUCCUGACCUGGAUGAGGGGGACGGAGAUUUUCUUGAUUCUUUGCCUGCAUAUGAACAUAUGGAGGGUGCACCGAGCACGGAGGAGUCGUUUACCAACAACCACUGGAAUCGACUCAAGCUUCAAGGUCCUACUCCAUGCCACAAGACCAAUGGGGUUGGAUUCAAGAUGAGAUCGGUCACCUUCGCACGGAGCAAUCUAGGCAAGGUGAGGAGCUCACCAGGUUCGGAGUCGAACAACUCCGCCAAGGGACGGUUUUGGAUGAGAUGAAUGCGAUGAUGCAAUGCAUGAUGUUGCAUUAUCCGUACUCGCCCCCACCUCCUCAUUAAAAAUUGUGAGUACCCCUCUUAUCUUAAUAAUAAACAUUGCGGACAAUGUUUGGUUCAAGUGUGUGUGUGGGGGAGGGGUAUUGUUUUGUAUUUUAUUUUAGUUGUGUUUGUUUGCUUUGUUACUUUGUUUUGUCUUUGUGUGUCUGUUUUAUUUCCUUAAGUUAUAGAUAAAAGUGGAUUCUACUAGAUAAAUGAUGGACUAGUGACCAGUGAGGGAAAGAUGCAACCCCGGAUUUGCUCCCGAGGCAACUUGGAAGUUGAUACAACUGAGAAAGAAAAUGUUGGACGUAACUUGGAAACUCUAGACCGAAAGAGGGGAGGGUAAACCCAAGCUGAAAAGGAAGUUGUUUGUCAUAAAGAGUGGUUUGGAGCCUGCAAGCUUAUCCAACAUGGUGAGAUUUCAACAUAACCAAACACAAAAGAGCGCAUUCAGGUAUGACUUUAUCUCUCUAAUUUUGCGUAAGUUCAGCCUGCAAGCUUAUCCAACAUGGUGAGAUUUCAACAUAACCAAACACAAAAGAGCGCAUUCAGGUAUGACUUUAUCUCUCUAAUUUUGCGUAAGUUCUACUGAUACAGCACAAUACAAAGACGCACAAUGAGGCGCGUUGUUUAUUUUCACCCUUUAGCCUUUCUAGCAAUCCAUAUUGUUAUAUUUAUCCUUUGUUAAACCUGUUGAGCAUGUACCCCGUUGUUUGUGAAAACCGUCAUGUUAACCUAAGCCAAACACUUCCUACCUUCACUCGGCAUGACUGUUGUAGUGUAAAAUUCGUGCAAAAAGAUAAGUUUGGGGUGGUGAUCCUUAGAAAAAGUUGAAAAAGGGAAAGUGCAACAAAAAGAAGAAAAAAAGUGUGUAGAAACAUCCGCUUCUACCGAAAAAAAAAGAGAAAAGAAAUGAAAAAUAGAAGUGAAGUAUAAGCACUUGCCUAAUUCAAAGACUCAUGAAUUAAUGUGAUACUCAAAAGAAAAAUUGAGUGGAAAAGAGUCAAGUUGGACAAAACCCCAUAAACUAAUUUGUGCACAAAGAAAAGAAACAACAUGAAUGCCGAGUUCUAAACCUUUGUCAUCCAUUUUCUUGUCUACCCCCACCGUACCUAAGCCCCGUUACAACCCGAAAGACCUCUCAAAGUGUGUGAAUUUGGUUUGUGUAGUUAACGUAGAAUCUAUUCAAAAAAUAAGAGUUGAUAUUGCAUACCUUGAUAUCAUGAGUGCUAAACACUUUAACCCCGAGAUAUUUGGUGAGUGGUGUGAAGAAGUUUGCAGGUGAAGGAACACUCUGAUACGAUAAUACAGUGGAUAGUUCGAAUGGGUGAACCAGAAGCUUAAUCGGGAAGGAGGAAGAUAAGUUGUGAAUACCAUCAGCCGUAUUAUGGAAAGAAGAAAAUCCAUGGUUGACCUCUGUGUUGUCUCUUACAUCACUUGAGGACAAGCAAUGAGAUAAGUUUGGGGUUGUGAUCGGUCACCAUUUGCACUUAGUUUUCAUCAUCCAUACAACAUUAAUCUUCAAGAAUCAGUAACAAUUUGUUCUUUCUUUUAGUUGAUUUCUUAAGUUUAUCGCAUUUUAUAAAUUUCUGCUUGUUUUAUGUAUUAGUAGUUCAUCUUUUUUUAUCGCAUUUUAUGCAUUUCCGUGAUAGUGUUGUUUGGUUUACAGGUCUAACAAUAAGCCCGAAAGAUGCGUAGCGGAAGAAUGGAAGUCAAGGACAUCGUGCAAAGCGAGAAAAGGCAAAAAUAGGGGGCUGACACGGGUGUCCGUGUCAGCUGACACGACCCGUGUCAGCAUGUGCAAAAUACAGAUUAUGGAAUCCAGAAACCAGGGGGCUGACACGGGUGCCCGUGUCAGCUGACACGGGUGCCCGUGUCAGCUGACACGGCCCAUGUCAGCAAGGGCAGAAGAAUUUGAGUUGACAGAGAGCCAACACGGGCGCCCGAUGUCAGCUGACACGGGUGCCCGUGUCAGCUGACACGGCCCAUGUCAGCAAGGGCAGAAGAAUUUGAGUUGACAGAGAGCCAACACGGGCGCCCGUGUCACCUGACACGACCCGUGUUGGCCAAUUUGCCCCGUUUGCUGAUUUUUAUUGUUUUGAUCCCCGUGUACGUCCGGAGGGCAGUCUGGGUAUUUCACGAUGUUUUUAGUUGAUUGGAAACUAUUUAGUCUGCAUUUUGGUGAAGAGAGAGGACACUUUUGAUCGUACAAGAAAAAGACAGAAAGGAGAAGCGAGCUUUCAAGGUGUUUAGAGAAGAAGAUAUCUUCAAGAUCGGAAGAGAUUGAAGAUCAACCUUCAUCAAUAACAAAUUGUAAUGUCUCUAUUUUGUAAUUUACUGUCUUUGAAUAUUAUGAGAAGCUAAACCCCCAAAUGCUAGGGGGUGUCCCUGAAUUGCUAUUGUAUGAACACUUUUUCUAUGUUUUUAUGAUCAUCGAUGUUUUCUUAAUUCAAAUUAUUAUACAACGUUCAUAAUGCUUUAUUUUAUCGGACAAAUGGAAUUUUGAUCUCUGGUUAAGGUUUAGGUCGAACAAACCACCUUAUCGCUUGUUGUGUAAUAAUACUUCGGUUUAAUCACUUAGGAAUAAGGAUCAAACCGUAGUAGCCAUUAAUUCUUGCUUAAUUGCAUAUUUCGUAACGUCAUUUUGAAUAACUAAGGAAUUAGGAUUGAAAUUGACUGUUAAUGGUUUUUGGCUAAGGGAUUAGUGAAAACAAUUCUUGAGAAUCGGGUUUGAAUAAUUACAAUGUAGAUGUUAUAUAAUAUGGAAGGAGUGUAGUACAAAGCAAUUCACACAUCUUGCCUUAGCAUGCUUUCUCAUAUCGUUUAACAGCUUUUUAUACGCUUUAUAUAAUUUAUUCUCGUUCUUCUCGUUUUGAAAACAAUCAUCAAACCCCCUAUGAUCUUUUGUUCAAUGUAAUUAUUGUAAAGAUUUGUACUUAUUACGCAGUCCUCGAGAUCGAUACUCGGGAUAACUCUCAUUUCAUUACUACAUUGGUGCAAAUAGUACACUUGCUAUUUUACCGAUCACCAACCCUCAGUUGAGUCAUUGUUUUCCUCUGAGAGAGUCCCUACCCUAUUAUCGGGCGUUUCCCAUUAAGUUACAUCUUUCAACCUUUUGUUGAUAAGACGUUAUCCUUAGCUAAGCCAAACAUUGUUUCUUUAAACACUUACCUUGUUUCGCGUUGAGUAUCCCUCAAUGAGUCGUUUCCUGUAACCUUUUGUUGAUGGAAGCCUCAUCUUCCAAUAGAAUAUUAGUUCUGCAACCUUUUGUUGGUUAUACCCCGAGCAAGUCUUACCCAGUAAUGUUCCAAUACUACCCAACAAGUCGGGUUUAUUGAAUGUUGACAAUAGCCUUAUUUUUCCAAAUAUUUUUCCCACUAUCAUCCUUUUGAUGAAAGUCCAUUGAGGAAUAAUACUAAUCAUCACCCUGUUUACGAUAACCGUUAUCCUUUUGGUAAUGGUAAAUCCUUGACAUUCGUGAUCUUACCGUCAUCCUUUUGGUGUCGGCGAUCCUUGAAGUUUUGUCCCAACCUUCAUCCUUUUGGUGAAUGGCGACCUCUGCAACUAUUAUAGCCCACCGUCAUCCUUUUAGUGUCGGUAAUCCUUGUCAUUUUGGUUCAACCAUCAUCUUUUUGGUGAUGACGUCCAGUUCAAUCUAAAUAUUAUCCUUUUUGUGAUAGAGAUUAUGGAGUCUGGUUUAGGCUAUCGUCCUUUUGGUGAUUGUGACCUAGGGAAAGUCCAAUCCCACUGUCAUCCUUUUGGUGUCAGCAAUAUUUGAAGUUAUUAUAACUUACUAUCAUCCUUUUGGUGGUAACAAGUUCCGAAGUUAUGACCUCACCUUCAUCCUUUUGGUGAUGGUGAUUGUUGAUUCAUUAUCAUCCUUUUGGUGAUAACGAGUCCUGUUGUUUGUAGUACCUUCAUCCUUUUGGUGAUGGUGACCAUCGACUUAUUAUCAUCCUUUUGGUGAUAACAAGUUUUGUUGUUCAAUCCUACCUUCAUCCUUUUGGUAACGGUGAUCAGUAAAAGUUAUUGACUUAUUAUCAUCCUUUGAUGGUAAAGAGUUUUGUUGUUUAAUCUUACCUUCAUCCUUUUGGUGAUGGUGAUUGUUUUGACUUAUUAUCAUCCUUUUGGCGAUAACAAGUUUUGAAGUUUUGUUCUUACCUUUAUCCUUUUGGUGAUGGUUAUCAUUUAAGUUGUCGUGACUUAUUAUCAUCCUUUUGGUGGUAACAAGUUUUGUUGUUUGAUAAUACCUUCAUCCUUUGGUGAUGGUGAUUGUCAUGACUUAUUAUCAUCCUUUUGGUGGUAACUAGUUCUGUUACUAAUCUUACUGUCAUCCUUUUGGUGUCAGUGAUAUUCGAAGUUAUAUUGAUUUAUUAUCAUCCUUUUGGUGGUAACAAGUUUUGUCUUGAUUUUACUUUCAUCCUUUUGGUGAUGGUAAUCAUUUAAAUUGUUGUAAUUUAUUAUCAUCCUUUUGGUGAUAACGAGUUUUGUUGUUUGUAGUACCUUCAUCCUUUUGGUGAUGGUGACUGUCGACUUAUUAUCAUCCUUUUGGUGAUAACAAGUUUUGAAAUUUUGUUCUUACCUUCAUCCUUUUGGUGACGGUGGUCAUUUAAGUUAUUAUGACUUAUUAUCAUCCUUUUGGUGAUAACGAGUUUUGUUAUUGGUUCCACCUUCAUCCUUUUGGUGAUGGUGAUUGUUGACUUAUUAUCAUCCUUUUGAAGAUAACAAGUUUUGUUUGGGUCUUACCCUCAUCCUUUUGGUGAUGGUGAUCAUUGAAGUUAUUUGACUUAUUAUCAUCCUUUUGGUGAUAACAAGUUUUGUUGUGGGAUCUUACCUUCAUCCUUUUGGUGACGGUGAUCUUUGAAGUUGAUGAGUACCUUUUGGUGAUGGUGAUCAUUGAAGUUAUUUGACUUAUUAUCAUCCUUUUGGUGAUAACAAGUUUUGUUGUGGGAUCUUACCUUCAUCCUUUUGGUGACGGUGAUCUUUGAAGUUGAUGAGUUAACCAUCAUCCUUUUGGUGGUAGCCUUGAUAUUAUACUUUUGGGAAUGGAAAGCUUUAUCAGAAUGUCAUCAUCCUUUUGAUGAUGGACGUCAUCCUUUUGGUGAUAAAAAUCUUUGAAUUUUAUUAUGUCAGACUUUCAUCCUUUUUGGUGACAGCAAGUUUGGUUAUUAAUCUUACCAUCAUCCUUCUGAUGAUGACUACCUCUAAAGCUUGGUUUAUCCAUCACCCUUUUAGUGAUGACAAUUAAUUCUACUGUCAUCCUUUUGGUGCCAGAAAACUCGUUCAGUUUUCGCUCUCACAUCAGAAACGACCUUUGCAAGAUUUAAAUGUCGACUCGAGGGUUGGCAUUGAUUUGACGUUCUACCCCAAUACCUUGGUGCUAUUAGAACUCGUUGCAUUUUCUCUCUGCAUUUCUCCAUUGCAUCUCAAAGGACAAAAUUCGGGUCUUUUCGUAUUUAAUUACCUUCCACCACGAACGUAUGAAGACUGUCGUCAUUCUUACCUUCUAGUUCAAGUUAAUUAAAUAGGGGCAACUGUCAUACCCCAAUUUUAUCCGGGCAUUUUUAAAUAUCAGUCAGAAUAGAAUAUUGAAAAUACAGACAAAUUGGUUAAAUCGUUUCUCAAGUACGUGCAAAAUCAGCGGGUAAAAAGUUUCAAAAUUAAAAUUACAGACGCCAGUAUCAUUAACCUAUGGUUCACGUAGUUUAACCUGGUGUGCUCGUUGUAUUUUUCAGGGACUGUUUCGGCUGCGUUUUGACCCGCCUAAGCCUUUUAACCGGUGAAAAUUUAUUUUAGAAUUUGAAGAAACGCUGUAUUUUUUCAAUAAGUGUAUUCUGUGCUGAUCAUUUUGGUGCACCCGAUUUAAUUUUUCGAGCAAAUUUUCGCCCGACUUUUUUGCAUAAUCAAUCAUUUUAUUUUUAUCCUUUCGCCAAAACAUUCAGAAAAUUGAAAUUUCCAUGUCUUCAUUUUAUUUUUACCAUAUUCAUUUUAGAAGUUGUGGAUUUUUAUUUGAUUUCAUUGAUCUAAAUUGUUUUAAGUCAAUUGAACCAUCUAGAAGGGGCACCUUUGAUAUUCUUAGAAUUAGUUAGCAUUUGUGUUUCUUUGGUUUAAUCUCGAUCGUUAAAUCGAGACUAAUCAAAGGUCUAUAAUAGUUAUCCAUGUGUGUUUCUAUUUACCAAUAAUAAAAUCAAAUAAUAUUAAUAUUAAUAAUAAAGAGAAAAAAUCCAUUUAUGGUUGUGUAAAUAAGGAUAGGUGGCUCUUUUUUCUCAAAUUUAGAAAAAAGAGAAAUGCUGAAAAUACUACCCUUUAGGAUUUUUUUCGGUGGCCUCUCGGAUCACUCUCAAACAAAAUUCAUAACAACUCAUUAUUGGCCAGGAGAAAAUGAGUUGUCUCCACUCAUAGCUGGAAAAGGAAUCCACUCUCUUUCUCUCUCUCAAAAGAGAACUCUGAAAAGAAAGAAAAAAAGAAUAGAUAUAUCUCAACGAGUACACAAAAGGAAAAAAAAAUCUCAUUCUGAAAAAAGACGUUACAUCCAUUUAAAUUUCUCUCUCUCACCACUCAUAAAAGAACUACCCAUUCACCUAACUUUCGGACUCUCUCUCACGGGUUCCUCACGUUACAAAAAGAUAAAAGGAAAAAAGAAAUUCAAAAAGGACUGACAAAAAACUCUCUCACCUGAUACCAUUCCUUCUCUCUCAUAAUAACCCUCUCUCUCUCUGACUUCCAAAAGGCAACCAAAAAAGAAAAAAGAAAUUGAGAGGAAUCUUCCUCUUCUUCGGAAUCUCAUCACUCUUCACCACCGGACCGCCUUCAACAACCUCCGUCGUCGAAAACCUCACAGCCAUAACUGCGCCCCCCUUCACCCUCCUUCAAACUCUCCGCUGGCGAAAAACAGAAACACCGCGAUCCUCUUUUUCAACACCGUCCAAACCCUUCGUCUUCGUCACAACCACACACCGCCAUCUCCACCGUCCAAAUCCCAUCUCCGUCUUCACUCAACUCACAACCGCAACCAACCAACAACACCGUGAAACCGUUUUUACGAAACGAAACUCAAUGAAUCUCCUUCCUCACGAAAUCACCGCCGCCACCUUCGACAUCUUACUGCCAUCCACAAUAAACCCUCACAACCGCCUCCGUUCCCCUCCCACACUUCCUUCGUGGCCACCGCAAAAGCCACCACGCGUCUUCUCCUUCACAUUCACGGACGUCUUCUCCUUCCGAUGUCGGAUUCAAACGCAACCAACCAGCCGCUCUACAACAAUAAGAGGAGCAUAGCACCAAAGGAAAUAAUGUAGAAGGAUGGGUCUAGCCGCACUCCGUUUCCAUUAUAAUUUCAAGUUCAUUUCUGACGAACUCACAGUCCUUCCAAUCACCACAAGGUCGUCGAACCCAUACGUAUAUCACUGUAAAUCUCAUGUUGAUUGGUUUAUUAUUGCUUUUGUUUUUUCCAAUUGGAGUAAGGUAGAGAUUAAAUCGAGGAUGCAAGGGUUUGUUUCAUCGGUCUUAAAGAUGAAAAAUAAUGUUCUGCAUUUUUAAAGAACGAAAGAAAGCAUAGUGGAAAUUUCUAACUUAUUAUGAGCCUUGAUUUUCCUAAUGGUAAUGUAAAAGUUAAACUGGAUUUUUACGUUUUGUUACUUGUUUGUUUGACUGAACUUUUUUUUAAUUAUUAUUACAUGACAAUAGAAUUAGUAUUUUGGUUGUAGAAAGAGUUGUCUGCAUAUAAUUCAUUAUGGGCUUGGUUUUCUUUUUAUCCAGGAAAAUUUUAGAUUGGAUCGAUAAUGCUUAAUAGUGUACAUUGAAUUCUUUCUUAAAUCACGUUUGGAAGGGUCCUGCAACUCUUUUUGUUUAUUUCAAACUUGGACAUCAUUGGUUUUAAAUGGUACUUUGUUUUAAUUAAUUGUAUUAGUAUCCCUUGUUCUAACUAAUUUAUUAGUUCACAACGUUACAACCAUUUUUCUCAAAUACAUGGUUGGUUCUACUAUUAAAAUUUAAAUUAGAUUAUUAAUUGCCUAAUGGAUUUUAUAGUGUAUAUGUAUAAAUCUGCUCCAAUCAUAUGGCGUUGUUGUUAACAUUC
This 89739-nucleotide long non-coding RNA is filed under the name Lathyrus oleraceus (garden pea). RNAcentral describes it as "Pisum sativum (pea) long non-coding RNA (PSAT_LNC031298)". Lineage: Eukaryota; Viridiplantae; Streptophyta; Magnoliopsida; Fabales; Fabaceae. The record is from RNAcentral.